RNAcentral lists this long non-coding RNA (95261 nucleotides) under Triticum aestivum (bread wheat). Its description in RNAcentral is "long non-coding RNA (TAES_LNC008313)". Lineage: Eukaryota; Viridiplantae; Streptophyta; Magnoliopsida; Poales; Poaceae. The record is from RNAcentral.
ACCCUACCCCUAUGAGCACCUUCGAGAGAGUGGGCCGGCAUAUGAUCUUGAGAUUUUAUGAAGUCACCAUAGGUGCCUCGUAGUCGAGUGGAACGUCUCCUCCCACUGAACGCACAUCGCCGGAAAAUACUGAAAUUAACCCAGGAUAAAUGCGAGCACCUGGACUUUAACCCUGGUGGGCUCGAGAAACCACUGUCCUCCUAACCAUCCAACCACAUGUUGGUUAGCACGACAAAAUGUGUGUGGUGACCGUGAUGAGCUUAUUCCGAAGUCAAGUGACCAUAUCGUGCUUUCGCUUCAAAUACAAUGACCGUAAGUGUCGUCAACAAAAUACGGAGCACGCAUCAAAUGCAAAGUCCGUCAGUGUCAUCAAGAAAAUACGGAGACGUAUCAUGAGCUAGAUAUCGUAUGAUCACCACGAGAAUGUAUACGGUGACCGUAAUGAGCAUAUUCUGAACUCCAAUGAUCGUAUAGUGCUUUAGCUGGAAAUACAGUGACCGUCAUGCGUGAAUGUGUCGUGGGCAUGCAUACUGUUAGAGGGCCGAGAGAUAGUUUGUGUGCAUACGUGAAAGUGGUGUAGAAAGAGGGGAUGUCCGGUGGAGACAAGGAGAGAUAUGCCCUUCGUUUCUCUUUCCCGUGACUAAUAUUUUAGGAGAAUAUAUAAACAUUCACAAUGCAGAACAAAUAUUUUUGGAUGCACCAUGCAAUUAACUUUCAUGUAUAACAUUGUACUAUUGUAUAUGCUUAUUUUCUUAGUGGCCGAUUGCGUGUGUGGUGUGGUGGGCACAUCAUUUCUAGUUGUGGUGGGUCAACAUGAGGACUCAUGGGUCGGUUCCAUCCUGCGCCACAUAGGUUGGAUCGAGACGCGUUAUACGAAGACCCAUGUGGAGGACUCGGCGUAUAACACGAAGCUAGCUACCAGAGUCGCGGAGGACUCUAUCCCCACUGGUGAUAAGCCGACUAUAUAUGAUUUGUAACCCUAGGCCCCCAGUAUGUCAUAGAAGCUUGGGGGCUAGUUCGUCGAUAGUAUACACACACGCACAAUGCCUGGUAUUCACGUGUACUUUGUACACACCACUAUCACUAAUAUACAGUACGAGGAAUAGGCUUUUUCCUCAAUUGCAAGGGUCCGAACUAGGGUAAAACUUUGGCUCGUAUUACCAUCCAGCCUAACAGUCAGGGAUAUCCUACCGAAUGAUAUGAUGGGAUCAUAUCUGUUAACUACUAAGAGAGAGGUGUGUCUGGGGGGCAAUGUGUGCAAGAGAGGCCUAAAGAUAAUGUGCGUGCGGGAGACACGUAGGCACAUAUAUGUGCGUAUAGAGGGCUAGUAGAGACCGUGCGUGUGUAUAUAUGCAUGUGAGAGAAAUAGUGUUUUCCAACUGAGAUUAGUGAAAAGAGUGGUACAUAGUAGUCAGAAAGAGAGAGAGAGAGAGAGAUAUAGAGAGAGCAUGUGCGUGAGACUCCCCGACACCCCGAGAGAGAUUGUGAGCAUGUGUGAAAGAGAAAUGCCGAUGCAUAUAAAGUGUGUGCACUUAUGCGGUAGAUAGAGAGAUAUAUAGCGUGUUUGUGAGAACGGGCCGAGGCAUAGUGCAUCUACGUGCAAAAGGCGGUUCUACGCAUUAAAUUAAAAUAUAAAUGGCAUUAUUAUUUUUGGAUGAGAUCAUGAAUUUUGCAAAUGUCGUAUGGACAAAAAUCGGUCUAUCAGACACCCAUACUCUAUUGAAUUCUAGCAUGUGCAUGUGUUUAUUUCAUACGGAGUAUUAUCGAUCCAUAGAGUGAGAGCGGUUUGAAAUACAGGCAAUGGAUGCUUUUGCAAUUCAUAUAUAAACAUUAAUUAGUGCACUCCAUGUUGUUAGUGUGAAGCACUUUAUACAUUUGUCAUUUGCAUGGAUACGUUCCAAAUUGCUAGCUACGAAAUAGAAUACAUGUCGAAUUCAACAUAAAGGGGGUUUCGAAGAUUCGAAUUCAUAGGAAGUGCAUUCAUCUAUUUGAACCCGAGAUAAUGGCAUUUGGAAAUCAGAUGUAAAAGGGGGCAUCAAUCUUUGUUGUGCGUUUGAACAUGCUAUAUAUAUUCAUACGCAUGUCUAACUUUUUUUUGCAACCAAGGAGAUUAUAUCUGGAACCAUGCAUGAACUAAGGUAAGUUGCAUAUUUUUUAAUAUAUACUCGUGUACAAUGUAUAUUCAAAUGUACCACCUCCAUUCCAAAAUAAUGGUAGCUUUAGGAUUUUCAGGAGUAAAGAUUUGUGAAGUUUGACAAAUCCUGAAUGUUCAAUUCAAGAGAACCGAAAACGUUAAUGCUUCUGCUCCCAAAUAUUGAACGAAGCGCCAAAUAGGCCUCUGGUCACCCGAAACCGCGCGAGACUAAUGUUUGAUGGUAGGAAAUUACUGUCGUGACUCUGGCCCAUGUAGCCUAUCGGCCCGAUGUCCAAAGGUCUAAACCGCGGUAGGUUUGUAACGUCACCAAGACGCCAGUCUCGACCGCCUCCGAGAAGCAUUCAUACGCCGUGGGCGCCUAAACACCCAUGCGCUCGGCCGAAAUCUAUCCCGCCCACAUUUGGGACACCUAAGAUUACUGUCCUACCCCCAACCCACAAUAUGUCCGAAAUUUUAGAUGGGGGCAAAGUUUGUAACUUUCCCCAAAUUUCAAACAAGCGCGUCCCAAACCGAAACAUUGUUCCCCCUUAGUUCCCCGCCUCCCUCCGUUUCCCCAUUCAUACUCCGUAGGCGCCAAAACGCCCUCUCCACCAGCCGCGAUACCCCAGCCUCCUCCGUCCUCCACCCCAUAGCGCCCAAUCCACCGCCGCCCUCCUCCAUCACGCCGGAGCCGGUACCGCGACGUCGUCGUCCAACGCAACCACAACCGCAACGCCCUCAAGGACUUAGCUGCUGAAGCCGAUGUAGAGCUGCCUCCACGACGCCGACGCCGACGUGCGCUGUACCAGAACUACUCCGAUCACGCCGUCUUGCGCCUCACUACUGCUGCUCCACUGUCGCAACCGUCCACCGUACCGGAGCUGUUCCCGCUACGUCGUCGUUCGCUGCCUCGGAUCUGGUUCCCGCCGCCAAUAGACGGCCACCGCACCACACUCAACAACUUGGCCAUGGGUUCGUCCAAGGCUGCACCGUCCUACACAACUUCUCGUUUCUAGCGAACCACAAGAAGAUCGUUGGAAAAACAGAAGGAGGACACAGCACUGCCAGCAGAAAGAGGUACUCCUCUUCCCUUAUUCGUGCAAACCUUACGUCUCUGCUCACACCAUAUUCAUCCCAUGAAAGAAACUAGUUGAGCGCUUCUUACUGCAUCUUCUUCGUGAUACUAAAUGCACAAGGUUUCCUCCCUUUACUAUUUCACCUUUGCUAGAGGUCAGUAGCCCGCCUGGAUUUCAAUUCAGGGUCAGUCGAACCGCAAUUAAAAGAAGCAGCACCUGCUUAGGCGCGCGGAGCACCUAGUCCGCAUGUUCGCCCGGGAAGCGGCGCAUCGGUGUUUAUCAUAGGGGUGUGGGGCGCACGAGCUGCUUGCGCCCGAUCUGGAGGUCGGCGGGGCUUGAAUGGAUUGCCGGGGGCGGUGCCAAGCACGGCGGUGCGGUGAGGUCGAGGGGAGGGCGCAGGCAGGGGACUGGGCCGGUGGUCGCCGCCGUUUCAAGGAAGAUCGUCAACACUGACUGGCUGGAGGUAGAUGAAGGCGAUCUGCCAGUUCUUUGUACAUCAGACGGUGCAGAAAAAAUGGACUAACCUAUUUGUUUUCAGUCGAAUGUUAUUUUCAUAGAAUCCUAUAGUAAUUUAGUGUGCCAUGCAUGUUGUAGAGCUAUCAUAUGUCUCCCGUCAUUUAUUUCUCACCGACCUGCUAUCUGCUACCUUUACACUUUACUAAUUGUGCACACACUUCACCCAUACUCACACUAUUGUUUUUUUAUGCAUGGGUAUUUCAGACUCUGACGCAGUGUUGAUGAAUGCUGAAAAGAAAAGACAGAAGUCGCUCUAGUGUAAUUCGAAGAUAAGCACUAAGCGUUUCAACGCUCUAAAGGAUGCAGUGUCAGCAGUUGGAGACAGUAAACGUAGCUCUGCAAUUGAUGAUCUCAAUUGCCACACACAACCAUCCCAGGUGCUUGCUUUAACUUCGCGUUGUCAAAUGUGGUUGCAUGUUGCAUAUGGUGUCUAGCUUGUAUUGCUUCCAAUUUGGUUAAAUUGCAUCUGCUUACUUUACACAUUAUACCUUUGAUAAUGACAUGCCUUCUUGUUUUUGAUACAUACUACAUAUGUCUAUUAACCAUGUUCGUACAUCAAACUAAUGCUCUUUUGUAUCCCUCGUCAAUCACUUAUGAUGAGACAGUCACCCGGGUGGGUUAGUGUGAGACGCCAUACUCGUUUAAAGACAGCAGUGUCAUCCUCCCCACAUGAUUCUCAAGAAACAACAAGGCUAAAUGAAGAUAGUCAACGUAGCUCUCUAGUUGAUGACCGCAAUUCCCCCACACCACCAUCAUAGAUGCUUGCUCUAACUUCGCAGUGUGAUAUGUGAUUGCAUUUUGCAUACGGUGUCUAGCUUGUAAUGCUUCUAAUUAGGGUAAAUUGCAUCUGCUUAGUUUACACAUUAUACCUGUGAAUAUGACAUGCCUUCCUAUUUUUGGUACACACUACAUCUAUGUGUUAACCUUGUUCUUACAUGAAACUACCUCUCUUUUGUAUCCUGCAUCAAUCACUUACGAUGAGUCACCUUUAUUCGUUGCAUAUUGCAUAUUAUUUCUAGCCUGUUGCCAUGUAUUGCUUCUAAUUUGGACAAAUACAUUUGUUAGGGCACCCUUUUAAUUUGGCAGGGUGAUAUUGGUUUCAUCUUUCAUAUGGUUUCUAGCUUGCAUUGCUUCUAACAAGUUCAAGCACCUUGUGCUUAGUUUACACUUUAUACAUCAUACAUGUCAAUAUGUCACGCCGUCCUGUUUUUCAUACAUAUUCCAUCCUCCUAUCAUGCGGCAGCCUUACAUGAAAGUAGUGUUCGUCAGUAUCAUGCAUCAAUGAGUUCUGAAGAGCAAAUUUUAUUCCUUUUUCUUAUGGGUUUGACUUGACAAGGCAAAAUCAAGAAAGAUGAAGGAAAAGAGUAAGGAAGGCGAUGAUGGUGGUCCUCUGCAGCAACAUAAACGGAGCAUCUAUACCGAUUCUCCUUGUACUGAUAGUGCAUUACAAGGUCCAAUACUCCGCUCCCCUACUGCACCAUCCAAGGUGCUUGCUCUAACUUGGCAGUGUGAUAUCUGGUUGCAUGUUGCAGAUGGUGCCUAGCUUGUAUUGCUCCUAAUUAGUGUAAACUGCAUCUGCUUCGCUUACACAUGAUACGUGUGAAUAUGACACGCUUUCCUGUUUUUGGUACAUACUAUAUCUGUCUAUCACACCAUGUUCUUACAUGAAACUACACUUCUUGUGUAUCCUGCAUCAGUCACUUAUGAUGGAACACCUUUAAGUUGGCAGUGUGAUAUUGGUUUGCGUCUUGAAUUUGAGUUCUAGCAUGUAUUGCUUCUAGUUUGAUGAACGCCACCUAUGACGAGACAGUGUUAACUUGGCAGAGUGAUAUUGAUUGCACCUUUCAUAUGGUGUCUAGUUUGCAAUGCUUCGAAUUUGUUGAAGUGCCUUCUGCUUAGUUACCACAUCAUAGGUGUGAAUAUGUCAAGCCGUCCAUUUUUUCGUACAUAUUCCAUCCUCGUAUCAUGAAUUUGCCUUUCAUCAGAGUAGUGUUCGUCAGUAUCGUGCAUCAAUGAGUUCUGAAGAGCAAAUUUUAUUCCUUUUUCUUGUGGGUUUGACUUGACAAGGCAAAAUCAAGAAACAGGAAGGAAAAGAGUAAGCAAGGCGAUGAUGGUGGUCCUCUGCAGCAACGUAAACGGAGCAUCUGUACCGAUUCUCCUUGUACUGAUAGUGCAUUACAAGGUCCAAGUCUCCACUCCCCUACUCUACCAACCAAGGUGCUUGCUCUAACUUGGCAGUGUGAUAUCUGGUUGCAUGUUGCAUAUGGUGUCUAGCUUGUAUUGCUCCUAAUUAGUGUAAACUGCAUCUACUUAGCUUACACAUGAUAUGUUUGAAUAUAAUACGCUUUACUGUUUUUGGUACAUACUAUAUCUGUCUAUCACACCAUGUUCUUACAUGAAGCUACUCUUCUUGUGUAUCCUGCAUCAGUCACUUAUGAUAGAACACCUUUAAGUUGGCAAUGUGAUAUUGGUUUGUGUCUUGAAUAUGAUUUCUAGCAUGUAUUGCUUCUAGUUUGAUGAACGCCACCUAUGACGAGACAGUUUUAACUUGGCAGAGUGAUAUUGAUUGCACCUUUCAUAUGGUGUCUAGUUUGCAGUGCUUCUAAUUUGUUGAAGUGCCUUGUGCUUAGUUACCACAUCAUAGGUGUGAAUAUGUCAAGCCGUCCAUUUUUUCGUACAUAUUCCAUCCUCGUAUCAUGACUUUGCCUUUCAUCGGAGUAGUGUUCGUCAGUAUCAUGCAUCAAUGAGUUCUGAAGAGCAAAUUUUAUUCCUUUUUCUUGUGGGUUUGACUUGACAAGGCAAAAUCAAGAAAGAGGAAGGAAAAGAGUAAGGAAGACGAUGAUGGCGGUCCUCUGCAGCAACGUAAACGGAGCAUCUGUACCGAUUCUCCUUGUACUGAUAGUGCAUUACAAGGUCCAAGUCUCCGUUCCCCUACACCAUCCAAGGUGCUUGCUCUAAAUUGGCAGUGUGAUAUCUGGUUGCAUGUUGCAUAUGGUGUCUAGCUUGUAUUGCUCCUAAUUAGUGUAAACUGCAUUUGCUUAGCUUACACAUGAUACGUGUGAAUAUGACACGCUUUCCUGUUUUUGGUACAUACUAUAUCUGUCUAUCACACCAUGUUCUUACAUGAAACUACUCUUCUUGUGUAUCCUGCAUUAGUCACUUAUGAUGGAACACCUUUAAGUUGGCAGUGUGAUAUUGGUUUGCGUCUUGAAUAUGAUUUCUAGCAUGUAUUGCUUCUACUUUGAUGAACGCCACCUAUGACGAGACAGUGUUAACUUGGCAGAGUGAUAUUGAUUGCACCUUUCAUAUAGUGUCUAGUUUGCAGUGCUUCUAAUUUGUUGAAGUGCCUUCUGCUUAGUUACCACAUCAUAGGUGUGAAUAUGUCAAGCCGUCCAUUUUUUCGUACAUAUUCCAUCCUCGUAUCAUGACUUUGCCUUUCAUCAGAGUAGUGUUCGUCAGUAUCAUGCAUCAAUGAGUUCUGAAGAGCAAAUUUUAUUCCUUUUUCUUGUGGGUUUGACUUGACAAGGCAAAAUCAAGAAAGAGGAAGGAAAAGAGUAAGGAAGGCGAUGAUGGUGGUCCUCUGCAGCAACGUAAACGGAGCAUCUGUACCGAUUCUUCUUGUACUGAUAGUGCAUUACAAGGUCCAAGUCUCCGUUCCCCUACUCCACCAUCCAAGGUGCUUGCUCUAACUUGGCAGUGUGAUAUCUGGUUGCAUGUUGCAUAUGGUGUCUAGCUUGUAUUGCUCCUAAUUAGUGUAAACUGCAUCUGCUUAGCUUACACAUGAUAUGUGUGAAUAUGACAAGCUUUACUGUUUUUGGUACAUACUAUAUCUGUCUAUCACACCAUGUUCUUACAUGAAGCUACUCUUCUUGUGUAUCCUGCAUCAGUCACUUAUGAUGGAACACCUUUAAGUUGGCAGUGUGAUAUUGGUUUGCGUCUUGAAUAUGAUUUCUAGCAUGUAUUGCUUCUAGUUUGAUGAACGCCACCUAUGACGAGACAGUUUUAACUUGGCAGAGUGAUAUUGAUUGCACCUUUCAUAUGGUGUCUAGUUUGCAGUGCUUCUAAUUUGUUGAAGUGCCUUGUGCUUAGUUACCACAUCAUAGGUGUGAAUAUGUCAAGCCGUCCAUUUUUUCGUACAUAUUCCAUCCUCGUAUCAUGACUUUGCCUUUCAUUGGAGUAGUGUUCGUCAGUAUCAUGCAUCAAUGAGUUCUGAAGAGCAAAUUUUAUUCCUUUUUCUUGUGGGUUUGACUUGACAAGGCAAAAUCAAGAAAUAGGAAGGAAAAGAGUAAGGAAGACGAUGAUGGUGGUCCUCUGCAGCAACGUAAACGGAGCAUCUGUAACGAUUCUCCUUGUACUGAUAGUGCAUUACAAGGUCCAAGUCUCCGUUCCCCUACUCCACCAUCCAAGGUGCUUGCUCUAACUUGGCAGUGUGAUAUCUGGUUGCAUGUUGCAUAUGGUGUCUAGCUUGUAUUGCUCCUAAUUAGUGUAAACUGCAUCUGCUUAGCUUACACAUGAUACGUGUGAAUAUGACACGCUUUCCUGUUUUUGGUACAUACUAUAUCUGUCUAUCACACCAUGUUCUUACAUGAAACUACUCUUCUUCUGUAUCCUGCAUCAGUCACUUAUGAUGGAACACCUUUAAGUUGGCAGUGUGAUAUUGGUUUGCGUCUUGAAUAUGAUUUCUAGCAUGUAUUGCUUCUAGUUUGAUGAACGCCACCUAUGACGAGACAGUGUUAACUUGGCAGAGUGAUAUUGAUUGCACCUUUCAUAUGGUGUCUAGUUUGCAGUGCUUCUAAUUUGUUGAAGUGCCUUCUGCUUAGUUACCACAUCAUAGGUGUGAAUAUGUCAAGCCGUCCAUUUUUUCGUACAUAUUCCAUCCUCAUAUCAUGACUUUGCCUUUCAUCAGAGUACUGUUCGUCAGUAUCAUGCAUCAAUGAGUUCUGAAGAGCAAAUUUUAUUCCUUUUUCUUGUGCGUUUGACUUGACAAGGAAAAAUCAAAAAAGAGGAAGGAAAAGAGUAAGGAAGGCGAUGAUGGUGGUCCUCUGCAGCAACGUAAACGGAGCAUCUGUACCGAUUUUGUUGGAAAUAUGCCCUAGAGGCAAUAAUAAAUGGUUAUUAUUAUAUUUCUUUGUUCAUGAUAAUCGUCUAUUGUUCAUGCUAUAAUUGUAUUGUCCGGAAAUCGUAAUACAUGUGUGGAUACAUAGACCACAACGUGUCCCUAGUAAGCCUCUAGUUGACUAGCUCGUUGAUCAACUGAUAGUCAUGGUUUCCUAGCUAUGGACAUUGGAUGUCAUUGAUAACGGGAUCACAUCAUUAGGAGAAUGAUGUGAUGGACAAGACCCAAUCCUAAGCAUAGCAUAAAAGAUCGUGUAGUUUCGUUUGCUAGAGCUUUUCCAAUGUCAAGUAUCUUUUCCUUAGACCAUGAGAUCGUGCAGCUCCCGGAUACCGUAGGAGUGCUUUGGGUGUGCCAAACGUCACAACGUAACUGGGUGACUAUAAAGGUGCACUACGGGUAUCUCCGAAAGUGUCUGCUAGGUUGGCACGGAUCGAGACUGGGAUUUGUCACUCCGUAUGACGGAGAGGUAUCUCUGGGCCCACUCGGCAAUGCAUCAUCAUAUUGAGCUCUAUGUGACUAAGGCGUUAGUCACGGGAUCAUGCAUUGCGGUACGAGUAAAGAGACUUGCCGGUAAUGAGAUUGAACAAGGUAUUGGGAUACCGACGAUCGAAUCUCGGGCAAGUAACAUACCGAUUGACAAAGGGAAUUGCAUACAGGAUUGAUUGAAUCCUCGACACCGUGGUUCAUCCGAUGAGAUCAUCGUGGAACAUGUGGGAGCCAACAUGGGUAUCCAGAUCCCGCUGUUGGUUAUUGACCGGAGAGGCGUCUCGGUCAUGUCUGCAUGUCUCCCAAACCCGUAGGGUCUACACACUUAAGGUUCGGUGACGCUAGGGUUGUAGAGAUAUGUGUAUGCGGAAACCCGAAAGUUGUUCAGAGUCCCGGAUGAGAUCCCGGACGUCACGAGAGGUUCCAGAAUGGUCCGGAGGUGAAGAAUUAUAUAUAGGAAGUCAAGUUUCGGCCACCGGGAAAGUUUCGGGGGUUACCGGUAUUGUACCGGGACCACCGGAAGGGUCCCGGGGGUCCACCGGGUGGGGCCACCUAUCCCGGAGGGUCCCGUGCGCUGAAGUGGGAAGGGAACCAGCCCCUAGUGGGCUGGGCGCCCCCUCAUGGGCCUCCCCCAUGCGCCUAGGGUUGGGAACCCUAGGGGGGGAGCUUCCCACUUGCCUUGGGGGGCAAGGCACGCCCUUCCCCCCUUUGGCCGCCGCCCCCCCUUGAGAUCCCAUCUCCAGGGCCGGCGCCCCCCCAGGGGGCCUAUAUAAAAGGGGGGGAGGGAGGGCAGCAACAAAACAGCCUUGGGCGCCUCCCUCCUCCCCUGCUACACCUCUCCGACUCGCAGAAGCUCGGCGAAGCCCUGCCGAGACCCGCUACAUCCACCACCACGCCGUCGUGCUGCUGGAUCUCCAUCAACCUCUCCUUCCCCCUUCUGGAUCAAGAAGGAGGAGACGUCGCUGCACCGUACGUGUGUUGAACGCGGAGGUGCCGUCCGUUCGGCACUCGGUCAUCGGUGAUUUGGAUCACGGCGAGUACGACUCCGUCAUCCACGUUCAUUGGAACGCUUCCGCUCGCGAUCUACAAGGGUAUGUAGAUGCACUCCUUUCCCCUCGUUGCUAGUAGACUCCAUAGAUGCAUCUUGGUGAGCGUAGGAAAAUUUUAAAUUAUGCUACGAUUCCCAACAGUGGCAUCAUGAGCCAGGCCUAUGCGUAGUUACUAUGCACGAGUAGAACACAAAGCAGUUGUGGGCGUUGAGUUUGCCAAUUUUUCUUGCCGCUACUAGUCUUUUCUUGUUUCGGCGGCAUUGUAGGAUGAAGCGGCCCGGACCGACCUUACACGUACGCUUACGUGAGACAGGUUCCACCGACUGGCAUGCACUAGUUGCAUAAGGUGGCUAGCGGGUGUCUGUCUCUCCUACUUUAGUCGGAACGGAUUCGAUGAAAAGGGUCCUUAUGAAGGGUAAAUAGAAAUUGGCAAAUCACGUUGUGGUCAUACGUAGGUAAGAAAACGUUCUUGCUAGAAACCUACAAACCACGUAAAAACUUGCAACAACAAUUAGAGGACGUCUAACUUGUUUUUGCAGCAAGUGCUAUGUGAUGUGAUAUGGCCAGAAGAUGUGAUGAAUGAUAUAUGUGAUGUAUGAGAUUGAUCAUAUUCUUGUAAUAGGAAUCACGACUUGCAUGUCGAUGAGUAUGACAACCGGCAGGAGCCAUAGGAGUUGUCUUUAUUAUUUUGCAUGACCUGCGUGUCAUUGAAUAACGCCAUGUAAAUUACUUUACUUUGUUGCUAAACGCGUUAGCCAUAGAAGUAGAAGUAAUCGUUGGCGUAACGACUUCAUGAAGACACAAUGAUGGAGAUCAUGAUGAUGGAGAUCAUGGUGUCAUGCCGGUGACGAAGAUGAUCAUGGUGCCCCGAAGAUGGAGAUCAAUGGAGCAUAAUGAUAUUGGCCAUAUCAUGUCACUAUUUGAUUGCAUGUGAUGUUUAUCAUGUUUUUGCAUCUUAUUUGCUUAGAACGACGGUAGUAAGUAAGAUGAUCCCUUAUGAUAAUUUCAAGAAAAGUGUUCCCCCUAACUGUGCACCGUUGCGAAAGUUCGUUGUUUCGAAGCACCACGUGAUGAUCGGGUGUGAUAGGUUCUAACGUUCGAAUACAACGGGUGUUGACGAGCCUAGCAUGUACAGACAUGGCCUCGGAACACACGCAAUACACUUAGGUUGACUUGACGAGCCUAGCAUGUACAGACAUGGCCUCGGAACACGGAGGACCGAAAGGUCGAGCAUGAGUCGUAUAGAAGAUACGAUCAACAUGGAGAUGUUCACCGAUCUUGACUAGUCCGUCUCACGUGAUGAUCGGACACGGCCUAGUUAAACUCGGAUCAUGUUUCACUUAGAUGACUAGAGGGAUGUCUAUCUGAGUGGGAGUUCAUUAAAUAAUUUGAUUAGAUGAACUUAAUUAUCAUGAACUUAGUCUAAAAUCUUUACACUAUGUCUUGUAGAUCAAAUGGCCAACGUUGUCCUCAAUUUCAACGCGUUCCUAGAGAAAACCAAGCUGAAAGAUGAUGGCAGCAACUAUACGGACUGGGUCCGGAACCUGAGGCUCAUCCUCAUAGUAGCCAAGAAAGAUUAUGUCUUAGAAGCACCGCUAGGUGAUGCACCAAUCCCACAGAACAAGGACGUUAUGAACGCUUGGCAAUCACGUGCUGAUGAUUACUCCCUCGUUCAGUGCGGCAUGCUUUACAGCCUAGAACCGGGUCUCCAAAAGCGUUUUGAGAAACAUGGAGCAUAUGAGAUGUUCGAGGAGCUGAAAUUAGUUUUUCAAGCUCAUGCCCGGGUCGAGAGAUAUGAUGUCUCCGACAAGUUCUUCAGCUGUAAAAUGGAGGAGAACAGUUCUGUUAGUGAGCACAUACUCAGAAUGUCUGGGUGGCACAACCGCUUGUCUCAGCUAGGAGUUAAUCUCCCGGAUGACGCGGUCAUUGACAGAAUCCUCCAGUCGCUUCCACCAAGCUACAAGAGCUUUGUGAUGAACUACAAUAUGCAGGGGAUGGAAAAAACCAUUCCCGAAGUAUAUUCAAUGCUGAAAUCAGCGGAAGGGGAGAUCAGAAAAGAACAUCAAGUGUUGAUGGUGAAUAAAACCACUAAGUUCAAGAAGGGCAAGGGUAAGAAGAACUUCAAGAAGGACGGCAAGGGAGUUUCCGCGCCCGGUAAACCAGUUACUGGGAAGAAGUCAAAGUAUGGACCCAAGCCCGAGACUGAGUGCUUUUAUUGCAAGGGAAGUGGUCACUGGAAGCGGAACUGCCCCAAAUACUUAGCGGACAAGAAGAAGGCCGGCAACACCAAAGGUAUAUGUGAUAUACAUGUAAUUGAUGUGUACCUUACCAGUACUCGUAGUAGCUCCUGGGUAUUUGAUACCGGUGCGGUUGCUCAUAUUUGUAACUCAAAACAGGAACUACGGAAUAAACGGAGACUGGCGAAGGACGAGGUGACGAUGCGCGUCGGGAAUGGUUCCAAGGUCGAUGCGAUCGCCGUCGGCACGCUACCUCUGCAUCUACCCACGGGAUUAGUUUUAAACCUCAAUAAUUGUUAUUUAGUGCCAGCUUUGAGCAUGAACAUUGUAUCUGGAUCUCGUUUAAUUCAAGAUAGCUACUCAUUUAAAUCCGAGAAUAAUGGUUGUUCUAUUUAUUUGGGAAAUAUGUUUUAUGGUCAUGCCCCGCUGGUCAAUGGUUUAUUUUUGAUGAAUCUCGAACGUGAUGUUACACAUGUUCAUAGUGUGAAUACCAAAAGAUGUAAAGUUGAUAACGAUAGUCCCACAUACUUGUGGCACUGCCGCCUUGGUCACAUUGGUGUCAAGCGCAUGAAGAAGCUCCAUGCAGAUGGACUUUUGGAGUCUCUUGAUUACGAAUCAUUUGACACGUGCGAACCAUGCCUCAUGGGUAAGAUGACCAAGACUCCGUUCUCCGGAACAAUGGAGCGAGCAACCAACUUAUUGGAAAUCAUACAUACUGAUGUGUGCGGUCCAAUGAGUGUUGAGGCUCGCGGAGGAUAUCGUUAUGUUCUCACUCUCACAUAUGAUUUAAGUAGAUAUGGGUAUGUCUACCUAAUGAAACACAAGUCUGAAACCUUUGAAAAGUUCAAGGAAUUUCAGAGUGAGGUUGAGAAUCAACGUGACAGGAAAAUAAAAUUCUUACGAUCAGAUCGUGGUGGAGAAUAUUUAAGUCACGAGUUUGGUGCACACUUAAGGAAAUGUGGAAUAGUUUCACAACUCACGCCGCCUGGAACACCUCAGACAAAUGGUGUGUCCGAACGUCGUAAUCGCACUCUAUUGGAUAUGGUGCGAUCUAUGAUGUCUCUUACCGAUUUACCGCUCUCAUUUUGGGGAUAUGCUUUAGAGACUGCCGCAUUCACUUUAAAUAGGGCUCCGUCGAAAUCCGUUGAGACGACACCGUAUGAAUUAUGGUUUGGGAAGAAACCUAAGCUGUCGUUUCUAAAAGUUUGGGGAUGUGAUGCUUAUGUCAAGAAACUUCAACCUGAAAAGCUCGAACCCAAGUCGGAAAAAUGCGUCUUCAUAGGAUACCCUAAGGAAACUAUUGGGUAUAACUUCUACCUCAGAUCCGAAGGCAAGAUCUUCGUUGCCAAGAACGGGUCCUUUCUAGAGAAGGAGUUUCUCUCGAAAGAAUUGAGUGGGAGGAAAGUGGAACUUGAUGAGGUGAUAGUCACCCCUUCUGAACCGGAUAGUAGCGCAGCGCGGGAAAAUGUUCCUGUGGUGCCUACACCGACUGGGGAGGAAGUUAAUGAUGAUGAUCAUGAAGCUUCGGAUCAAGUUACUGAACUUCGUAGGUCCACAAGGACACGUUCCACACCAGAGUGGUACGGCAACCCUGUCCUGGAAAUCAUGUUGUUAGACAACGGUGAACCUUCAAACUAUGAAGAAGCGAUGGCGGGCCCGGAUUCCGACAAAUGGCUAGAAGCCAUGAAAUCCGAGAUAGAAUCCAUGUAUGAAAACAAAGUAUGGACUUUGACUGACUUGCCCGAUGAGCGGCGAGCCAUAGAAAACAAAUGGAUCUUUAAGAAGAAGACGGACGCAGAUGGUAAUGUGACCAUCUACAAAGCUCGACUUGGGCUAAGGGUUAUCGACAAGUUCAAGGGGUUGACUACGAUGAGACUUUCUCACCCGUAGCGAAGCUGAAGUCCGUCCGAAUCAUGUUAGCAAUUGCCGCAUACUAUGAUUAUGAUAUAUGGCAGAUGGACGUCAAAACGGCAUUCCUUAAUGGCUUCCUUAAGGAAGAGUUGUAUAUGAUGCAGCCGGAAGGUUUUGUCGAUCCUAAGAAUGCUAACAAAGUAUGCAAGCUCCAGCGCUCAAUCUAUGGGCUGGUGCAAGCAUCUCGGAGUUGGAACAUUCGCUUUGAUGAGAUGAUCAAAGCGUUUGGGUUUACACAGACUUAUGGAGAAGCCUGUGUUUACAAGAAAGUGAGUGGGAGCUCUGUAGCAUUUCUCAUAUUAUAUGUGGAUGACAUACUAUUGAUGGGAAAUGAUAUAGAAUUCUUGGAAAGUAUAAAGGCCUAUUUGAAUAAGUGUUUUUCAAUGAAGGACCAUGGAGAAGCUGCUUAUAUAUUAGGCAUCAAGAUCUAUAGAGAUAGAUCAAGACGCCUCGUUGGUCUUUCACAGAGUACAUACCUUGACAAGAUAUUGAAGAAGUUCAAUAUGGAUCAGUCCAAGAAGGGGUUCUUGCCUGUAUUGCAAGGUGUGCAAUUGAGCACGGCUCAAUGCCCGACCACGGCAGAAGAUAUAGAAAAGAUGAGUGUCAUCCCCUAUGCCUCGGCCAUUGGGUCUAAUAUGUAUGCCAUGCUGUGUACCAGACCUGAUGUAAACCUUGCCGUAAGUUUGGUAGGAAGGUACCAAAGUAAUCCCGGCAUGGAACACUGGACAGCGGUCAAGAAUAUCCUGAAGUACCUGAAAAGGACUAAGGAUAUGUUUCUCGUUUAUGGAGGUGACGAAGAGCUCGUCGUAAAGGGUUACGUCGACGCUAGCUUCAACACAGAUCUGGAUGACUCGAAGUCAGAAACCGGAUACGUGUAUAUUUUGAAUGGAGGAGCAGUAAGCUGGUGCAGUUGCAAGCAAAGCGUCGUGGCAGGAUCUACAUGUGAAGCAGAAUACAUGGCAGCCUCGGAGGCAGCACAGGAAGCAGUCUGGAUGAAGGAGUUCAUUACCGACCUAGGGGUGAUUCCCAAUGCGUCGGGCCCAAUGACUCUCUUCUGUGACAACACUGGAGCUAUUGCCCUUGCGAAGGAGCCCAGGUUUCACAGGAAGACCAGGCAUAUCAAGCGUCGCUUCAACUCCAUUCGUGAAAGUGUUCAAAAUGGAGACAUAGAUAUUUGUAAAGUACAUACGGGCCUGAAUGUAGCAGAUCCGUUGACUAAACCUCUCCCUAGGGCAAAACAUGAUCAACACCAGGACGCAAUGGGUGUUCGAUUCAUCACAAUGUAACUAGAUUAUUGACUCUAGUGCAAGUGGGAGACUGUUGGAAAUAAGCCCUAGAGGCAAUAAUAAAUGGUUAUUAUUAUAUUUCUUUGUUCAUGAUAAUCGUCUAUUGUUCAUGCUAUAAUUGUAUUGUCCGGAAAUCGUAAUACAUGUGUGGAUACAUAGACCACAACGUGUCCCUAGUAAGCCUCUAGUUGACUAGCUCGUUGAUCAACUGAUAGUCAUGGUUUCCUGGCUAUGGACAUUGGAUGUCAUUGAUAACGGGAUCACAUCAUUAGGAGAAUGAUGUGAUGGACAAGACCCAAUCCUAAGCAUAGCAUAAAAGAUCGUGUAGUUUCGUUUGCUAGGGCUUUUCCAAUGUUAAGUAUCUUUUCCUUAGACCAUGAGAUCGUGCAGCUCCGGGAUACCGUAGGAGUGCUUUGGGUGUGCCAAACGUCACAACGUAACUGGGUGACUAUAAAGGUGCACUACGGGUAUCUCCGAAAGUGUCUGUUGGGUUGGCACGGAUCAAGACUGGGAUUUGUCACUCCGUAUGACGGAGAGGUAUCUCUGGGCCCACUCGGUAAUGCAUCAUCAUAUUGAGCUCUAUGUGACUAAGGCGUUAGUCACGGGAUCAUGCAUUGCGGUACGAGUAAAGAGACUUGCCGGUAACGAGAUUGAACAAGGUAUUGGGAUACCGACGAUCGAAUCUCGGGCAAGUAACAUAUUGAUUGACAAAGGGAAUUGCAUACAGGAUUGAUUGAAUCCUCGACACCGUGGUUCAUCCGAUGAGAUCAUCGUGGAACAUGUGGGAGCCAACAUGGGUAUCCAGAUCCCGCUGUUGGUUAUUGACCGGAGAGGCGUCUCGUUCAUGUCUGCAUGUCUCCCGAACCCGUAGGGUCUACACACUUAAGGUUCGGUGACGCUAGGGUUGUAGAGAUAUGUGUAUGCGGAAACCCGAAAGUUGUUCGGAGUCCUGGAUGAGAUCCCGAACGUCACGAGAGGUUCCGGAAUGGUCUGGAGGUGAAGAAUUAUAUAUAGGAAGUCAAGUUUCGGCCACCGGGAAAGUUUCGGGGGUUACCGGUAUUGAACCGGGACCACCGGAAGGGUCCCGGGGGUCCACCGGGUGGGGCCACCUAUCCCGAAGGGCCCCGUGGGCUGAAGUGGGAAGGGAACCAGCCCCUAGUGGGCUGGGCGCCCCCUCAUGGGCCUCCCCCCAUGCGCCUAGGGUUGGGAACCCUAGGGGGGGAGCUUCCCACUUUCCUUGGGGGACAAGGCACGCCCUUCCCCCCUUUGGCCGCCGCCCCCCUUGAGAUCCCAUCUCCAGGGCCGGCGCCCCCCAGGGGGCCUAUAUAAAAGGGGGGGAGGGAGGGCAGCAACAAAACAGCCUUGGGCGCCUCCCUCCUCCCCUGCUACACUUCUCCGUCUCGCAGAAGCUCGGCGAAGCCCUGCCGAGACCCGCUACAUCCACCACCACGCCGUCGUGCUGCUGGAUCUCCAUCAACCUCUCCUUCCCCCUUGCUAGAUCAAGAAGGAGGAGACUUCGCUGCACCGUACGUGUGUUGAACGCGGAGGUGCCGUCCGUUCGGCACUCGGUCAUCGGUGAUUUGGAUCACGGCGAGUACGACUCCGUCAUCCACGUUCAUUGGAACGCUUCCGCUCGCGAUCUACAAGGGUAUGUAGAUGCACUCCUUUCCCCUCGUUGCUAGUAGACUCCAUAGAUGCAUCUUGGUGAGCGUAGGAAAAAUUUAAAUUAUGCUACGAUUCCCAACAGAUUCUCCUUGUACUGAUAGUGCAUUACAAGGUCCAAGUCUCCACUCCCCUACUCUACCAACAAAGGUGCUUGCUCUAACUUGGCAGUGUGAUAUCUGGUUGCAUGUUGCAUGUGGUGUCUAGCUUGUAUUGCUCCUAAUUAGUGUAAACUGCAUCUGCUUAGCUUACACAUGAUAUGUGUGAAUAUGACACGCUUUACUGUUUUGGUACAUACUAUAUCUGUCUAUCACACCAUGUUCUUACAUGAAGCUACUCUUCUUGUGUAUCCUGCAUCAGUCACUUAUGAUGGAACACCUUUAAGUUGGCAGUGUGAUAUUGGUUUGCGUCUUGAAUAUGAUUUCUAGCAUGUAUUGCUUCUAGUUUGAUGAACGCCACCUAUGACGAGACAGUUUUAACUUGGCAGAGUGAUAUUGAUUGCACCUUUCAUAUGGUGUCUAGUUUGCAGUGCUUCUAAUUUGUUGAAGUGCCUUGUGCUUAGUUACCACAUCAUAGGUGUGAAUAUGUCAAGCCGUCCAUUUUUUCGUACAUAUUCCAUCCUCGUAUCAUGACUUUGCCUUUCAUUGGAGUAGUGUUCGUCAGUAUCAUGCAUCAAUGAGUUCUGAAGAGCAAAUUUUAUUCCUUUUUCUUGUGGGUUUGACUUGACAAUGCAAAAUCAAGAAAUAGGAAGGAAAAGAGUAAGGAAGACGAUGAUGGUGGUCCUCUGCAGCAACGUAAACGGAGCAUCUGUACCGAUUCUCCUCGUACUGAUUGUGCAUUACAAGGUCCAAGUCUCCGUUCCCCUACUCCACCAUCCAAGGUGCUUGCUCUAACUUGGCAGUGUGAUAUCUGGUUGCAUGUUGCAUAUGGUGUCUAGCUUGUAUUGCUCCUAAUUAGUGUAAACUGCAUCUGCUUAGCUUACACAUGAUACGUGUGAAUAUGACACGCUUUCCUGUUUUUGGUACAUACUAUAUCUGUCUAUCACACCAUGUUCUUACAUGAAACUACUCUUCUUGUGUAUCCUGCAUCAGUCACUUAUGAUGGAACACCUUUAAGUUGGCAGUGUGAUAUUGGUUUGCGUCUUGAAUAUGAUUUCUAGCAUGUAUUGCUUCUAGUUUGAUGAACGCCACCUAUGACGAGACACUGUUAACUUGGCAGCGUGAUAUUGAUUGCACCUUUCAUAUGGUGUCUAGUUUGCAGUGCUUCUAAUUUGUUGAAGUGCCUUGUGCUUAGUUCCCACAUCAUAGGUGUGAAUAUGUCAAGCCGUCCAUUUUUUUGUACAUAUUCCAUCCUCGUAUCAUGACUUUGCCUUUCAUCAGGGUAGUGUUCGUCAGUAUCAUGCAUGAAUGAGUUCUGAAGAGCGAAUUAUAUUCCUUUUUCUUGUCGGUUUGACCUCACAAUGCAAAAUCAAGAAAGCUGAAGGAAAUUGGCAAGGCAUUGGAUGAUGGUGGUCCUUCCGAGCAACUGAAAUGGAGGUUCUCUACAGAUUCUACUAUGUGAUCCUCCCAACAAGAUUCGCAAGACAACGCAAGGCUAGACAGUCAACGUAGCAGUGUAGAUGAUGAGCACAUCUCCCCUACUCCACCAUCACAGGUUGUCGUGGUGGGCGCACGGCAGAUGCCAAGGGAUGGCUAAAGAGAGGAGGAGGCUCGAGGCCGCUGGUGGGCUCCAGAGGCGAGGUUGGCAUGAGCGGGCGCGGGACGCCGGACAUACCCAGGUUCGGGGCUCUCCGGAGAGAUAAUACCCCUAGUCCUGCCGAGUGUAAUUGGAUGAUCGAUAGUACAAUGUUGCUCCUGGAGCUGUAUGAGGGAGGAAGGAAGCUGGCCAAGGCUUGGGCUGCCCCUUCUCUCCGGUGUUGCUGUUUUUGUGGCUAGUCCUCCUGCUUUUCCUUUUGCUUGAUCGUGGGCUCCCGGGGGUUUUAUAGUCCAACCCCUCAGGGGUACAAUGCUAAUGUUAUAAGUCGGUGGGUCCGUGUUGUCGGUGUCCGGGGACCCGGGCUCGGCCCCGCUGAGGGCUUGUGGUUCGCCGGGUUCCCCUAGGUGUGGGCCCUGCAAGCCUAGGGGGACUGUGCGCCGUCUUGUCGAUCGUUAGGGCGUGGCCGAGUCGAGUCGCGUACAGUGCUCUCCGUCAAGUUGCCGCUUGCUUUCGUCAACUGUGAGGGUGGGGGCACUGUUGCCACGCCGGCCCUGGUCAGCGGGUAGGUGAGGGGCACUGUUGCCACGUUCCUGCUGACAAGAGGCAUGGGUGGGGCACUGUUGCCUCGGUCAUCGUUGAUUGAAGUCUCGUCCCCGUCAUACGGCCUGGAUGGGACGGGAGUUGACCCGCGGCUGGAUUGCGUAGCACGCCAUGGGUGGCGCUGGCUUGGUGAGGAGGCUUUGGCCGUGCCGGGUUCGGCUGUCUUGCGCCAGUUGUUGGGGCCGAGUCGACGUGUCUUGCCGGGUCGGCUAGCCUGGCCGGCUUGGGGGGUUUGGCCGGGUUGAGCGACCCGGCCAAGCUCGCGCCGGUAUUGAGGGGUGGUGCCAGCCCCGUUGUUUUUGAAGAGGGUCUGGGUUCCGUUGCCUGCCCGGGGUCCAUCCCCCCGACAGUAGUCCCCGAAGCUGUGAAGGUCCGCCAUCUUUGCAUGAGUGGGCCUUCGCAGUUUCCCCCUUAAGCAAGGUGGAUUCUGCGAGCGCCAGGUCCGGCAACACCCACUGUGUGCCGAUUUCUCGGAAACCGGAUCGCGGCGUCUCGGUCGUGGCGGGGACCGAGAAGUCCGCUGAAUCUUGGGGCAAUCCUCGGGCUUUGCACGGGCGCCACAUGGUGCCCGGAAGCCGGAGGGGCCUGACAGGCCACACGCGUGACGGGACCGGGCGACGGGUUGUGGCCCGCCGCCGCGUGCCCUUGGCCCAAGCGCGCGGAUUUAUUGCGGCGUCCGGGGGCCGGUUGCUCUUCCCCGGGCAGUUACUGCGCGUGCACGCGUGCACUUAUUGCGGGGUAGUGGAACAGGCGCAUGCAGAUGAUCCCACUUCCCCACGUUCAAACCGAGGGUUAUAAAUCGGGGGGGCGGGGGCGGCGGACAUUAGUCUUGCUCGCGCCCUCCUGUCCCUUUGCUCUCGCUCCGCUCUUCGCAACAGACGCACUGCGGCGCCCGCUGCUCCUGGCAGAACUCCUUCGCCGUCCAUCUUCCUUCUUCUUCCUUCGAUCAUGUCGCUGCCAUCGGGCUCCUGGAUGGGCUCAAACGUCACCUCCGAGGACAUCACCCAACUCCGGGCGACGCGGCGCCUGCUGCGGGAGACAGACGUCAGCGUCCGCCUGCCGCACGGCGAGCAGAGGCCUCUGCCCGAGGGGCAGGAGCGCAUGGUCUUCCUCACGCACUUCAAGCGCGGGUUAGGGCUGCCGGCGAGCACCUUCUUCCGCGCUUUCCUGGAGUUCUUCGGACUCCAGCCGCAUCAUCUUGGCGCCGGCGCCAUCGUUCAGCUCUCCGGCUUCGUCACCCUCUGCAAGGGGUACCUGGGGGUUGAGCCUACGAUCGACCUCUGGGCGCGCUUCUUCUCCUUGAAGCAGCAGGGCCCGUCGGCUGGGGAGUUCACCGAUUGCGGCGCCGCCGUCAUCUUGAAGCGGUCGGGGGCGGAUUUCCCCAAGAUCCCGCUGGAGGACUCUGCCAAGAAGUGGCGGAACUCCUUCUUCUACGUCCGCAACCUUGGAGCGGAUCGCAUCAAUCUUCCGGCCUUCACCAUCGCACCGCCGCGGGCGAAGACGAACUAGGGCUACUCGCCCAAGCGCCCGUCGCAGGAGAUCGUUAAUCUCUGCAAGCGGGUGACGGUGAUGAGGACGCGGGAGGGGCUCACUGGCACCGACCACCUCGCCGCGUUCAUCAUGCGCCGGGUCCUUCCGCUUCAGGGGCGCUCCUGCCUCAUCGGCGAAAUGGUCGGCCUUCAAGACCCCAACCGCAUGGGGUCGACGCGGCUGUCCGCGGAGCAGGUCGCGCGCGGCGUGAACGACAUCUCCAAGGCCAACCUUGGGGAGGACUGACGGUUCGGCAAGGCACCGUACAGCUAGUCGAACUCGGCGCCGCAGGUGAGUGUCUGGUCUUCUCACUUUGCUGCCGUGCACCUUCUCAUCCGUCCUGACACGACGCGGGGGGUACUUCUGAACGCGAUUCGGCAUCCUUACGCCCGGGCUCCGUCGCAGGUGGAGCCGGUGGCGCCAGAGGAGCCCGUGGCUCGUGGCGGGGAGGAGGAGGCCGAGUCCGACGCUGGCGCUGGGCGUCGCGCGGGUAAGUCUCGCGUUUUUCUUCAUGUGUCUUGAAUUGCUGACCGCGGCACGGAACGGCCGGUGCUGAUGCCAGUUGUUGGUGUAGUGGCGUUGGGCGGGGGAGGCGACGAUGCGGGCGGAGCCGGGUCCUCGCAUGGGGCGGCGCCGAGCCGCCCGCAUGGGAAAGACAGCGUCGCGCCGCGACCCCGGGCCCCGAAGCGCACGGCGGACCCGGCCGGGGCCGGGAGGCCGGCCAUGAGGAAGCGUGGCGGCGGGCACGGGAGGCCAACCCCGGUCCCGGUCUUGGCAGGGUAAGCUUCAUCUCUUGUUUGUGCUCAGGUUUUUUCUUGAGCUAGUCUUGUUUCUUUUCUGCUCAUUCUGUCUUCUUCUCUAGGUCGCCAAUCGUGCUGGCGAGGGCGGCGGCGGAAACCGCGACCGCUGAAGGGGCCGCGUUCCGCAGGAGCCGGUCCGACCUUGCUGACCAGGCCGAGGCGGAGGGACGGGCCGACUCGGACCUCGGCCUAGAUCCGAAUGACGCCGAAGCCUUGGCCUAGCGGGACAGGAACCGGGCUGAGGCGGAGCUGGAGGCGGCCUCGGUCCGUGCUUGGACCGACGCGGCGGCGGCAUGGGCGCGACCCGGCGCGGAGCCGGUCUGGCGCGAGAUGCCGGUGGGCACGGUGGUGGCGGCGACGGUCUUUGAGUCGUCGUCGGUGAGGGAGCGCGGCCGUGGAGGCCGAGCUGAGGUGGUGACCCCCGACCGGGGGGUCGUGGAGGUGGAGGAUGACACCCCGCCGCGGGCCGACGUGGCCGAGCGAGCGGGGACUGAUGGUGGUGGAGGCGGCGGCGUUUUGGAAGAGACGCUGCGGGCGGCGGCGGCGGAGGCGCCGCCGGUUUUGGAGGAGGCACCGCGGGCGGCGGUGCCGGAGGUCACCUCGGCAGCUUGGCCGGAGAUGGCGACGCAGGGCGUCCCGGCGUUCGGGUCAGGGACGGGGACGCAGGGCGUCCCGGAGGAGGUGCUGGCCGCGUCGCGAGCCGGCGAGGAGCACGCCUUGGUGCCCCGGCAGGGAGAGCGCCGAGCUGCCGUGCCGCAGCCAGCGCGGAGCGGGGGGCGCCGUUAUCUUCGGGCCUCAGACCCAGGAGGUCGAGGCGCUGGAUGCCGUUAGUCGCCGCCUGCGAGGCCGGACGAAAGGGCUCGAGGCCUUCGCCCAGGCCGAGGUGGAGCAGUCACGUGACCUGGAGCGCGCCGUUCUGGUAAGUCUUCUUGCAAUUUUCUUCUUUGUGAGGGCAUGCCAGCGCACCCACUGGGUGUAGCCCCGAGGUUCGGGCCAACUACGUAGUAGUUGGGUCGAAUCUUUAGAGUGUUGGCCUUGUUCUGAUUUGUGCUCUCUUCAGUAUCUCGACGCCUUCCAGGUCGCCGCCUACAAUCGUCUCCUGGGCAAGAACCAGGAGCUCGUGGAGCGGCUUGCCGCCAAGGAGGAGCUCCAUGUCGCCGCAGGUAUCCUUGUGCUCUUUUCUAGUGGGGGCGCGCUAGCGCACCCACUCGUUGUAGCCCCCAAGAUUCAGGCCAACUGUGUAACAGUUGGGCCAAAUCUUAAGUCUUGCUUUUUUCUUCUGCCGAGUCCUUCUUUUUCGCAGCCGAGGUGCUGUCUUGGCGGACUCGUCUGCUCCGGGCCGGUCAUCACUAUGACCGGCUCGUUGCCGACACCAGCCGUCUUUGCGUCGAGGCGGCGCAGGCGAGGGCGGAGGCGGCCGCGGCUCGGCGGUCUCUCGACGAGGCCAACCGGCUGCAUGAGCAGCUGGCGGGUCACAAGAGCCGCCUCGAGGCCGAGGUGGAGCUCCUUAAGGCGGAAGCCGCCAAUGUGGCAGAGGCGCAGCAGGCCCUGGUGGAGGCGGACCCGCAGCGCGGCCAGCUGGCCGACGACAAGGGCCGGCUCCAGGCCGAGGUGGAUCACCUGCGGAGGCAGGUCACCACAGCUGAGGGGGCCCGUCAGGACGAGGCCCGUCGCCGCGAGGCGGCCGAGAAGGCGGCCGAAGACAAGGACGCCGAGCUGAAGGCGACCCUUGCCAAGGCGGCCAAUCUGGAGAAGGCGCUCGAGGAGCGCCACCGCGCCAUCGAGCGGGAGCGGCGUGGUACGUUGCUUGAGGCGCAGCACCUGGAAGAGUCCUUCUCGAGUAAGUGCUUUUUUCUUGUCAUUUGCCGUGUCGGGAUUCGGCCUUUCUUCCUUGCUGUUCUUCUUCUAACUCGCUUCUUCCUUUGCGGCAGGGGCCUUCCCAGAGACGCAGCGGCUGGCGGAGGAAGCCGUCCGCUAUCAGCGUGACCUGACCGGCGUCGUUGGGUCCGGGACGGAUCCGCGGGUGGCCUGGACCUUCCCGGAGAUCAUCGCCACCGCUGAGGCCCGCCUGCAGGUUCUGGGAACGCAGUUGGGGCGGCUGUCCCAGGCCGGCACCGCGAUGACGGCGGCCCUAUGGCCGGACUUCGUCCAACCGAGCAGCUUCUCGUGCUUGGCGCGUUGGUUGGAGAUGGGGCCGGACCUGCUUGGCGAGUGGCGCGUCUCCGCCGCUCGUGCCGGUGCUGAGAUGGCGCUCCGGUUCGUGCUGUCCUGGCAUCCGGACCUGCAGCUGGACGCGUUGAUGGGCCAGCGGGCCGGUUCGGAGCAGCUCUUGCAGGAGCAAGCCGGCCGGAUCGCCUCCCGGGCCAGCUACAUCGCCGAGUUCGCCUUCCAUGACGAGUUCCAUCCGGAGCAGACGGAAGACGGCGGGGUCGUGGACGGCGACGACUACGGCUUGCUCCUCCACGAUCCGGAGGGGAGCUCGGAGGAGACGGGCGUCUACCGCGACGCGGAUGCUGAGGAGGGCACCGGCACCUCGCUGGACCCGGAGGCUGCGAGGGGAGAGCCGUCGAUGUCGCGACGCGGCGCUGGAGAUGCCUGAGACACUUUGUGUAAAAUCUGUUAAAUAGCAGGUCCACCCACCCACUGGGGGUUUUUAGGGUGUAAUGAACUCGGGCCGUGGACCUUUUCUUAAAUACUUGUAGAUGUCGUGGGUGCUUUUGCUUUUUUGCCUUCCUUUUUUGGACCAAUUUCAUUCGCUUUUCCUUUCUCAAACCNNNNNNNNNNNNNNNNNNNNNNNNNNNNNNNNNNNNNNNNNNNNNNNNNNNNNNNNNNNNNNNNNNNNNNNNNNNNNNNNNNNNNNNNNNNNNNNNNNNNNNNNNNNNNNNNNNNNNNNNNNNNNNNNNNNNNNNNNNNNNNNNNNNNNNNNNNNNNNNNNNNNNNNNNNNNNNNNNNNNNNNNNNNNNNNNNNNNNNNNNNNNNNNNNNNNNNNNNNNNNNNNNNNNNNNNNNNNNNNNNNNNNNNNNNNNNNNNNNNNNNNCAAACGGCCGAAGCUCCGGUCCGUGACAAGGAGUUCGGUUCUUUGAGAGGAGCGCGUAGGACUUGGGUCCCUCGAAACGUUGAGCACGAGCGAAACACCCCCUGGGCCGGCUGGCGGCAAUCCGGCGAAGCGGUUGGGGAGCAGCCGGUCGUGUGGCUGUUCAUUUGAUGAAUGGCGGGCCGGGUUGAUCGACCCGGCAACCUUUGGCUUAGUGUAUGAAGCGUAAAGGACCUUGGCCCGUUGUGCUUGCCAGCCGACAGCCAAAGCUGGAUCUGUGGCUUUAGGGCGAAGUGGGGGACCGCGGCAUCCUAACUUUAUCAGGAAUCACCAAGUAAGGCGGCGGGGUAGCGACCGAGCCGGCCAGCCCCCGAGCCCCCGGGUCGAGCGAGUCGGACCGGUGGCCGGGUUCAGUGGUAUAGUGAUGCAAGAAAAUAGGGACACAAUAAAUUGGUCGACAAAAGGCAGCCCCCGAGUCUCGUUCGGGGACCCCAUAGUUUCAUGCAUUUGCAAAAGGCGAUGAUACAUACGCUCGUGCGGCUAACUGUAAAACGGGCGGAGGAGUUCCGCGUUCCACGGCCGGGUCAUUUCUUCACCGGCGGUGUCCUUCUUGUGCUUCCUCGACUUGCGUGCAUCGAUGAGGUAGUAGGCGUUGCGGUCAUGCAAGGCCCUGCUCACGAUGAAUGGGCCCUCCCAUGGAGGGGACAGCUUGUGCUGGCCUGCCUACUCUUGGACGAGUCGGAGGACGAGGUCGCCCUCGCGGAACGCGAGGGGCUUGAUCUUCUUGCUGUGGUAGUGCCUCGAGCCUUGCUGUUAGAUGGCCGAGCGACUGAGCGCCAGGAGGCGUGCUUCUUCGAGCAGGUCGACGCCAUCUUCGCGGGCUUCUCUGGCUUCGGCUUCGGUGUUAGCGCCCACCGUGGGGCAGCUCGAGGAGCUGGCCGGGAGCAUGCUUCGGACGGGGCCCUUCUCCUACGCCGACGAGUCUGUCGCUCUGGCGGACGACGUCGUCGGCACGCUUGUCGCCUCCUUCACCGCGCAGCGCAUCUCCGAUGCGUUCGCGACCGACGAGUGACUCGGCCCCCGGACGCCACAAUAAAUCCGCGCGCUUGGGCCGAGGGCGCGCGGCAGCGGGCCCCAGCCCGUCGCCCGGUCCCGUCACGCGCGUGGCCUGUCAGGCCCCUCCGGCUUCCGGGCACCACGUGGCGCCCACGCAAAGGCCGAGGGAUUGCCCCAAGAUUCGGCGGACUUCUCAGUCCCCGCCACGACCGAGACGCCGCGAUCCUGUUUCCGAGAAAACCGGCACACAGUGGGUGUUGCCAGACCUGGCGCUCGCAGAAUCCACCUUGCUUAAGGGGGAAACUGCGAAGGCCCACUCAUACGAAGACGCCGGACCUUCACAGCUUCGGGGACUACUGUCGGGGGGAUGGACCCCGGGCAGGCAACGGAAUCCGGAUCCUCUUCAAAAACAACAGGGCUGGCACCGCCCCUCAAUACCAGCGCGCGCUUGGCCGGGUCGCUCGACCGGCCAAUCCCCCCCAAGCCGGCCAGACUAGCUGACUCGGCAAGACACGUCGACUCAGCCCCAACAAUUGGCGCAAGGCAGCCGAACCCGGCACGGCCAAAGCCUCCUCACCAAGCCAGCGCCACCCAUGGCGUGCUACGCAAUCCAGCCGCGGGUCAACUCCCGUCCCAUCCAGGCCGUAUGAUGGGGAUGAGACUUCAAUCAACGAUGACCGAGGCAACAGUGCCCCGCCCAUGCCUCUGGUCAGCAGGAACGUGGCAACAGUGCCCCUCACCUACCCGCUGACCAGAGCCGGCGUGGCAACCGUGCCCCCACCGUCACCGCUGACGACAGCAAGCGGCAACCUGACGGAGAGCACUGUACGCAACUCGACUCGGCCACGCCCUGACGAUCGACAAGACGGCGCAUAGUCCCCCUAGGCUUGCGGGGCCCGCACCUAGGGGAACCCGGCGAACCACAAGCCCUCAGCGGGGCCCAGCCCGGGUCCCCGGACACCGACAACACGGACCCACCGACUUAUAACAUUACCAUUGUACCCCCGAGGUGUUGGACUAUAAAACCCCCGGGAGCCCAUGAUCAUUCGAGAGGCGAAGCGAAAGGCGAUGCAGGAGGACUAGCCACAAAAACAGCAACACCGGAGAGAAGGGGCAGCCCAAGCCUUGGCCAGCUUCCUUCCUCCCUCAUACAGCUCCAGGAGCAACAUUGUACUAUCGAUCAUCCAACUACACUCGGCGGGACUAGGGGUAUUAUCUCUCCGAAGAGCCCCGAAGCUGGGUAUGUCCGGCGUCCCGCGACCGCUCAUGCCAACCUCGCCUCUGGAUCCCACCAGCGCCCUCGAGCCUCCUCCUCUCUUUAGCCAUCCCUUGGCAUCUGCCAUGCGCCCACCACGACAGUUGGUGCCCACCGUGGGGCAGCUCGAGGAGCUGGCUGGGAGCAUGCUUCGGACGGGGCCCUUCUCCUACGCCGACGAGUCCGUUGCUCUAGCGGACGACGUCGUCGGCGCGCUUGCCGCCUCCUUCGCCGCGCUGCGCAUCUCCGAUGCGUUCGCCGGGCCCGCCAAGGCGGGCGGAGCCGGAUCCCGCCGGCUUGGCGAGCUGGUUGAGGCGGUCCUGCUGGGUGUUGGCGGCGUGGAGGAGUUCACGCAUCCGCCCGAUGCGCUUCUUCAGCUCCUCACCCGCGAGCUGGUCCAGGCCGAUUGUGGCUGCCUGGGCAGUGCGCAUGUUCUUCGCUGGGGUCUCGUGGAUGGUUGGGACGGCGCCGAGGGCCCGGCCGAUCGCUCUUCCCCGGGCACGCACAUCGGUGACCCGGCUUGGCUCGGCCGCGGCGGGCAUGAAUCCGUAAGCGGCGUCGUGCUCCAGCUGAGCGGCGUCCAGGCGACGCUGAGUGGCGGCGAGCGUCUCAGAUAGGUCUAGCAUCUGCUGGCGCCUUUCCUCGAGCUGGGUUCGGGCCUCAGCGACGUUGGUGGCGUCGACGUCGGUGCCGAUGGGCAUGCGGAGACUCUGCAUCACGGCGCACAACGGAUCGGACGGCUCGAUCCGAUCCGCUGCAGCCCUGGCUUUGGCAGCCUUCCUCGUCUUGCUCGACGAGGAGGAGGCGCCGUCGCCGGUGACGAAGACCUCCCCAAUGACGUCCAUUGGCCCGGCGGAAACGCCGCCGCCGAGGGAGAGGGUAGAGUCGGAGUAGCUGAGCACCUCGCUGGGGUACUCGUCGGCCGCGAACGCAUCAGAGAUGCGCAGCGCGGCAAAGGAGCCGACAAGCGCGCCGACGACGUCGUCCGCUGGAGCGAUGGACUCGUCGGCAUAGGAGAAGGGCCCCGUCCGAAGCAUGCUCCCAGCCAGCUCCUCGAGCUGCCCCACGGUGGGCGCCAACUGUCGUGGUGGGUGCACGGCAGAUGCCAAGGGAUGGCUAAAGAGAGGAGGAGGCUUGAGGGCGCUGGUGGGCUCCAGAGGCGAGGUUGGCAUGAGCGGGCACGGGACGCCGGACAUACCCAGGUUCGGGGCUCUCCGGAGAGAUAAUACCCCUAGUCCUGCCGAGUGUAGUUGGAUGAUCGAUAGUACAAUGUUGCUCCUGGAGCUAUAUGAGGGAGAAAGGAAGCUGGCCAAGGCUUGGGCUGCCCCUUCUCUCCGGUGGUGUUGUUUUUGUGGCUAGUCCUCCUGCUUCGCCUCUCGCUUGAUCGUGGGCUCCCGGGGGUUUUAUAGUCCAACCCCUCGGGGGUACAAUGGUAAUGUUAUAAGUCGGUGGGUCCGUGUUGUCGGUGUCCGGGGACCCGGGCUGGGCCCCGCUGAGGGCUUGUGGUUCGCCGAGUUCCCCUAGGUGUGGGCCCCGCAAGCCUAGGGGACUGUGCGCCGUCUUGUCGAUCGUCAGGGCGUGGCCGAGUUGAGUCGCGUACAGUGCUCUGCGUCAGGUUGCCGCUUGCUGUCGUCAGCGGUGAGGGUGGGGGCACUGUUGCCACGUUCCUGCUGACCAGAGGCAUGGGCGGGGCAUUGUUGCCUCGGUCAUCGUUGAUUGAAGUCUCGUCCCCGUCAUACGGCCUGGAUGGGAUAGGAGUUGACCCGCGGCUGGAUUGCGUAGCACGCCAUGGGUGGCGCUGGCUUGGUGAGGAGGCUUUGGCCGUGCCGGGUUCGGCUGUCUUGCGCCAGUUGUUGGGGCCGAGUCGACGUGUCUUGCCGGGUCGGCUAGUCUGGCCGGCUUGGGGGGCUUGGCCGGGUCGAGCGACCCGGCCAAGCGCGCGCCGGUAUUGAGGGGCGGUGCCAGCCCCAUUGUUUUUGAAGAGGAUCCGGGUUCCGUUGCCUGCCUAGGGUCCAUCCCCCCGACACAGGUGCUUGCUCUAACUUGGCACUAUUAUAUGUGGUUGCAUGUUGCGUAUGAUGUCUAGCUUGUAUUGCUUCUAACUUUGUUGAAUUGCAUCUGCUACUUUACACAUAAUGCGUGUGAAUAUGACACAUGUUCCUGUUUCUAGAACAUACGUGUACAUGAUGAGCACAUCUCCCCUACUCCACCAUCACAGGUGCUUGCUCUAACUUGGAACUGUUAUAUGUGGUUGCGUUUUCCGUAUGAUGUCUAGUUUGUAUUGCUUCUGAUUAUGUGGAAUUGCAUCUGCAUAGCUUACAACUUAUACCUGCAACGAUUACUUACCCAUAAGACACAUUUAACUUGGGACUGUGAUGUAGGUUGCAUCUUGCAUUGUCUUCUAGCUUGUACUGCUUCUAAUUUCUUGAAAUGGCACUUACGACGAGACACUUUUUACCUGAUAGAGUGAUAUUGGUUGCAUUUCAUAUUGUGCCUAGCUUUCAUUUCUUCUAAUUUUGUUGAAAUGCCCUCCGCUUACUGUUUUUUCAUCCAUAUUCCAUCGUCCUAUCGUACGUGUGAAUAUGAAACGCUGUCUUUUUUUGUAUAUAUUCCAUCCUCCUAUCCUGUGCUUGCCUUACAUCAAAGUAGUGUUCGUUUGUAUCAUGCAUCAACCAGUUAUGCAGAGCUAAUUUUAUUUGUCUUCUUGUGGUUUUGACUUCAUAAGGCAAUAUCAGAAAAUAGGAAGGAAAAUAGUAAGUUAGGGGAUGUUGGUGGUCCUCUGCAUCGACGCAAACAGAGACUCUCUAGAUUUGCCACUGCUACUGCUAAUGAAGUCGAAGUCCCAAGUCUACAUGAUGAGUUCAUCUCCCGUACUCCAUCGCAGGUGCUUGCUCUAAGUUGACAGUGUGAUAAUUGGUUUCAUGUUGCAUAUGUUGUCUAGCCUGUAUUUCUUCUAUUUUGAUUAAAUUGCACCUGCUGAGUUCAUACGUUAUACUGUGCAUAUGACAUGGCGUUCUGUGUCUAGAAUACACUGCAUCUAUCUAUCAUACCAUGUUCUUACAUCAAAGUACUGUUGUUGUGUAUCCCGCAUCAGUCACUCAUGAUUGGACACUUUUAACAUGGCAGUUUGAUAGUGGUUGCAUCUUGCAUUGAUUUCUACGUUGUACUGCUUCUAAUUUUUCGAAUUGCCACUUAUGACAAGACACUUUUAACUUGGCAGAGUAAUAUUGGUUGCAUCUUUCAUAUGGUGUCUAGCUUGCAUCACUUCUAUUUUCUUGAAAAUCCUUCUGCUUAGUUUACACAUCGUAGCUGUGAAUAUGUCAUGCCGUCUUGUUUUCCUUACAUAUUCCAUCCUCAUACGGUUGUCUUACAUCAAAGUAUUGCUUGUCUAUAUCAUGCAUCAAUGAGUUCUGAAGAGCGAUUUUAUUCUUUUGUGUUGUGGGUACGGCUUGACAUGGCAAAGUCAAAAAAGAGCAAGGAAAAUAAUAUAGUAGGGAGUGGUGUUACUCGUCGGGUGAAACGGAAAAGGAUCGGCCAUCCAGAUUCUGCUGGUACUUAUAGUGCAGUAGAAGGUCCAAGUCCACCGGCUAAAUCUACAAACACAGUAUCACCUGCUCCACCAGCUGCAGCAUCCGCUUCAACUGUACCAGCAUCUCACCGAGUUACUCGUUUGUUUUCUCUGGAACUGGCCAGUUCCAAAGCUGCCUUCACACCUAACACUACUUCCGAAGCACUGCUGACACAACAGGACUUGGCAAGAUCAGAUGAACCUCAUGAGCAUCAACACCAAGACGGUACCUGACCGAGUCAAGUUGUAGUUGCAUGCUCCUUUAUAUGUACUCUCGCAGUUUGAUGUACCCUAACACUUUCCAUAUUCAUUGUUGAACUAGCACCACGAUGCAAGCGGAAACAGACAUCAGGGAUAAUGCUUGAUAGAUUAACAAAAUCUAAAGGAGGAAGAAUGGAGAUCCAUUUUGAGGCAGGUUUAAAAAGGCCACGUGAUGCUACAGAGUCAGCCAAGUUAGUAUCAGAGGCAGCCGUUGCCGUUAGGUGUCAUGCACGUAUCCUCCCAACGUGGAUCCAGUACAGGAAUGAGAAAGACAAUACCCAGUUUAACACCUUCCUUGACCAUUUAUCCGUAAGUAAUGUUAUUCAUCGCAAUUAGUCAUAUUGUCUUGCUCUGUCCCAUACUUUCUAGCUUCCUCCUAAUAAGACUCACAUUCUUUUUUCAACAGCUAAGGUUCAAGUUGGAUCCGAAAGAUGAUGCAACUAAACAAGCAUGCACUCAUGUUUUUCAGUCUGCUCUGCGACAGUAUCGGUACCACCUUAGAAAAUCUCACUUUGAAGGCAAGGCUAACAAUGAAAUCGCCCAAACAUCUCCAGUGGAAUAUAUUACAGAUGAAGACUGGACAGCCCUCGUUAAACACUGGUCUGAUCCAAAGUAUCAGGUAGGCUAUAUGUAUUUGAUCAGACCACAUAUUGAACUUGUAUUUAUGUAUGUGCCUUACAAGUGUAUCUUCUUCUAGGCUAACUGUUUGAAGAACAAAACAACCCGUUCUAAAGUGAAAUUCCAACAGACAACAGGAUCUCGUAGCUAUAUUGCACACUGCGAGGCUCUUGUAAAUAGCUGCUACUUCCUUAUUUUUUUCUGUGCCAUAUUAUCGUAUCUAUAUUGACUUGUUCCAAAUACAGAGGAAAGCCUGUGCGGACCAAAAAGAACCUGAACCGAAUGCAGUGCAAAUCUUCAAGGAUUGCCACACCAGCAAGAUGAAGGGCAUGAGCACACCAAUUCAAGCCGGUGUUGUAAGUCCUUAUUCCUCCUGCCUUUGAACUAAUUGGUACUGUGAUGUGUUCAUUUAACUACUUGGUUUGCAGCCAAUGUCAGUUACUUUGUUCACUUUUAUACAUAGUUGUCUUAAUGUAUCAUUUCACCUUACAUGGUUCAAAAGAGAUGAAGGAUAUUCUUUUGGUCUUGAUCAGUAUUCUAGUUGUUAUGUUUACGUGCGCACACAAUGAUAAAAUAGCAUGUUUGUUUUAUAUCUGUUUGCCCAUGAUAUAAAUGAUGUCAUACUAUGUUCAUCCUACUUUAAACCAUGUCUCUUUAUCCUUAGAUGUCAACGAAUGUGAGGAAAUAGACAAUACAGUAGGCAUGCUACAUGGACAUAUGUUCCGAAAGUGAUUUUAUUAUGUAGUUGGCACUACAAUACAUGCUAAUGUAUUACAGUAGUUCACCAAAAUAAGUUAUGUAUAAACGUGUAACCUACUUUUUUUGUUUUUGUCUCAUUAGUAACUUAUCUGGUGCACUAAUCUACAAGUUCAAACUUUCAGGAAGCUAUGGAAAAAAUGAUUGAACAACCACAAUCACCUGAAGGUGACGAGGCUACCACAGGCACAAUGUCAACUCUUGAUGCAGUGCAUUAGUAUCUCUCCUCUAACAGUGCAAAAAACACCUUCCUGUGUAAUUCUGGGUUGGUUGUCAAGGUAACCUCGUCCGAAUUUCCUACUGAACAAAAUCUUCCUGCCAGACAGAGUGAUAUAUCUGUGCUCCAGACACAAGUCCAAUCCCUAAUGGACGUCGUUUUGGAAACAAGAAUAGUGGUUGACAAAUGUCAUCAAGAUAUGAAUGGUUUUGAAACCAGACUAUCAGACAUUCGCUUCGUUGUUCAAGAGCAAUGGCGAAAAAAAGGUGAAGAUCGUGCUGCUCCAUCAGAUUCUACAGCCUGAAACAUUAGCACUCAGGUCAAAUGAUCUGUGCUUCUAUACAUCUGAUGGUGCUUUUAUCUGCAAGGACUGUAAACUUUAUGCCAACAGUGCUUUUGUUGUGAUACAACAUUUAUGCUGCUGCCAAAGGCUGCAAUAAUUACGAUGCUAUUUUUGUAUAGUGUAGGUUUAUCUUAGUAAUGUAUUCGGCCGAAAGCUUCGUAGGAGCCCAACAUGCCAACAUUCGUCGGGCCCAUUCCAAUUGGGCUAAAAACGAUUAUGGGCCGAAAUUUGCAUGUAGCCCACUAAAAAUAUCUGGGCCUAAAUCAGCAUAAGAUUUCAUAUUUUUCUGGUAGGCCCGUGCCCAUAGUGGACCUUUAACAGGCCUAACAUAAUUUGGGCCCUCAGUAACAAUAGGCUGUUUACAGGUGUAAAUAUCUCGAGCCCAUAAAAAACAUGGGCCUUUAAAAGACCGAAAGUGAGAUUGGGCCCAUUUACGAUGCGGAUCUUUCACAGGCCGAAAUUCGGACGGGCCGUAAAUGCGCCGACCUAAUACACGGGCCUUUAACAGGCCGGAAGUUCGGUCGGGCUAGAUUAUCGUCAUUUCUAUAUGGGCCGUUAAUGGGCCCGAUGUGACGUUGGGCCACAUAUGGCCCAUGGAUUUCGUCCGACGUUAACAGGCCGAAAAUCACAACAUGCCGAAAGUGGCCCAAGUUUAUGGCGGGCCGCUAACAGGCCGAAUGUGAGACAUGGCCGAAUAUGACCCAAAUCCUUCACGGUUGUUUAUGGGCCGAAAGUUUCAAUGGCAUGUAAAUGGGCCCAAAUGAAGCAGGACCUUUAACAGGGCGGAAAUACACCGGGUCGUAAUUCGGCCCAUAUACUUAGCGGACUGUUAACGGGCCAGAAGUGAUCAUGGGCCGCGAUGAUGACAAGUUUAGGACAGGCCGUUGACGGGCCGAUUUGACACUAGCCGUACGGGCCUUAACUGAGAAUGUUGGGCCUUUAUUUGGGCCGGCCCAUUAUGGUCCGCAAAAUCUCACGCGCCUUUAGCUGGGCUGGCCCAUUAUGGCCCGCAAAAUCUCGUGGGCCUUUAGCCGGGCCGGCCCAUUAUGAUACGAAAAAUCUCGUGGGCCUUUUGCUGGGCUGGCCCAUUGUGGACCGCAAAAUCUUGUGAGCCUUUAGUUGGGCCGACCCAUUUAAACUUUAUGGGCCACUUUUGGGCCGGUCCACGUGUCAGCAUAUCAUAGGCGCAUCUCGCCCGUUGGACGAGUGAGACCUGUGCCAACGCAGAGCUGAGACGUGUUUCCCUCAGCCAAUCAGAAUUUUACACGUGGAAAAUCCCCAUUGGUCCUGGCUGUUAACGGGUUAUCGGAUCCAAAACCUGACCCGAUAGCUUAACGGCGUUCCGUUACGGUGGAUGCCACGUGACGGUCACCCUUGACGAAAGCACUUCUGUGACGCGCGAUUUAUCGUCAUGGAAGUGGACACUUCCGUGAUGAUAAUUUUGUUAAUGUCAUGGAACACUUCUACGACAGCACAGGUAUGACUAUCUUGAUUCUGUCAUAAAUUUGUCAUGGAUGUGUCAUCACGUAUCAUCACGUACUAUGACAAACACGUAUCAUCACGGAAGUGUCUUUUUUUGUAGUGAUAUUGGCCAAGUCAAAUGCAUCAAGGACGGAGCAGGCCAACUCUUGGUGAAGGACGAGGAGAUUAAGCAUAGAUGGCGGGAGUACUUCGACAAGUUGUUCAAUGGGGAGAAUGAGAGUUCUACCAUUGAACUGGACGACUCCUUUGAUGAGACCAGCAUGCGUUUUGUGCGGCGAAUCCAGGAGUCUGAGAUCAAGGAGGCUUUAAAAAGGAUGAAAGGAGGCAAGGCGAUGGGCCCUGAUUGUAUCCCCAUUGAGGUGUGGAAAGGUCUCGGGGACAUAGCGAUAGUAUGGCUAACCAAGCUUUUCAACCUCAUUUUUCGGGCAAACAAGAUGCCAGAAGAAUGGAGACGGAGUAUAUUAGUACCAAUCUUCAAGAACAAGGGGGAUGUUCAGAGUUGUACUAAUUACCGUGGAAUUAAGCUGAUGAGCCAUACAAUGAAGCUAUGGGAGAGAGUCAUCGAGCACCGCUUAAGAAGAAUGACAAGCGUGACCAAAAAUCAGUUUGGUUUCAUGCCUGGGAGGUCGACCAUGGAAGCCAUUUUCUUGGUACGACAACUAAUGGAGAGAUAUAGGGAGCAAAAGAAGGACUUGCAUAUGGUGUUCAUUGACUUGGAAAAGGCCUAUGAUAAGAUACCGCGGAAUGUCAUGUGGUGGGCCUUGGAGAAACACAAAGUCCCAGCAAAGUACAUUACCCUCAUCAAGGACAUGUACGAUAAUGUUGUGACAAGUGUUCGAACAAGUGAUGUCGACACUGAUGACUUCCCGAUUAAGAUAGGACUGCAUCAGGGGUCAGCUUUGAGCCCUUAUCUUUUUGCAUUGGUGAUGGAUGAGGUCACAAGGGAUAUACAAGGAGAUAUCCCAUGGUGUAUGCUCUUUGCGGAUGAUGUCGUGCUAGUUGACGAUAGUCGGACGGGGGUAAAUAGGAAGUUAGAGUUAUGGAGACAAACCUUGGAAUCGAAAGGGUUUAGGCUUAGUAGAACUAAAACCGAGUACAUGAUGUGCGGUUUCAGUACUACUAGGUGUGAGGAGGAGGAGGAGGUUAGCCUUGAUGGCCAGGUCGUACCUCAGAAGGACACCUUUCGGUAUUUGGGGUCAAUGCUGCAGGAGGAUGGGGGUAUUGAUGAAGAUGUGAACCAUCGAAUCAAGGCCGGAUGGAUGAAGUGGCGCCAAGCUUCUGGCAUUCUCUGUGACAAGAGAGUGCCACAAAAGUUAAAAGGCAAGUUCUAUAGGACGGCGGUUCGACCCGCAAUGUUGUAUGGCGCUGAGUGUUGGCCGACUAAAAGGCGACAUGUUCAACAGUUAGGUGUGGCGGAGAUGCGUAUGCUGAGAUGGAUGUGUGGCCACACGAGGAAGGAUCGAGUUCGGAAUGAUGAUAUACGAGAUAGAGUUGGGGUAGCACCAAUUGAAGAGAAGCUUGUCCAACAUCGUCUGAAAUGGUUUGGUCAUAUUCAGCGCAGGCCUCCAGAAGCUCCAGUGCAUAGUGGACGGCUAAAGCGUGCGGAGAAUAUCAAGAGAGGACGAGGUAGACCGAAUUUGACAUGGGAGGAGUCCGUUAAGAGAGACCUGAAGGAUUGGAGUAUCACCAAAGAGCUAGCUAUGGACAGGGGUGCGUGGAAGCUUGCUAUCCAUGUGCCAAAGCCAUGAGUUGGUUGCGAGAUCUUAUGGGUUUCACCUCUAGCCUACCCCAACUUGUUUGGGACUAAAGGCUUUGUCGUUGUUGUUGUUGUAUAAGUUUAUGCGUGAGGUGCGCUCCAAGGAUGGAAUCUGGAGCUAGAUCGUGGAAAUCGAGCCCGUAAUAGAACAUAAGCCCUCUAACAAAGGGAUCAAGACUAAAGCCUAGCCCUCGGAGGAAGUGGGAAACAAAUACGACACUCUCGUUGGGUUCGGGAGUGGGGAUGACCUGCCCUUGAGCAGGCAGCCUGUGCGAGAUUUCAGCGGUCAGAUACCUGGCUUCUCUUAGCUUCUUGAUGUCCUCCUCUGUGACAGAGGAGGCCAUCCACCGGCCUUGAAGGCUGGAUCCGGACAUGAUUGAAGGUCUGAAGCACUUAGCAUGAGCCUUCGGUGUUGGAACUCGAGGUGGGGGAAGGGAUGGAUCGAGCGCGAGAAGAAAAGGACAGGCCUUGGGCCCUUUAUAAAGAGGGCGAAUAUCAAGCGUCCUCCGCAUGGCCGUUUGGAACUUGCCUAAAAUCGAGGAGUCAUACCAACAAGCACAAUUGGGUUACCCACACCCGUAUUGAUGAGAAUCCCGUGAUAAGGGGAACACGAUCUCUACUUCGACAAAACGUGCCAAUAAAACUGCCUCGCAACACGUGAAGUGGCAGGCUGGGAAAAACGGUUCGUAAUGACCAGACCACGGCAGGAUGUCAUGUUAUGAAAAGUUAUCAGCAGAUCAGAUUUGUGGAAUAAUAUACUCUCUACGGUGGUAUGUGGAAUUUGUUUUGCAGAGCCGGACACGAUCCUUGUGUUCAAAAUCUUCUAUGGAGUAUUCGGAGGAGGAACCCACCUUGCAAUGCCGAAGACAAUCUGCACGCCGGACUCAUCGUCAUUGAAGCCUGGUUCAGGGGCUACUGAGGGAGUCCUGGAUUAGGGGGUCCUCGGACAGCCGGACUAUAUACUUUGGCCGGACUAUUGGACUAUGAAGAUACAAGAUUGAAGACUUCGUCCCGUGUCCGGGUGGGACUCUCCUUUGCGUGGAAGGCAAGCUUGGCAAUUCGGAUAUGUAGAUCUCCUCCCUUGUAACCGACUCUGUGUAACCCUAGCCCCCUCCGGUGUCUAUAUAAACCGGAGGGUUUAGUCCGUAGGACAACAACAAUCAUAAUCAUAGGCUAGCUUCUAGGGUUUAGCCUCUACGAUCUCGUGGUAGAUCAACUCUUGUAAUACUCAUAUCAUCAAGAUCAAUCAAGCAGGAAGUAGGGUAUUACCUCCAUCGAGAGGGCCCAAACCUAGGUAAACAUUGUGUCCCCCGCCUCCUGUUACCAUCCGCCUUAGACGCACAGUUCGGGACCCCCUACCUGAGAUCCGCCGGUUUUGACACCGACAGUAGCCCCUCAAUCAACACCGAGUGAAGUCCUCCAGACUACGGCUCCACCUUCAACAUGACUCCAUGGCAGAUGAUCAGUCCACCCCCGUGCCUCAUCGACUUCAAGCUCCGUGUAUACACCACCUUGAAUCAAUCCCGCGCAAUAGUCUUGUCGAAGCCACACAAGCCCUCAGGCCUACGUCACGUGUUUACACGCCCCAGAAGUUGGUCACCAUCAGCAUCACGCUCCUAUGUCGUCGUCACUGAUCCCACCAUCGUCUUCUGUACCAAUCGACUUACGUCAAACCGUCAGACUGUCCAGUCCGACCCAGCUUCCAGAUCAUCUUCCGCGAAUUUCCAUCCAUCACAUGAUAAUUCCAUCUUAGCUGACAUGACUUCCCGCAACGCCUUGAAGCAUCUCCAUUGUGCCAACAAAUCUUUCGUUUUUGUCUGCCAUAACCCAAGGUUUUCAGUUCCGUGAACUUCUCCACCUCAAACUUGAUACCCAUUGGUACCAUGGUUCUUUAUACGGCUGAUCCUGCAAAAAACUAACCAAGCUGCUACCACAUGCGAUGCCAUGCAGUCCGUGUAUGUCUAAUAAUAUCCCAAAGUCCAGCACCCUUCCCGCGUGCAAGUAGCAAAAUACCAGGUUGAAAAUUGACCAAACUUGCUACUCACGGGAGCUACUCUACUCCUUGAUGCUUAGCCAGAACCUCUCGUACUGCGGCCUGGCUAUUCUGCUGCAGCCACGCGCACGACCCGAUGCAAACUGUUGUUGUCGCCCCUGCUCCCUGAUGGAUGCGUACGAGUGUACCAUGAGAGCAUCUCCAGCCGUUGGCCCCCCAAGACGCAUAAAAAUUGCCGCCUGGGGGCGAGCCGGCGGCAGAAUCGGCGCUGGGGGCGGUUGGGCAUCCAGUCGUAGCCCCCAGGUCGCCUCCAGGCGCCGAUAUCGAGCCAUUCGUGGCCGCUUUUCGGUCCAGAUAAAUAGAAAAUGGCCCGAUAUCGGCGAGAAACGGCACAUAUUCGGCGUGGUUCGGCGUUGAAUUCUCAACAUAAGUAAUUUUUUAUCACAUAGUUCAUCACAGUAAAUCAAAUAGUUCAACAGAAUAGUGCAACAACAAAUAGUUCAAUACAAAUUAUAUAUUUCAACAAAUAAAAACUCAUAUUUCAUCACACGUCGAGCCCGGCGUCGCCCUUGAUCCUCCAUAGGUGCUCCACCAGAUCCUGCUGCAGUUGAUGAUGCACCUGUGGUUCUCGGAUCUCCUGACGCAUACUGAGGUAGGCAGUCCAGGUUGCCGGUAGCUGGUGAUCAACUUCGGCUAGAGGACCCUGCCUGUAGUAUGGUUCAGUGUCAAACACUGGCUCUUCCUGCUCGCUCUCGAUGAUCAUGUUGUGCAAGAUGACACAACAAGUCAUGAUCUCCCACAUUUGAUCUUUUGACCAGGUCUGAGUAGGAUACCGGACAAUAGCAAAUCGAGAUUGGAGCACACCAAAUGCCCGCUCGACAUCCUUCCUGCAAGCCUCCUGCACCUUGGCAAAGUGGGACUUCUCGCCUCCUGGCACAAUGUUUGAGAUAGUCUUCACAAAUGUAGACCAUCUCGGAUAGAUGCCCUCAGCUAGUUAGUACCCCUUGUUGUAGUGCCGCCCAUUGACCUCGAAGUUCACCAAAGGAGAAUGACUUUCAACAAGCUUGGCAAAGACAGGGGAGCACUGCAGCACGUUGAUGUCAUUGUGAGUUCCUGCCAUACCAAAGAAGUGAAGGAAAUAUGCCCUAGAGGCAAUAACAAAGUUGUUAUUUAUAUUUACUCAUAUCAUGAUAAAUAUUUAUUAUUCAUGCUAGAAUUGUAUUUGAAGGAAAUAUGCCCUAGAGGCAAUAAUAAAGUAUUAUUUAUUUCCUUAUAUCAUGAUAAAUGUUUAUUAUUCAUGCUAGAAUUGUAUUAACCGGAAACAUAAUACAUGUGUGAAUACAUAGACAAACAGUGUGUCACUAGUAUGCCUCUACUUGACUAGCUCGUUAAUCAAAGAUGGUUAUGUUUCCUAGCCAUAGACAUGAGUUGUCAUUUGAUUAACGAGAUGACCUCAUUAGGAGAAUGACGUGAUUGACUUGACCCAUUCCGUUAGCUUAGCACCCGAUCGUUUAGUAUGUUGCUAUUGCUUUCUUCAUGACUUCUACAUGUUCCUAUGACUAUGAGAUUAUGCAACUCCCAUUUACCAGAGGAACACUUUGUGUGCUAUCAAACGUCACAACGUAAAUGGGUGAUUAUAAGGGUGCUCUACAGGUGUCUCCAAAGGUACUUGUUGGGUUGGCGUAUUUCGAGAUUAGGAUUUGUCACUCCGAUUGUCGGAGAGGUAUCUCUGGGCCCACUCGGUAAUGCACAUCACUAUAAGCCUUGCAAGCAUUGUGACUAAUGAGUUAGUUGCGGGAUGAUGUAUUACGGAACGAGUAAAGAGACUUGCCAGUAACGAGAUUGAACUAGGUAUCGAGAUACCGACGAUCGAAUCUCGGGCAAGUAACAUACCGAUGACAAAGGGAACAACGUAUGUUGUUAUGCGGUUUGACCGAUAAAGAUCUUCGUAGAAUAUGUGGGAGCCAAUAUGAGCAUCCAGGUUCCGCUAAUGGUUAUUGACCGGAGAGGUGUCUCGGUCAUGUCUACAUAGUUCUCGAACCCGUAGGGUCCGCACGCUUAACGUUACGAUGACAGUUUUAUUAUGAGUUUAUGUAUGUUGAUGUACCGAAGGAGUUCGGAGUCCCGGAUGAGAUCGGGGACAUGACGAGGAGUCUCGAAAUGGCCGAGACGUAAAGAUCGAUAUAUUGGACGACUAUAUUCGGACUUCGGAAAGGUUCCGAGUGAUUCGGGUAUUUUUCGGAGUACCGGAGAGUUACGGGAAUUCGCAUUGGGCCUUAAUGGGCCAUACGGGAAAGGAGAGAAAGACCCCAAAGGGUGGCCGCACCCCUCCCCAUGGGCUAGUCCGAAUUGGACUAGGGAGGGGGGGCGCCCCCUUCCUUCUUUCUCCUUCCCCCUUCCCUUCUCCUACUCCCACAAGGAAAGGAGGAGUCCUACUCCCGGUGGGAGUAGGACUCCCCCCUUGGGCGCGCCACCUCCCCUUGGCCGGCCCUCCCCUCCUUGCUCCUUUAUAUACGGGGGCAGGGGGCACCUCUAGACACAUUUGAUAUACGAUAUUUUAGCCGUGUGCGGUGCCCCCCUCCACCAUAUUACACCUCGAUAAUACCGUUGCGGAGCUUAGGCGAAGCCCUGCGUCGGUGGAACAUCAUCAUCGUCACCACGCCGUCGUGCUGACGAAACUCUCCCUCAACACUCGGCUGGAUCGGAUUUCGAGGGACGUCAUCGAGCUGAACGUGUGCUGAACUCGGAGGUGCCGUGCGUUUGGUACUUGAUCGGUCGGAUCGUGAAGGCGUACGACUACAUCAACCGCGUUGUGAUAACGCUUCCGCUGUCGGUCUACGAGGGUACGUGGACAACACUCUCCCCUCUCGUUGCUAUGCAUCACCAUGAUCUUGCGUGUGCGUAGGAAAUUUUUUGAAAUUACUACGUUCCCCAUCAGUAUUAACCGGAAACUUAGUACAUGUGUGAAUACAUAGACAAAACAGACCGGCAUGUUAUACUUUGGUUCAGCGGUAUUGUGAGAUGAAGCGGCCCGGACCGACAUUACGCGUACGCUUACGCGAGACUGGUUUCACCGUUGGGAGCACUCGUUGCUUAAAGGUGACUGGCGGGUGUCUGUCUCUCUCACUUUAGUUGAACCGAGUGUGGCUACGCCCGGUCCUUGCGAUGGUUAAAACAGCACCAACUUGACAAACUAUCGUUGUGGUUUUGAUGCGUAGGUAAGAACGGUUCUUGCUAAGCCCGUAGCAGCCACGUAAAACUUGCAACAACAAAGUAGAGGACGUCUAACUUGUUUUUGCAGGGCAUGUUGUGAUGUGAUAUGGUGAAGACAUGAUGCUAUAUUUUAUUGUAUGAGAUGAUCAUGUUUUGUAACCGAGUUAUCGGCAACUGGCAGGAGCCAUAUGGUUGUCGCCUUAUUGUAUGCAAUGCAAUCGCCAUGUAAUUGUUUUACUUUAUCACUAAGCGGUAGCGAUAGUCGUAAAAGCAAUAAGUUGGCGAGACGACAACGAUACUACGAUGGAGAUCAAGGUGUCGCGCCGGUGACGAUGGUGAUCAUGACGGUGCUUCGGAGAUGGAGAUCACGAGCACGGUGCUUCGGAGAUGGGGAUCACAAGCACAAGAUGAUGAUGGCCAUAUCAUAUCACUUAUAUUGAUUGCAUGUGAUGUUAAUCUUUUAUGCAUCUUAUCUUGCUUUGAUUGACGGUAGCAUUAUAAGAUGAUCUCUCACUAAAAUUUCAAGAUAAAAGUGUUCUCCCUGAGUAUGCACCGUUGCAAAAGUUCUUCGUGCUGAGACACCACGUGAUGAUCGGGUGUGAUAGGCUCUACGUUCAAAUACAACGGGUGCAAAACAGUUGCACACGCAGAAUACUCAGGUUAAACUUGACUAGCCUAGCAUAUGCAGAUAUGGCCUCGGAACAUGGAGACCGAAAGGUCGAGCGUGAAUCAUAUCGUAGAUAUGAUCAACAUGGUGAUGUUCACCAUUGAAACUACUCCAUCUCACGUGAUGAUCGGACAUGGUUUAGUUGAUAUGGAUCACGUGAUCACUUAGAGGAUUAGAGGGAUGUCUAUCUAAGUGGGAGUUCUUAAGUAAUAUGAUUAAUUGAACUUAAAUUUAUCAUGAACUUAGUCAUGAUAGUAUUUUGCAAAUUAUGUUAUAGAUCAAUAGCUCGCGUUGUUGCUUCCCUGUGUUUAUUUUUGAUAUGUUCCUAGAGAAAAAAUUAUGUUGAAAGAUGUUAGUAGCAAAGAUGCGGAUUGGAUCCGUGAUCUGAGGAUUAUCCUCAUUGCUGCACAGAAAAAUUAUGUCCUUGAUGCACCGCUAGGUGACAGACCUAUUGCAGGAGCAGAUUCAGACGUUAUGAACGUUUGGCUAGCUCAAUAUGAUGACUACUUGAUAGUUUAGUGCACCAUGCUUAAUGGCUUAGAAUCAGGACUUCAAAGACGUUUUGAACGUCAUGGACCAUAUGAGAUGUUCCAGGAGUUGAAGUUAAUAUUUCAAGCAAAUACCCGAGUUGAGAGAUAUGAAGUCUCCAACAAGUUCUAUAGCUAAAAGAUGGAGGAGAAUCGCUCAACUAGUCAGCAUGUGCUCAGAUUGUCUGGGUACUACAAUCGCUUGAAUCAAGUGGGAGUUAAUCUUCCAGAUAAAAUAGUGAUUGACAGAAUUCUCUAGUCACCAUCACCAAGUUAGUAGAACUUCGUGAUGAACUAUAGUAUGUAAGGGAUGACGAAAGUAAUUCCCGAGCUCUUCGCGAUGCUGAAAUCGACGAAGGUAGAAAUCAAGAAAGAGCAUCAAGUGUUGAUGGUUAACAAGACCACUAGUUUCAAGAAAAAGGCAAAGGGAUAGAAGGGGAACUUCAAGAAGAACGGCAAGCAAGUUGCUGCUCAAGUGAAGAAGCCUAAGUCUGGUCCUAAGCCUGAGACUAAGUGCUUCUACUGCAAAGGGACUGGUCACUGGAAGCGGAACUACCCCAACUAUUUGGUGGAUAAGAAGGAUGGCAAAGUGAACAAAGGUAUAUUGGAUAUACAUGUUAUUGAUGUGUACUUUACUAGUGUUUAUAGCAACCCCUCGGUAUUUGAUACUGGUUCAGUUGCUAAGUGUAGUAACUCGAAACGGGAGUUGCAUAAUAAACAGAGACUAGUAAAAGGAGAGGUGAUGAUGUGUGUUGGAAGUAGUUCCAAGAUUGAUAUGAUCAUCAUCGCACACUCCCUAUACUUUCGGGAUUAGUGUUGAAACUAAAUAAGUGUUAUUUGGUGUUUGCGUUGAGCAUGAAUAUGAUUUGAUCAUGUUUAUUGCAAUACGGUUAUUCAUUUAAGUUAGAGAACAAUUGUUGUUCUGUUUACAUGAAUAAAAACCUUCUAUGGUCAUACACACCAACGAAAAUGGUUUGUUGGAUCUCGAUCGUAGUGAUACACAUAAUCAUAAUAUUGAAGCCAAAAGAUGCAAAGUUAAUAAUGAUAGUGCAAAUUAUUUGUGGCACUGCCGUUUAGGUCAUAUUGGUGUAAAGCGCAUGAAGAAACUCCAUACUGAUGGGAUUUUGGAAUCACUUGAUUAUGAAUCACUUGAUACUUGCGAACCGUGCCUCAUGGGCAAGAUGACUAAAACGCCGUUCUCCGGAACUAUGGAGAGAGCAACAAAUUUGUUGGAAGUCAUACAUAUAGAUGUAUGUGGUCCAAUGAAUAUUGAGGCUCGUGGCGGAUAUCGUUAUUUUCUCACCUUCACAGAUGAUUUGAGCAGAUAUGGGUAUAUCUACUUAAUGAAAUAUAAGUCUGAAACAUUUGAAAAGUUCAUAUAAUUUCAGAGUGAAGUGGAAAAUCAUCGUAACAAGAAAAAUGAAGUUUCUACGAUCUGAUCGUAGAGAAGAGUAUUUGAGUUACGAGUUUGGCCUUCAGUUAAAACAAUGUGAAAUAGUUUCACUACUCACGCCACCUGGAACACCACGGUAUAAUGGUGUGUCCGAACGUCGUAAUCGUACUUUAUUAGAUAUGGUGCGAUAUAUGAUGUAUCUUACCGAUCUACCACUAUCAUUUUGGGGUUAUGCAUUAGAGACAGCUGCAUUCACGUUAAAUAGGGCACCAUCAAAAUCCGUUGAGACCACGCCUUAUGAACUGAGGUUUAGCAAGAAACCAAAGUUGUCGUUUCUUAAAAUUUUGGGGUUGCGAUGCUUAUGUGAAAAAGUUUCAUCCAGAAAAGCUCAAACCCAAAUCGGAGAAAUGUGUCUUCAUAGGAUACCCAAAGGAGAUAGUUGGGUACACCUUCUAUCACAGAUCCGAAGGCAAGACAUUCGUUGCUAAAAAUGGAUCCUUUCUAGAGAAGGAGUUUCUCUCGAAAGAAGUGAGUGGGACGAAAGUAGAACUUGAUGAGGUAACUGUACCUGCUCCCUUAUUGGAAAGUAGUUCAUCACAGAAAUCUGUUCCUGUGACUCCUACACCAAUUAGUGAGGAAGUUAAUGAUGAUGAUCAUGUAACUUCAGAUCAAGUUACUACCAAACCUCGUAGGUAAACCAGAGUGAGAUCCACACCAGAGUGGUACGGUAAUCAUGUUCUGGAGGUCAUGUUAUUUGACCAUGACGAACCUACGAACUAUGAGGAAGCGAUGAUGAGCCCAGAUUCCGGGAAAUGGCUUGAGGCCAUGAAAUCUGAGAUGAGAUCCAUGUAUGAAGAACAAAGUAUGAACUUUGGUUGACUCGCCCGAUGAUCGGCGAGCCAUUGAGAUUAAAUGGAUCUUUAAGAGGAAGACAGACGCUGAUAGUAGUGUUACUAUCUACAAAGCUAGAAUUGUCGCAAAAGGUUUUCGACAAGUUCAAGGUGUUGACUACGAUGAGAGAGUUUCUCACUCGUAUCUAUGCUUAAAGUCUGUCUGAAUCAUGUUAGCAAUUGCCGCAUUUUAUGAAAUCUGGCAAAUGGAUAAACAAAACUACAUUCCUUAAUGGAUUUAUUAAAGAAGAGUUGUAUAUGAUGCAACCAGGAGGUUUUGUCAAUUCUAAAAGUGCUAACAAAAUAUGCAAGCUCCAGCGAUCCAUCUAUGGACUGGUGCAAGCAUCUCGGAGUUGGAAUAUACGCUUUGAUAAGUUGAUCAAAGGAUAUAGUUUUAUACAGACUUGCGGUGAAGCCUCUAUUUACAAGAAAGUGAGUGGGAGCACUACAGCAUUUCUGAUAAGUAUAUGUGAAUGACAUAUUGUUAAUCAGAAAUAAUGUAGAAUUAUUCUGCAAAGCAUAAAGGAGUGUUUGAAAGGAGUUUUUCAAAGAUAGACCUCGGUAAAGCUGCUUACAUAUUGAGCAUCAAGAUCUAUAGACAUAGAUCAAGACGCUUGAUAAGGUUUUUCAAUGAGUACAUACCUUGACAAGAUUUUGAAGUAGUUCAAGAUGGAACAGUCAAAGAAAGAAUUCUUGCCUGUGUUACAAGGUAUGAUAUUGAGUAAGACUCAAAGCCCGACCACGGCAGAAGAUAGAAAGAGAAUGAAAGUCAUUCCCUAUGCCUCAGCCAUAGUUUCUAUAAAGUAUGCCAUGCUAUGUACCAGAUCUAUUGUAUACCCUACACUGAUUUUGGCAGGGGAGUACAAUAAUGAUCUAGGAGUAGAUCACUCGACAGCGGUCAAAAUUAUCCUUAGUGGAAUAUGGAUAUGUUUCUCGAUUAUGGAAGUGACAAAAGGUUCGUCGUAAAGGGUUAUGUCGAUGCAAGUUUUGACACUAAUCUAGAUGACUCUUAAGUCUCAGUCUAGAUACAUAUUGAAAGUGGGAGCAAUUAGCUAAAGUAGCUCCGUGCAGAGCAUUGUAGACAUAGAAAUUUGCAAAAUACUUACGGAUCUGAAUGUGACAGACCCGUUGACUAAAAUUAUCUCACAAGCAAAAUAUGAUCACACCUUAGUACUCUUUGGGUGUUAAUCACAUAGCGAUGUGAACUAGAUUAUUGACUCUAGUAAACCCUUUGGGUGUUGGUCACAUGACGAUGUGAACUAUGGGUGUUAAUCACAUGGUGAUGUGAACUAUUGAUGUUAAAUCACAUGGCGAUGUGCUCUAGAUUAUUGACUCUAGUGCAAGUGGGAGACUAAAGGAAAUAUGCCCUAGAGGCAAUAAUAAAGUUAUUAUUUAUUUCCUUAUAUCAUGAUAAAUGUUUAUUAUUCAUGCUAGAAUUGUAUUAACUGGAAAUAUGAUACAUGUGUGAAUACAUAGACAAACAGAGUGUCACUAGUAUGCCUCUACUUGACAAGCUCGUUGAUCAAAGAUGGUUAUGUUUCCUAGCCAUAGACAUGAGUUGUCAUUUGAUUAACGGGAUCACAUCAUUAGGAGAAUGAUGUGAUUGACUUGACCCAUUCCGUUAGCUUAGCACACGAUCGUUUAGUAUGUUGCUAAUGCUUUCUUCAUGACUUAUACAUGUUCCUAUGACUAUGAGAUUAUGCAACUCCCGUUUACCGGAGGAACACUUUUUGUGCUAUCAAACGUCACAACGUAAAUGGGUGAUUAUAAAGGUGCUCUACAGGUGUCUCCAAAGGUACUUGUUGGGUUGGCGUAUUUCGAGAUUAGGAUUUGUCACUCCGAUUGUCGGAGAGGUAUCUCUGGGCCCACUCGGUAAUGCACAUCACUAUAAGCCUUGCAAGCAUUGUGACUAAUGAGUUAGUUGCGGGAUGAUGUAUUACGGAACGAGUAAAGAGACUUGCCAGUAACGAGAUUGAACUAGGUAUCGAGAUACCGACGAUCGAAUCUCGGGCAAGUAACAUACCGAUGACAAAGGGAACAACGUAUGUUGUUAUGCGGUUUGACCGAUAAAGAUCUUCGUAGAAUAUGUGGGAGCCAAUAUGAGCAUCCAGGUUCCGCUAUUGGUUAUUGACCGGAGACGUGUCUCGGUCAUGUCUACAUAGUUCUCGAACCCGUAGGGUCCGCACGCUUAACGUUACGAUGACAGUUUUAUUAUGAGUUUAUGUAUGUUGAUGUACCGAAGGAGUUCGGAGUCCCGGAUGAGAUCGGAGACAUGACGAGGAGCCUCGAAAUGGCCGAGACGUAAAGAUCGAUAUAUUGGACGACUAUAUUCGGACUUCGGAAAGGUUCCGAGUGAUUCGGGUAUUUUUCGGAGUACCGAAGAGUUACGGGAAUUCGUAUUGGGCCUUAAUGGGCCAUACGGGAAAGGAGAGAAAGACCCCAAAGGGUGGCCGCACCCCUCCCCAUGGGCUAGUCCGAAUUGGACUAGGGAGGGGGGCGCCCCCUUCCUUCUUUCUCCUUCCCCCUUCCCUUCUCCUACUCCCACAAGGAAAGGAGGAGUCCUAUUCCCGGUGGGAGUAGGACUCCCCCCUUGGGCGCGUCACCUCCCCUUGGCCGGCCCUCUCCUCCUUGCUCCUUUAUAUACGGGGGCAGGGGGGCACCUCUAGACACAUUUGAUAUACGAUAUUUUAGCCGUGUGCGGUGCCCCCCUCCACCAUAUUACACCUCGAUAAUACCGUUGCGGAGCUUAGGCGAAGCCCUGCGUCGGUGGAACAUCAUCAUCGUCACCACGCCGUCGUGCUGACGAAACUCUCCCUCAACACUCGGCUAGAUCGGAGUUCGAGGGACGUCAUCGAGCUGAACGUGUGCUGAACUCGGAGGUGCCGUGCGUUCGGUACUUGAUCGGUCGGAUCGUGAAGGCGUACGACUACAUCAACUGCAUUGUGAUAACGCUUCCGCUGUCGGUCUACGAGGGUACGUGGACAACACUCUCCCCUCUUGUUGCUAUGCAUCACCAUGAUCUUGCGUGUGCGUAGGAAAUUUUUUGAAAUUACUACAUUCCCCAUCAGUAUUAACCAGAAACUUAGUACAUGUGUGAAUACAUAGACAAAACAGUGUCCCUAGUAUGCCUCUACUUGACUAGCUCGUUAAUCAAAGAUGGUUAUGUUUUCUGACCAUAGACAUGUGUUGUCAUUUGAUGAACGGGAUCACAUCAUUAGAGAAUGAUGUGAUGGACAAGACCCAUCCGUUAGCAUAGCAUAAUGAUUGUUUAGUUUUAUUGCUAUUGCUUUCAUCAUGACUUAUACAUGUUCCUCUGACUAUGAGAUUAUGCAACUCCCGAAUACCAGAGGAACACCUUGUGUGCUAUCAAACAUCACAACGUAACUGGGUGAUUAUAAAGAUGCUCUACAGAUGUCUCUGAAGGUGUUUGUUGGGUUGGCAUAGAUCGAGAUUAGGAUUUGUCACUCUGUGUAUCGGAGAGGUAUCUCUGGGCCCUCUCGGCAAUGCACAUCACUAUAAGCCUUGCAAGCAAUGUGACUAAUGAGUUAGUCAUGGGAUGAUGCAUUACGGAACGAGUAAAGAGACUUGCCGGUAAUGAGAUUGAACUAGGUAUGAUGAUACCGACGAUCGAAUCUUAGGCAAGUAACAUACCGAUGACAAAGGGAACAACGUAUGUUGUUAUGCGGUUUGACCGAUAAAGAUCUUCGUAGAAUAUGUAGGAGCCAAUAUGAGCAUCCAGGUUCCGCUACUGGUUAUUGACCGGAGAUGUGUCUCGGUCAUGUCUACAUAGUUCUCGAACCCGUAGGGUCCGCACGCUUAACGUUCGAUGACGAUUUGUACUAUGAGUUAUGUGAUUUGAUGACCGAAGUUUGUUUGGAGUCCCGGAUGAGAUCACGGACAUGACGAGGAGUCUCAAAAUGGUCGAGAUGUAAAGAUUCAUAUAUAGGACGAUGGUAUUGGGACACCGGAAGUGUUCUGGGUGAUACCAGGUCACCAGAAGGGGUUCCGGGCAACCUCCGGCAAAGAUAUGGGCUUAACGCAUGGGCCAUGUAGUAAGGGAACACACCAGCCCACAAGGGGCUGGUGCGCCCCCUAUAGGGCCAGCCACGUGGGGAGAAAGGGAAAGGAGAGGAGGAAAAGGAAAGUAUGAAGUAGGACUCCUACUUCCUUUCCCUCCCCCCUCCUUCCUUUCCCCUUGUCCAAAUAUGGUAGGGGGGCAAAUUGGACUAGGGGCCCAAGUAGGAUUCCUCCUACUUGGGCGCUCCCUAUGCAGCCUCCCUCCCUCUUCCUCCUUUAUAUACAUGGGGAGGGCACCCCUAGAACAUACAUCAAUUGUUCCUAGCCGUGUGCGGCGCCCCCCUCCCCAGUUAACACCUCGGUCAUAUCGUCGUAGUGCUUAGACGAAGCCUUGCACCGGUAAUUUCAUCAUCACCGUCGCCACGCCGUUGUUCUGACAAAACUCUCCCUCGUCCUCAACUGGAUCAAGAGCUCGAGGGACGUCAUCGUGCUGAACGUGUGCUGAACACGGAGGUGCCGUACGUUCGGUACUUGGAUCGGUUGGAUCAUGAAGACGUUCGACUACAUCAACCCCGUUACUAAACGCUUCCGCUUUCGGUCUAUGAGGGUAAGUGGACACACUCUCCCCGCUCGUUGCUAUGCAUCUCCUAGAUAGAUCUUGCGUGAUCGUAGGUAAAUUUUUUGAAAUACUGCGUUCCCCAACAAGGAGUGCCAAAUCCAGAGGUUGUGUGUGGCCACCGCCUCAAGUAGACCCGGGACGUCAGCCGGCCGCCACGCCGUUGUUGUCCAUCCGGGCGCCAUGGUCCAAACCGGCGUCGCCACGAUCCAGAUCGGUAUCAUACCCUCGAGAUGAGGCGUCCCGGGUCACCAGUAGACCCGGGAGGGGUGGCAGUACCUCCUCCGUCGCCGUCGGACGCACGGGCUUUCCCGGCGUCGACUACCGGCGGCGGCGGAGGGGGGAGGCCGGGAGGACUGGCGGCUAGGGCUAGGGCCCCUCGGUCACACGCGCGGAGGCGUCGGAGGGGGAGUAGAGGAGGGGACGGGCAGCCUGUUAAUCUUAUAUAUAGGUGUACUCGAUCAGACCAACCAAUUUAAUUUGAGCAGAUAUUUACUGAAUCACCUUUCAGUUAAUCCUUACAUGCAGGAGGAAAACAUUGUACCACAACAUCGCUAAUAUUUCCUCUUCCUUUUCUUUUCUUAUUUAAUUAACGUGCAACCCCAUGCAAGCUGAUUGGCAUGCUAACAUCCUGCCGUAACGUGCGGCGCAUCGUCUAGUUGAUAAUACAAUUGACGUCCUAACUUAAACAAUAUAUACACAUCAUCAGACGAAACGUAAAUGUGUACAUCUUUAUUAUGGCAAUUAUACUAACAAGACUCGAGCUCAAAAAGCUGACACGUCAAGACCGUUCGUCCUUAAAAACUAAAAAAACAUCCAUGUCAUGCAUAUAUAAAUUAUAUGUAUAUUAUUCGCGGUCGUGCAUGAUAUCGGCUUCUUCAAUGAUAUGUGGCCAUGCCGCUAUGGAACAGUUGUAGAGGUCUUUAUCGCCCGUGUUGAGCGGUUUGUACUUGUCACCCAUCUUUACCGCCUCGUGAAAUUUAUCCAUCAAAUGUCUCCUCUUUUGGCGGACAAUGGGCACGGUAAGUUCGCCACGGUAGAUGAUGGGUGACGGGACCUUUUUGAACUUCCAUAUGAGCUCCAGCACCGGUACGUCCCUGCCUUUGUAUUUCUUCUUCCUUCGGAGUAUCCCAUCAGCUUCAAUUAGCCAGCACUCAUCGCUAGAGUGCCAGUAGUUGUACGGAGCCCUCGGCCCCUGCUUCGUCUUGCUUAAACAACUGAGAUGAACUUCUUCCAUAGCUUACAUUUUUCUUUUACUGUUAUUACUAGGUGAUUUACCCGCGUGUUGCGGCGGGAAUUUAAAGAUUAAUUCCAGAUGAAUUAUGUAUGAUGAAAACGAUCUAAAUCAAAAGCUAAUAUUUUUUUAAUACAGAAAUCUUUCACACUUGCACUGUAUGUGAACAAAGAGUAUGCAUGUGGUUUGCAUGGGGCUACAAAAUAAUGUUAGUGGAUGUGGUUUGCAUGGGGCUACAAAAUAAUGUUAGUGGAUGUGGUUUGCAUGGGGCUACAAAAUAAUGUUAGUCGAUGCUUACAUGGCACACUUGGUCGCACACUUGGUGAGAUGGAGAGCCGCAUGUUGAGAGAAUUAGAGUUAAUGGGGAUUAACUAUUUAGGAAUUGUAGAUUCCCAACCCCAAAAUAGAAGAAUUGGUAGAACAAACAAUGGUACAAAUAUGUCCAGUAAAGUUUUAUGUUCUGAACUGUCUGAAUUUCAGCAACAAACUGAGACAUUACUAGUACUACAACAGAAAUAAUAAUCACCAACUUGUACAAAGCACACACAGGUUGAAAGUGAAAACCCAGAAUUCUCACCUGAGAUCGGACAGUGUUUCCCAUCAGCAACGCUGGUUUGGUUGGAAACUGUCUGAGAUGUAGAGUCAACUUCCUGCUCUGAUUCAAAAACAUUUGGUGCCUCCAAAUGGUAACCAGAAGCAAGCUCAAAUAAGUCAUCACUCCUGGUGUCAUCUAUAUUGAAUAGAUUCUUGGUAGAAGUCACUUGAUCCAUUAGUAAUGUGACAUGCUCCUGACUUGUAGACACUUGAUAAUUUGUUGGAACCUCAGUGGCACUCUCUCUGUUGCAGAUUUCCUCUUGUUGUUCAGGCCUCGCCUCACAGGAAGAAUCCAAUGCACUGCCCUUAACUAAAAUGCCUUUACUGCAGUUGUCCUCAGCAAUGGACUUGAGCAUGCCGUCGACAUUAGUAACAGCCAGAUCAUUCUGAUAACCAGGUACAGAGCAUACUGAAUUUACCAAGCAAGAAUUAUCAACUGGCAGCUGAACACCUGAAGUAUCUUGAGCAGACAAGUUCUGUGAAGAGCGCUCUGUGGAGUGAUCAGUUCACGUAUUUUCAGUAUGAAUUAGCUUCACCUUAUCUCCAGAAUUAGAUAUUGUUUCAGAUCCAAUAGGAUAUGAUUCUACAAUUUCUUCUCUUGGCGAUACUUCAGACAUGCAAUCCAGAACGUCCAUACCAUCUUUAAAGAAACUGCCCACCUUCCUGGAACAUGCAGAUUGGGAUUCUGGGUCGGACAUAAGCGGAGAGCACUUCUGAAGAGAUGAGGGAUUUAAAUCACCAAUAAACUCACAACUGCCAGAUGUUUUAUCAGAUUUGCUGUCAACCACAAUAUUUGUAUUGUUGCUGUCAAUGUCUGCUGAGCAGUCACCUGUACUCUGCAGGUUUAAGCCAUCUUCACGCCCAACCAAUCCAGGAGUUAUAUUCUCCGCAUAAUAUUCAGCUUCGUUUUCAACUUCGGAUCCAGCAGGAAAAUCAGUCAUGCUUGAUUCUCUUGAAAACUGAUAUUUGCACGUGUCAUAUCUUUCAAGAGAGAUUACAUCUGCAGCCACACUUGAACCCACUGAGCCUUUAUCCAGAUUCUUGAUUUCCAUAGGAACAUCUGACUCACGUGCCAUUGCUGCACCAUCUUCCGGAUCUGAUUGAUGAAGAAAAGAAGAUGCAUCCUGGUACUCCUCAAGACAAUCUUCUCGUUCAGUUGGGUGUGCAACUGCAAGCGGUCCAAUUCCAGUGAAACUUUCAGGCACUUUAUGUUGGAUUCCAUUGGUGCUAGGCCUUUCUGAAUCAGUUCCAUUGCCUUCAUCUGCAGUUUCAGAAGAAUUAUUGGGAAUCAGGCCGGUUUCAAUGUAGUCACUGGUGAUGGCUUGAAUUCUAGCAGCAUUAGGAGAAGCAUGUUCUGUAAAAACAGUGAAUCACUAGGUCAGCACACACACGCUGAUAUAUGAAUAAAAAGGUAGAAUGGUUAAAUACAAUGGCAUGUGGGAAUAGCCAGAAACAACUGAAAAAAAGGCAUGGCAGUAUUUCUACUAGGAAUAAACAUUGGUAAAAUUUGAAGGCAUGUUUAACACAACACAAUAAAUGAGUAUGAAAGAAUAAAGAAAAUUAGAUGGGCAGAAGAAAGAGGGUAAGGUGGAUUGUUGUAGUUAGCAGGAAAGGCAAAAUCAAAGUCAUACUGACAAGUCUAACUAGAGUAACACAGUCAAGACAACUAAAGAUAAUUGGUAGUGCAAAAUGUAACUGAUGUUUGCAAACUUGAACAAACAGUAAAAAUAAAACAGACGCUACAAUUGGAUGUUGUCUCCUAGGACCUACAGUUGUUAGUAAUUUUUUAGUGGCGAUGGUAUCCUGCAAUGAUAUGCAAUGAUGGACAAAGGGCACUGAAUCCACAACUACACCUGAGAUAAAAAGUUAGAAUACAAAAGAUAAUUGCAAUGCCUCUCUUGCAGCUAAGUUUGUAAAGCAGUCAGAAGCAACUAACUGCAAAAACAUGCCUGAAAUGACAUUGCUUUUUUUAAGAUGAAAUGACAUUGUUAAUAUAGGGGACAAAGCUAAAAAACGGGCUUUCAAAUAAAUAAAUGGGCAAGCCUGAAAAACACCUAAUAGUAGCUGAUUGUACCAUUGCAGAACCAAAGUCGUUAGAAACUUAACAGCAUGGUGACUUCAGAACUGACAGGUACUAAUACAUGACAACAAGGACACAUGUGAGAACAAGUAGGUAUUAAUAAAUUAUGGCAACAAAUUUCAACACCACGAAAUAUGAGAUGUUCCAAAGUAGAUAGAAUUAACAACGUGUGUGUACACAAUGAUACGUUCAAAACUUUGGGAGAUAGGCACAUAACUAAUGAGAUAGGCAAGGGCUUGCCGGAUCAGAUUAAGGUGUUGUAUGACCUUGCUGACGGGCAGGGCUUGUCUACUGACGACUGGUUUAGGAGAUACGCCCUCGAGGCCUCGCUCAUGGACAUUUACAAGAGCGAGGAGCUGUUCUGGCAGCGUCGAGGGGGCCAGAACUGGCUCCUUAAGGGGGAUGCGAACACUGCCUACUUUCAGGGGAUUCCUAAUGGCCGCAGGCAGAAGUGCGCCAUCCCUUUCCUCUGGAAUGGAGAUGUUCUUCUCGAAAGCCCAGAGGAUAUCUGCACCCAUAUUUACUCCUUUUAUAAGGAGUUGUUCUCGGCCGAGCCGCGCGGAGGCGUCUCUCUCUGCGCUGACUUCUGGCCGCUUGCUGACCAGGUCUCCAAUGCGGAGAAUGCGGAACUUACUCUCCCAUUCUCCCCUGAGGAGGUGGGUCGAGCGAUUGCGUCUAUGAAAGCUUGCUUGGCCCCAGGGCCGGAUGGCCUCCCGGUAGUCUUUUUCCAGAAAUUCUGGGAGAUCUUACGCCCGGUCAUUAAUCCCAUGUUUCAUGAGUUCUAUAUUGGAACCCUGGACAUGGCUAGGAUUAACUAUGGUGUCAUAUCUCUGAUCCCCAAAGUAGUUGGGGCGACGGAUAUUCGGCACUUCCGCCCCAUCACGGUGAUCAACGUGUUGGAGCGGAUCUUUGCGAAGGUUUGUGCAACUCGCUUAUCCCCGGUGGCGGAAAGGAUUGCUCACCCCCUUCAGUCCGCGUUCCUGAAGGGCCGACGGAUCCAUGACGGGAUUCUUGCCCUUCACGAGAUCGUCCACGAGGUGGCGUCGAAGGGGCUUAAGGGGGUCUUCCUCAAAUUGGACUUCCAGAAGGCGUAUGACCAUCUGGAUUGGUCCUUUUUGAGGUUGGUGAUGGAGCGUCGAGGAUUUGACGAGAGGUGGUGUUCCGGGAUCAUGCAACUGGUUAGAUCUGGGAACACGGCGAUCAACAUAAAUGGCGAGGUGGGACCCUUUUUUCAGGCUUCCAGAGGGGUAAAGCAAGGGGACCCUGUCUCCCCCUUGCUUUUUAACCUCGCAGUUGAUGCCCUUGCGGGCAUCUUAGAUAAGUUUGUUGUCCGGCCACCUUAAGGGUGUAGUUAGUCACCUCAUCCCGGAUGGGGGGGGGGGGGUUACUCACUCGCAGUAUGCGGAUGACACCAUGAUUAUGGUGGAAGGCUCGGACUCGGACAUUGUUAAUCUUAAGUUCCUUUUGCUCUGCUUUGUGGAAAUGUCUGGACUUAAGAUUAACUUUGAUAAGAGCGAGGUGGUGGUCCUUGGCUAUUUGGAGGCUGAGCAGCUUCGGAUCGCGGAUAACCUCAACCGUAGGUUGGCGUCAUUCCCCAUAUCUUACUUGGGGAUGCCCUUGGCUGAGUCCAGGAUUUUGGUGAGUAGGUAUGAUCCGCUUGUGGGACGAGUAGCGUCCCGUGCGGAGCCCUGGUGGGGUAGGUUCACUUCUAAAGGUAGCAAAACUGUCCUCAUUAGCUCUAACCUUGCCAGCCUCCCAUUGUAUAUGAUGGGGAUGUACAUCUUACCCGAAGGUGUGCAUAUGGUGAAGUGGGCUGACAUUUGCUUGCCAAAGGACCGAGGUGGGUUGGGCAUCCCUGCAUCUCGCCGGAUGAACGUUGCACUUAUGUUGCGUUGGGUUUGGCGGAUCUUGCGGGGAGAUGGGGGUUGUGGCUGCAGCUGGUUGAGUCCAAGUACUUGCAGGGCCAACCCCUCAUGGCUUGCUCACACUCGGCUGGGUCCCAGUUCUGGAAAUCUAUUAUGGCCAUCAAGGAAGAGAUUAGGCUGGGUUUGCGUUUCUCGGUUUAACAAUGGGUCUGGGACCCAAUUUUGGUUGGACCCAUGGCUUGAGGGCGAGCCUCUCCGCUUGCGGUUCCCGAGGCUCUUUGCGAUUGUGAUGACCCGGCCAUUCUUGUAUCCGCGGCUGCUUUGGAGGAGGGAUGGAACAUUGCGUUCCGCCGCUCAUUCAGACCAGAUGAGGUACGGGAAUGGACAGACCUGAGGGAAGUAGUCCCUCUUCCUCUGUCUCAGGACCCUGACACUGUUUCUUGGAGCCUUUCUCCUUCGGGUGAAUUCUCCGUUAGUUCGGCCUAUCAGGCAUUAUGUCGUAUGCCGGUUCUACGGUGACUAUCCCCAUUGUGGAAGGCACCGUUGCCCUUGAAGAUUAAGGUUUUUGUAUGGCAGCUCCUCCGUGACCGUCUGCCUUCGGGGAUCGAGGUGUUGAAACGCCAUGGUCCGGGCAAUGGCCUUUGCCCUUUGUGCCAUGUCCCGGAAACGGGAACGCACAUUUUGUUCUCUUGCGUAGCAGCGCAGGCACUUUGGUGCUUUGUUCGUGAGGCUCUAGGGCUAGAGUGGGAGGCUCAUGACCUUGCAGAGUUUCUACAGGUUAGGGCCACUUAGGUUGGCCGUAAGCGCCGACUGUUCUGGCUCAUCUUCGUGGCUAUGAUGUGGACUCUCUGGACUACUCGCAACAAGAUGGUGAUUGAGCGGGUGUUCCCGCUACGUGCUUCUGACUCUUUCUUCAAAUUUCUUGCCUUCUUGCAGCACUGGCAUCCGCUCACUAGGCCGAGGGAUCGUGAUCGACUUCAGCUAUUCCUGGACGCCCUGGUGUCUACCGCGCGUCGGCUCUCCGACCGUUCGCAUGUUUCGUAGCUUGCCCCUGAGGCCUUUUUGUUUCUUCUUCUUUCAUUUGGGCGUCUUUGUGCUGUGGCCCCAGCAUUUCUCUUUUAUGACUGUGCAUGAGAUGUGGUUGUAUGGACGUAUGUUUUAUCUAUAAAAGCGGGACGAAAGCCUGUUUUGAGAACUAAUGAGAUAGGCACAGAACAAAACGCACAUGUGACUAGGACAGCAUGUGGUGGAAGACCACUAAGAGCAAACUAAGCAAAGAGAAACCAAUGUAGAAACGACAUGUUCUUCCAAGAUAUCCUACCCAACAGCACGACUAACUAACGACAGAUAUGUUGGAUUUCGAGGACUGUCAGACUCGAGAAAGAAUCCAAUGCAUCAACGCACAGAGAAUUCUUAUUUGCUUGCUGACAGCCAACAUCAGGCCACCAACUUGCCAUAAGACACGGAACGAUAGUUAAUCUAGGUAAGAGAAGGCGGAAUGAGAAGGGCGAUAUGGCGGACGAGCUCGCGCGCUCCUGCUUCGUGGACGAAUAGAACAGCGCGUUCGUGGUGGUCGCAUUUAGUGCGGUGGAAAUACGCGGUGGCGUCAUUACGCAUACGGGUUUGGACUCGUACGACGUGGAACGGAUGAGGAACGGUGCUGUGACGGGAGUCAGCGUCAUGUUCCAGCGGUACAGGAUGCGCUGCCUUCCCAUGUACCGGCGUGCGCACAUGUCGUUUGCGAUGUCACUGAAAAAGUAGGUAAAAUCAGCAGCCCUCGGCCCCUCCAGUCAGGCAAUAGAUGUUUGUUCUCAAAGACGCCAUUCACUUUUGGGUGCUUUCGGCUGCGCGGCGGAGAGGAUCACCAUGGCGGCGGCCGGGAAUGGAUUCUAGUUCCGAUCAGAUCCGAGUGCGCAGGUAUUCUGGAUUUACCCUCGCUUGAUUUUCGGGAUUAUUCACUCUUUUGGUGUGAGUACAUCUCAGGAACGUUGCCUUCUUCGGGCAGGUUCCCCUUGCCGGUGAUUGGGGGCGGCGAGUACACGCCGGCGGCUCACACCGUCGCAGAUCUGCUGAGCAAGGUAGCCGAGUCCGACAUUGGUGAGGUGGGGGAUGCGCCACCGGCGCUGCAGCUAGACCUGAAGGGCACAGGUUUGUGCGUCCAUUAGCUUGACGGCGCCGGACUCAGAACAGUUAAAGGGCACAGACGUCGGGUUAGACAAGAGGUAAAUCAUGCGUGAACUAUGCCCGACUGUACUGUUGGCAUGUCUAUACUGCAGUUGAUCCUGUGAUGCUGCAACUGCGUAUGAGGACAUAUUAGUGAAUUGAACGUACCUCUGAAUUCUGAUACGUACAUAAGUACGUACUUAUGUGUUGGGAGUAGUAGUUCCUCAAAGUUAAAAUCGAUGAGGCAUGUGUGACUGCAAUGAUCUACUUGACACAGGGGUCAUGUUGGACGGGCACCUACAGAACGGCCCCCCCUAUGCUAGCAGAGUGUGCACUCUCGAGAAAACAAUCACGGGAUAUGCAAAGAAGAAGACUCAAACUGUUGUAGUACCUGAAGUCGGCAGCAUAUUUGACUCACUGGGAGAAGUGUAUGACUACAAUCUGUACUCGGGAAAUUGAAUAUGAAAUUAGGCAUGGAAAGAACAGACUGGACGUCAGAGAACCAAGUGCAUGCAAGAGAUAGUGUGUUGAUGCUCAGUGAGUGUUUCUUCAAUCUCUUAUAUUCAGAAUUGGUAGUCGCUAACUCUGUGCAUUCGGUUUAUUUGGUUCGGUAAAUAAGAUAUUUUUUGGUUUGUGCAAUAUCAAUAUUUCAGCAAGUAUGGUGUGAAAUUAAAAUACGGUUUGGUUUCGGUAUACACCAAACUAUUUCAGUAUAGUUUUGGUAGAUACCAAAUUAACAAAAUUAGACGUGAAUUUAGUAAUGAGGCAACACUUUUGAAACCAUUUGAAGACAGCUAGAUACAGGAUUAAUGUGAUUGUUGGCUGUGGCAACAGUGCCUUUGUUUGCUCACAAGGCAAUUUUGAGACAAAGGGACCAAUUCAGAGCCAAAUGCAGGGUACCCUGUGAACCUAGUUAGCACACAAACUAUCUUGUGCAUGUAAUUCUGCUGUCUGCAGUUCUGCCAAUAACACAAAAUUAGCAAUACACAUUUGACAAGCUUUGUGUAAUUGAGCCAUAUUGCUGAGUCUGUUGCCAGUUUGUGUUAGGAUACUCAGGAAUCUCAUAUCUUUCAAAUUCUCCAACACCAAACAGUAGGGCAGGUUAGGAUCUGGUAUAUCACAACUCACAGCCAUCCGAAGAUCUGAAGAAAUAAGAACACCAAAGAUAAACUAUUACCUGCAAGUUCUUCUAAAUCCAUAAAAUCAAAGCGAAAUAGCCAACAUCAAUGAAGUUGAGACAUUUGUAAAGCACUAUAAUAGUAGUGAGCGAUCUUUGCAUUAAAGACUUGUGCCUUUAUCUUUAUGGACUAUGGUGAAGGAAUUCAUGCAGCUUAUUAGGCUGUGCGGGACGGUCAGAGAAUGCGCCUAAGCAGGUCGGCGCCCGAUGAUGGAGAGGCGUAGUGUUGCAGCGAGUGCAGGGAGGGGAAGGGAUCAGACGAGAGGGCGAGCCGGUCGCGCAUCAGAUGGCAGAGUGCCGCUGGAGGCUUGGUGGUGCAGCGCCAGUGAGCCAGUGGUGGCUGGUGAGUGUGCUGCUGCCAUUGCUUGCGUGCGAUGGUGCGUGUCUGGUAGGCGUCUACACAAGGCCAGGUUCCAGGUCGUUAGUGAGGCCAGGAAUAUGCAUUGAGAUUCCUGCAGUUGGUUUAUUCUGGUAGGUUUGUGUGAUUGUUUCGCAUGGUGGCACACACAUGUGCAGUACAUUUGUCCCGAGGUUUCCGUUGUAAAAAGAAUCCCCACAUGUUGCAGAAAGUGUUAUUCCGCACCAUGAGCCUUACAAGCUGGAGCUUGACGGGCAUGCCAUGUUGAAAAACUAUGGGCCAGAUCUUGGCUUGAAGGCAAACAGGACGGGCACAUCCGUCCGCAUGAUGCAGUUGAAAGACGACAAGCUUUACCCAGGAAGUGCUCCCCGUGGGCCGUGGCGGUGUUUGAUGAACCUGAGUUUUCAGGUGAAUACCGUUAGCACCUCCUUCAAUCCCAUUUGUCCAGUGCUUGAUGCUUCGAAUUAUCGUAAUUUACAUUCUGUGAAAAAUGCAGGAUGAAUUCAUGUGUGGCCAAAAGAAACCUCACUGGGACAGGAUAUUCUGGAUGUACAACAAGCAGAAACUCCAACACGACUUGCGCGAAUGCUAAAAUGUAAGUGAGCCUGCGAAGAGUGAUGCACAGUAUCAUGACUGGAAUGAACAUGCGACGGUUUUCACAUCAUUUCUUUUUUCUAGUUCAUGGUUGCCGCUGAUAGUGGAUGAUGUCUGGUGCCUUUAUGAGUUCGACAUCAAACGCAUAACUCUGUAGGUGAUGGACCCAAUGUUGGCAUUGGCCCCGCUUAGGCAAAUGAUGAAGAAGCAUGCCCGGACAAGCAAGCUUAUUCUGCACAGCCUAUGGUGAUGUCUUCGUGAAUUCUUUCCAGACUAGCAUUUUCCUACUUUCUCAUGCACUUACAAAUACUCCCUCCGUUCCUAAAUAUUUGUCUUUUUAGAGAUUUCAAAUGGACUAUCACAUACGGACGUAUAUAGACAUAUUUUAGGGUGUAGAUUCACUCAUUUUGCUCCUUAUGUAGUCACUUGUUGAAAUCUUUAGAAAGACAAAUAUUUAGGAACGGAGGGAAUACAACUCUGCAUACAUCCCAGCCGCAGCAGGUAUUCCCUAGUGUUUGUGUUCUGGAUUCCAUUUCCGUGCUCAGCGGGCAGUUUUCUAGUACUGAUCAACAACACAAAUUGAAACAUAGCGCUGACAGUGGGUUUUAUGUGCUCCAUUAUAUGCAAGAGUUCGAUGGUGUCAUGCUCAAGACGACUCCUCCCAACACCUGUAACUGUAAGUACCACAUCUCGCCCCUGGAACCAGUGCCAGAGCAAAUAAAAGCACAGUUUCUUUGUUGUUGAGAAAAAAACAAAAGAAAAAUUACUUGGUAUUUGAACAUAUCUUGCUCCUUCCAUCCUUUGGCAGUUUGGCUCAUCGACAGAUCGUCUUGGCAGUUGCACGCAACAGCAUGAGCAGAUCGGUCCAGAACGUCGUGGCUGACUCUAGCAAACAGCUGUCCGCUAUGCAUGUGGGUCCGUCACAACCCUAUACGGUCGACAAUACCUGACCAGCCCAUAUCCCGAAGGAAACGAGCGCCUACCGAUUCCAGGAGUAUGCGAGCUCGUCCGCGCUUGCGGAUUUUCGAGGCGGAAUCCACUACUUUAUCCAAAGCUGAAGAUAGGUAACUCGAGCAAAGCUCAGAUCUACAGUUCAAAUUGCUCCACGUCGUACUUGGCACCCAAAAAUAUUGGCCCGAAGGCCCAAAACCAAGAGGAACAGCAAAGUGCCUGCGCUUUCAGCUUUAAUGCUAAAGCAUGAAAUGAAUCAAUCAGAUUAUUAUUAUUACAGGCCCCCGCGGAAGUAGUAUUUCCACUAUUAACUCUUCUUUUUUUGUGGCGACAGUAUUAACUCUUCAACGGAGGGACUGAGGAAAAAGGCUGGCUUUGCAAACCAACAAAAGGCACAGCAUAAUUACGGAGCACAACAGAAGCAAGCUAUGCAAUUAACAGAAGAAGUUAUGCAAAUUAGUUAUGCGUUUACACAAAUCAACAGUGUGAUAAUGGACAAACUGAAAUGGCAGGGUAAGCAGAUUGAGCAGUAGAGAGGAGCAGAGAGCACACACCUGCGUUCUCCGCCGAUUCGACGCCUCCGUUAGCAGAUCUGGGCGACGCAGAGCCUCCGCUCGCCGCGCCAUUGCGAGGCUCCUCCCCAUCUCCCCCAGCACCUGCAGCGCAUCAAAACCCACGGAGGACCCAAAACCACCAACCAAGCCCAGACCAAACCAAACCAAAUCAAAGCACCGCCGCGUCGCACGGCACGGGCCCAUACUGACGGUUAGAUACAUCCUCUUUUAUCCAUUUUGAUGACAAGUAUUUUCGGACGAAGGGAGUAUGUACCUAGCACGAGGUGGCCGGCUCGCCGUGGCCGAUGACCGCACCACCGGAGACCAUGGGCACUCGGAAAACGGCGGCGAUGAGGAGGGGCCUCCCGUCCGCGCCACAAUGCCGCCGGCAUGGAGGCCCGGGCUCGGGUGUCGGGUACGCCGGUGAGGUCUCUAGGGACCGCGCGGUUGGGGACCGGCUUGGCUUCUGGUCAUUGGUUCCGACGAUGCCAAGUCCAAGAUCCGAGUCACCGAGCCGCAAGUAGCAUGCAGCUGGAUAGGAGUCGUGUCUGUCCAGGCGCGCCGCCAUGGGGUGCUGGUGGUGUUAGAAGGGAGAGAGAGAUUUGAUGGAAUUGUUCAUUGUAUUGCUUGAGCCUCGUGGGCAUAUAUAUAGGAGUACAUGAUCUACUUGGAAUGCAAGACAAGGCAGAAUACUUCCUAGUUUAUCCUAUGUUUCCUAAUACAAUCACGUUACUCAACAUCCCCCCACAGUCACAACGGUAGCGACGCAGACGGUGAGACUGGAGANNNNNNNNNNNNNNNNNNNNNNNNNNNNNNNNNNNNNNNNNNNNNNNNNNNNNNNNNNNNNNNNNNNNNNNNNNNNNNNNNNNNNNNNNNNNNNNNNNNNNNNNNNNNNNNNNNNNNNNNNNNNNNNNNNNNNNNNNNNNNNNNNNNNNNNNNNNNNNNNNNNNNNNNNNNNNNNNNNNNNNNNNNNNNNNNNNNNNNNNNNNNNNNNNNNNNNNNNNNNNNNNNNNNNNNNNNNNNNNAUGGUCGACGCAUCGCGGAGUCGUGGCCGGAAUGGAAACCGACGAGGUUGCUCAAGCAAGGCGGUAGCCCUUUGUGCCGUUUGUCGUGGUAGCCGAGAGCAUAGGUGGUGGAGCCGUGGUCGAGGUAGCUGUGCGAAGAAUGCCGUGGUCGAUGUCGAGUCGGGGUAGCCGUUGUCGAGGGAGUCGCUGUGGAGCCGCGGGCGCAAGGGGGCACCGAGUUAGCAUGGGCGCAGUGGUGUCGAAGUAGUGGUGCGCCGGAAAGGAGAUGUUGUUGAUGAAGCGCCGCGGCGGGUUUGCCAAGCCCGGGGACACAUCGUAGACCAAGGCACACACCGGUGUUGCCAGCACCGGGCAUGCGUAGACGGACGAAGAAGAAGUUGACGAAGCGCCGCACCAGGCUUGCCAUGCCCGGGGACACGUCGUGGACGAAGGCACGCGGCGGUGUUGCCAGUAUCGGGCAUGCGUAGACUGGGACCUGCACGAGCUGUACGCCAUGUCGAAGAGGUCGGAGAGGCCACCAGAGAAGGAUUCGACAACGGUUGCGACGCCAAUCGGCGCGGGGCCAAUAUCGCCCGCGGUUGUCGGAGUAGAUGAAGCGGUCGGGGUAGAUGACGGCGACGCUGGCGACGAGCUGGUGCUGGACGAAGACGAAGGGGGUGGACGGGCGGCGACGGCUAUAGAGGUAGCGGCGGCGGCCAAAGAAGGGCGGCGGCGGCGGCUAGGUUAGGAGUGCGGCGACGGUGCUCGAAGUAGGCGAAGAACCCUGACAGCGUGACGAAGACCGGCGCGGACGGUGGCGUUCCCGCGCCAAGGGAGAUGGCGCGGCGCAUACCAUGGGAGGUCGACGCGCGGUGACGGCAGAGUGGACCGCGGGCCGCGGCACUACAGCUCGAAGGGGCGACGCAGCGGCGGCAGGCGGGUCGGGGCGACGGCGGGAAGACCUCGGGACGGCGGCGGUGACCGUGGGCCGCGACGCUGCGGCCCGAAGGGGUGACGCAACGGCGGUUCGCGAGUCGGUGCAGCCGCGAGGAUGGCCUCAGGACGGCGGCGGGGACCGCGUAUCGCGGCACUAUGGCCCGAAGGGGCGACGCAGCGGCGACGCACGAGUCAAUGCAGCCGCAAGGAGAACCACAGGGCGGCGACGCUGCGGCCCGACGGGGCGACGCAGCAGCAACCCGAUGCUCGAUCGACGGAGAGGCGCGCGAUACUCGAGACGAUCUUCACAGGACCUGCGGAGGCGCGCGUCACCAACGGGCCAGGUCGGUCGCGCGGCGUAGAGGAGGCGGAUCGCGGCGGCGAGCGGAUGAUCAAGCCGAUCGCGCGCGAGGUCAGGGACGCUGCUCGGCGGAGGAGUGGUGGCGGCGGAGUCCGGGAUGAGGCCGGCGAUGACGGACGGCGUGGGACGUCAUGCAGACGAGCUUGUCAGCACCGGCACCCGGGCUAGGAAAGCAGCGCCAGCGCCCGGGCAGCGAGGCCGGAGCGACCAACGUAGCAGUGGGGCCCGAGCUGAGGUAGCCGACGAGUGUGACGCAGUCAGCCCGACGCAGUCGAGGACGAGGCCGGUGAGGUAGACUGUUGUAACACCCCGAGAAUCAUGCUACAGUAACUCUCUGUGAUUAAGCUAAUCAUGUUGCUAAACAAGGCUGGAUCACAUUUCUUUUCAAACUCCUAAUUCAAACUUCAAUUAAAUUUAAAGUGAAAAAUAAAAGUUUUCAAAAAUUUAAACAAAAAUGUUCGGUGGGUGCCAAAUAAUACACUGAUAAUUAUUGUGGAGAAACUCCUUUUUAGAAAAUGCCUAAGUAUUUUAAAAUGGAUUAAAAGGUGGAAGAAAAUAAAUAAAAGAAAAUGCAAAACAAAACAGAAAACAAAAAAAAUAAAAAACAAAAGCCCCCCCCCACUGGACCUGGCCCAACUGGGCCAACCUUCAGCCGCCCGAGUGGGCCGGCCCACCCCGCGCCCCUCUCUCCCCUUAUCCACUCCCCUCGCCCCCCCACCGACAGCCACCCCCNNNNNNNNNNNNNNNNNNNNNNNNNNNNNNNNNNNNNNNNNNNNNNNNNNNNNNNNNNNNNNNNNNNNNNNNNNNNNNNNNNNNNNNNNNNNNNNNNNNNNNNNNNNNNNNNNNNNNNNNNNNNNNNNNNNNNNNNNNNNNNNNNNNNNNNNNNNNNNNNNNNNNNNNNNNNNNNNNNNNNNNNNNNNNNNNNNNNNNNNNNNNNNNNNNNNNNNNNNNNNNNNNNNNNNNNNNNNNNNNNNNNNNNNNNNNNNNNNNNNNNNNNNNNNNNNNNNNNNNNNNNNNNNNNNNNNNNNNNNNNNNNNNNNNNNNNNNNNNNNNNNNNNNNNNNNNNNNNNNNNNNNNNNNNNNNNNNNNNNNNNNNNNNNNNNNNNNNNNNNNNNNNNNNNNNNNNNNNNNNNNNNNNNNNNNNNNNNNNNNNNNNNNNNNNNNNNNNNNNNNNNNNNNNNNNNNNNNNNNNNNNNNNNNNNNNNNNNNNNNNNNNNNNNNNNNNNNNNNNNNNNNNNNNNNNNNNNNNNNNNNNNNNNNNNNNNNNNNNNNNNNNNNNNNNNNNNNNNNNNNNNNNNNNNNNNNNNNNNNNNNNNNNNNNNNNNNNNNNNNNNNNNNNNNNNNNNNNNNNNNNNNNNNNNNNNNNNNNNNNNNNNNNNNNNNNNNNNNNNNNNNNNNNNNNNNNNNNNNNNNNNNNNNNNNNNNNNNNNNNNNNNNNNNNNNNNNNNNNNNNNNNNNNNNNNNNNNNNNNNNNNNNNNNNNNNNNNNNNNNNNNNNNNNNNNNNNNNNNNNNNNNNNNNNNNNNNNNNNNNNNNNNNNNNNNNNNNNNNNNNNNNNNNNNNNNNNNNNNNNNNNNNNNNNNNNNNNNNNNNNNNNNNNNNNNNNNNNNNNNNNNNNNNNNNNNNNNNNNNNNNNNNNNNNNNNNNNNNNNNNNNNNNNNNNNNNNNNNNNNNNNNNNNNNNNNNNNNNNNNNNNNNNNNNNNNNNNNNNNNNNNNNNNNNNNNNNNNNNNNNNNNNNNNNNNNNNNNNNNNNNNNNNNNNNNNNNNNNNNNNNNNNNNNNNNNNNNNNNNNNNNNNNNNNNNNNNNNNNNNNNNNNNNNNNNNNNNNNNNNNNNNNNNNNNNNNNNNNNNNNNNNNNNNNNNNNNNNNNNNNNNNNNNNNNNNNNNNNNNNNNNNNNNNNNNNNNNNNNNNNNNNNNNNNNNNNNNNNNNNNNNNNNNNNNNNNNNNNNNNNNNNNNNNNNNNNNNNNNNNNNNNNNNNNNNNNNNNNNNNNNNNNNNNNNNNNNNNNNNNNNNNNNNNNNNNNNNNNNNNNNNNNNNNNNNNNNNNNNNNNNNNNNNNNNNNNNNNNNNNNNNNNNNNNNNNNNNNNNNNNNNNNNNNNNNNNNNNNNNNNNNNNNNNNNNNNNNNNNNNNNNNNNNNNNNNNNNNNNNNNNNNNNNNNNNNNNNNNNNNNNNNNNNNNNNNNNNNNNNNNNNNNNNNNNNNNNNNNNNNNNNNNNNNNNNNNNNNNNNNNNNNNNNNNNNNNNNNNNNNNNNNNNNNNNNNNNNNNNNNNNNNNNNNNNNNNNNNNNNNNNNNNNNNNNNNNNNNNNNNNNNNNNNNNNNNNNNNNNNNNNNNNNNNNNNNNNNNNNNNNNNNNNNNNNNNNNNNNNNNNNNNNNNNNNNNNNNNNNNNNNNNNNNNNNNNNNNCUCCGUAAACUAAUAUAAGAGCAUUUAGAUUACUAUUUUAGUUAUCUAAACACUCUUAUAUUAGUUUACAGAGGGAGUACUUAUUUAAUUAAACACUAAUUAACCUAAACAGUGAAUGACAGGUGGGUCCCACUGGACCCACAUGUCAGUUGACUUAGUCAACCCCUGUUGACUGCUGAUGUCAGCAUGACAUCAUGCUGAUGUCAUAAAUCCGAAUUUCGAAUUAAAUUAAAUAAUUAAUUAAAUUCCAGAAAUUAAUAAAAUCUUUAGAAAAUCAUAUCUUUUAAUCCGUAACUCGGAUUAAAAUAUUUUCAACAUGAAAGCUGCUCAGAACGACGAGACGAAUCCGAAUACGCAGUCCGUUCGUCCACCACACCUCCCUAACCUAUCGAACUAGCAACGUUCCCCCUCCGGUCCGUCUGUCCGAAAAGCGAAACAUCUGGAAUACCUCCCGGAUGUUCCCCCCUUCGCCGGUACCACCUACUGUCGCGUUAGGACACGCCUAACACCGCUCAUUUUCAUGUCACGCAUCGUCAUGCUUAUGUUUGCAUUGUAUUUACUGUUUCUUCCCCCCUCUUCUCUCUGGUAGACUACGAGACCGACACUGCUGCUGUCCAGUUCGACUACGGAGUUGACGACCCCUCCUACUUGCCAGAGCAACCAGGCAAGCCCCCCCCCCCUUGAUCACCAGAUAUCGCCUACUCUUCUCUAUUCUGCUUGCAUUAGAGUAGUGUAGCAUGUUACUGAUUUCCGAUAUCCUAUCCUGAUGCAUAGCCUAUCCUUGCUACUACUGUUGUUACCUUUACCUGCAAUCCUACAUGCUUAGUAUAGGAUGCUAGAUUUCCAUCAGUGGCCCUACAUUCUUGUCCGUCUGCUGUGCUAUACUAUCGGGCCGUGAUCACCUAGGCGGUGAUCACGGGUAUAUACUUAUAUACUUUAUACAUGACACAUGUGAUGACUAAAGUCGGGUUGGCUCGUAGGAGUACCCGCAAGUGGAUCUUUGUGGCGGAGCGACAGGGCAGGUUGAGACCACCCAGGUGAGAGGUGGGCCUGGCCCUGGUCAGCGUUCGCGGUUACUUAACACGCUUAACGAGAUCUUGGUAUUUGAUCUGAGUCUGGCCAUUUGGUCUAUACGCACUAGCCAUCUACGCGGGAGUAGUUAUGGGUAUCCCGGCGUCGUGGUAUCAGCCGAAGCCUUCUUGACGUCAGCGACUGAGUGGCGCGCGCCGGAUUGGACUGGAACGCCACUAGGCUAGGUCUGCUUCCGGCCGCGUACGCAACGUGCAGGUGCGCAUAGGGCGAUGGGCCCAGACCCCUGCGCGCUUAGGAUUAGACCGGCGUGCUGACCGCUCUGUUGUGCUUAGGUGGGGCUGCGACGCGUUGAUCUUACGAGGCCGGGCAUGACCCAGGAAAGUGUGUCCGGCCAAAUGGGAUCGAGCGUGUUGGGUUAUGUGGUGCACCCCUGCAGGGAAGUUUAUCUAUUCGAAUAGCCGUGUCCCUCGGUAAAAGGACGACCCGGAGUUGUACCUUGACCUUAUGACAACUAGAACUGGAUACUGAAUAAAAUACACCCUUCCAAGUGCCAGAUACAACCCAGUGAUCGCUCUCUAACAGGGCGACGAGGAGGGGAUCGCCGGGUAGGAUUAUGCUAUGCGAUGCUACUUGGAGGACUUCAAUCUACUCUCUUCUACAUGCUGCAAGAUGGAGAUGACCAGAAGCGUAGUCUUCGACAGGACUAGCUAUCCCCCUUUUAUUCUGGCAUUCUGCAGUUCAGUCCACUGAUAUGCCCCUUUACACAUAUACCCAUGCAUAUGUAGUAUAGCUCCUUGCUUGCGAGUACUUUGGAUGAGUACUCACGGUUGCUUCUCUCCCUCUUUUCCCCCUUUUCUUUUCUAUCUGGUUGUCACAACCAGAUGCUGGAGUCCAGGAGCCAGACGCCACCGUCGACGACGACACCUACGACACUGGAGGUGCCUACUACUACGUGCAGGCCGCUGACGACGACCAGGAGUAGUUAGGAGGAUCCCAGGCAGGAGGCCUGCGCGUCGUUCGAUCUGUAUCCCAAUUUGUGCUAGCCUUCUUAAGGCAAACUUGUUUAACUUAUGUCUGUACUCAGAUAUUGUUGCUUCCGCUGACUCGUCUGUGAUCGAGCAAUUGUAUUCGAGCCCUCGAGGCCCCUGGCUUGUAUUAUGAUGCUUGUAUGACUUAUUUAUGUUGUAGAGUUGUGUUGUGAUAUCUUCCCGUGAGUCCCUGAUCUUGGUCGUACACAUUUGCGUGCAUGAUUAGUGUACGGUCAAAUCGGGGGCGUCACAAGUUGGUAUCAGAGCCGACUGCCUGUAGGAAUCCCCCUUUCCACACUCCUUGGCCGAAGUCGAGUCUAGACAUUACAAAACUUUUACUAACAUGGUUGUGUGUCUUACGGGCCCACGUCGCCAUUGGGUGGUACUAGUAUCUUUUACUCCUCGACCUUUACUCUGGGACUCUGAACUCUCUUCUACUCAGGUUAAACGAAUUUACUAACUCUAACACUAGGAUGCCGUGACCACAUUCACCCCAAAGUUGGAUAAGCCAUAGUUGUUUCUUAGAGUAGUAUUUUGAACAAUUCACACACUGUCAUUUGACUCCUUUGAAACGUCUUUGCUUUCAGAUGGAACCCACGAGGCAGGUCGUUCGCCACACGACGGCCAUUGGUGCCUCGGGAUCACCUGUGGUGCUAGCUGAGAUGAUGACCUAUCUGGGUUAUCGCUGGCACCCUGAGUACACCGUCUACGAGGAGUACCAGGACUUUAACCAGGAGCAGUACCGUGCCAUCGUCCACCUCUACUCUCGGGAGUAUGACUCCACUACUGUGCUACACACCGCACAUGGUGUUGGUGUGACCAUCGACAUGGCUGUCCACGAUGCUGCCUAUGCUGCUCUGACACGUCUUCGUCGAGAGUAUCGGGAGUUGGACACCUCCCCCUUCAGGCACAUUGCUAUCGCAUCGGAUGUUGGUGCGGAGGGAUACUAUACUGCUGCCUACUCCACUGUCACCCGAGAGCCCUUCUACCAUCAGAACCUGGUUCUGCAUGCUGAUGGGCUGGAUCGAGCUAACCGAGCUCUUCGCCACGAGAUGUACACCACCCGUCAGCACCUUUACCGUGCUCUGACGCUGCUGCACCCCUUUGUCCGAUCUGGACAGGUACCGCGUACUGCGAUCUACCCAGCCAGGACUGUGAUGCCCCACGGUGUCGGUUGGCCAGCGGUGGGAGGCUACUCUCCCGCACUUGGUCCUCUUCUGCCACCUGAGGGUCGGGCUCUACACCUGAGUAUCCGCGGCCCCCAGUCUGCUGACGUGGAGGGCUAUCCGUUGCCUCACUACCAGCUGUCGGGCUACGAUUACCUCCACAGUACCUCUUGGGACUGAUGUAGGCUUGCUAGUAGUAUUAGUUGCAGUCGCCGCGAGCCUGUGUGCCGCCUAUGAUGUAUUAGUAUAUGUACUGAACUCUGUGCAUGACCCCUUUUGUAAGUUACGCCGACUACUACGUAGUAGCUAUCGUGCUCCUUUCGUUAUGCAUGUUUCAUCAUGAAUGAUUCUUGUCUUAGCACAUAUUCUCAAUGCUGAUCUACCCCGGUUAUAUAUUAGCAGGAUGGUUAGACCAGGUGGUCGUGGUCGUGGUGGCGAUGCCCCACCACCACCUGAGUACAUGGCUGGUAUGAUCCAACAGUUUGAACUGAACCGCCAAUUCAUGGAAAAUAUGAUGGCCCAGUUUCCUCGCCCCAAUAUGAACCAGCAGCCAGCUCAAGUGACUCUUCAAGAUUUCAUACGCCUCAACCCAACCAUCUACCGCAGCUCAACUCAGCCUCUGGAUGCUGAUGACUGGCUCCGUGACAUCACCUAUGAGAUGGAGUCUGCUGAUGUAGCCCCUGCCAGCUAUGUCACUUUUGCUUCCUUCUUCUUGAAGGGACCCGCAGCUCAAUGGUGGGACAGCCACAGGCGUACUCUGCCAGCUGGAACAAUCAUCACAUGGUCAGACUUCCAAGCAGCUUUCCGUGCCCGCUUCAUUCCUCAGGGAGUCAUGGACCGGAAGAAGCGUGAGUUCCGCAACCUCACCCAAGGCAACAAAACUAUCGAAGCUUAUCAGCGGGAGUUUCUGGACUUGUCCCGCUAUGCUGAAGAAGACAUUGCAACUGAUGCACGCAGACAAGAGAAGUUCCGUGAUGGCCUUCAAGCUGACAUCAAGCUCGCACUUCUAGUGCAUGACUUUGCUGAUUUCGCCACCUUGGUGAACAAGGCCAUCAAUGUCGAAACUGGUCUGCAGGAAUAUCAGAGCUCUCACAGACGCAACCGUGACACGGGCUCAUCUUCGGGCUCGCCCGCACAGAAGCGUAAGAUAUGGAUCUCGAACAGCAUGUACCGUCCAAAUGCAUCUGCCCCAAGGCAGACAUAUGCUGCACCUCGUCUGCCUCCACCACCGUCUAGGCAGUCAAGACUUCCAGCUCCACCAUCCCAAGCUCCUGUUCCCACUCCGAAUAAUGGCUUGUGCUUCAGGUGUGGUCAACCAGGGCACCGUGCUAAAGAAUGCAACCAGAACCAGAAUCAACUGGCCCUUCCAGCAACUGGUCGUGGUAACAAUCAGCCCCGCAACAACAAUGCUAAGUCUUAUGGUCGUGCUCAUGCCAACCACGUUGAUCUCAACGAAGCUCAAGACCAGCCUGCUACUGUGAUGGGUACACUCCUCGUAAAUUCAGUACCAGCAUCCGUUUUAUUUGAUACAGGUGCAUCGCGUUCAUUCAUGUCAGAAGAUUUUGCAUACAAGCACGACGUUAAAUGUGAGGAGAUGAACACCUCUGUAUUGGUCAAAACCCCCGUGGGACAGUGUCAAACCUCCUUGGUUGGCAUCGAUGUCCCAGUGGAAAUCGAAGGGCUGGAAUUCUAUGCCUCUCCCAUUAUCCUGAAGUCGUCUAACAUCGACCUCAUUUUGGGUAUGGAUUGGUUGAAAGCGCAUACUGCUUCUAUAGUUUGCGCCACUAAGACCGUCCAUCUGCUACACCCUUCAGAUGAAAUAGUUGCUUACCAAGCUCAUCUGGUGCAAAAUGCCGAGGCAAGGCUCUAUGCAUUGAAUGCAUUGAACGCUGCACCACUCGAGGGCAUUGAAAACAUUCCCGUCGUGCGUGAAUUCCUCGACGUCUUCCCUGAAGAACUUCCAGGGAUUCCCCCUGCUAGAGCUGUCGAAUUCAUCAUCGACUUGAAACCAGGCACCACUCCUAUAGCCAAGCGACCCUACAAAAUGCCGCCGCAUGAACUCCUUGAGCUUAAGGAGGAAAUCGACAAAUCUCUUCGCAAAGGAUUCAUUCGCCCAAGUUGCUCUCCUUGGGGAGCACCUUCUCUCUUUGUCAAGAAGAAGGAUGGGACAAACCGGUUAGUUCAAGACUACCGUCCUAUAAACCAAGCUACCAUUCAGAAUAAGUACCCUCUUCCUCGGAUCAAUGAUCUGUAUGAUCAACUGGCGGGUUCGUCAGUGUUCUCUAAGCUCGACUAGAGGUUGGGCUACCACCAGAUCCGUGUUCGAGAAGAGGAUAUCCCAAAGACCGCCUUCGUGACUCGCUAUGGUUCAUACGAGUACACCGUCAUGUCUUUCGGUUUAACCAAUGCUCCAGCCACCUUCUCUCGUCUGAUGAACUAUAUAUUCAUCGAUUACCUCGACAAGUUCGUCGUGGUUUAUCUGGAUGAUAUCCUGGUGUUUUCCAAGAACGAAGAAGAACAUGCCGAACAUCUUCGACUUGUGCUGGAGAAGCUACGAGAGCAUCAACUAUAUGCCAAGUUCUCCAAAUGUGAAUUCUGGCUACCGGAAGUAACCUAUCUUGGGCAUGUCAUCUCUAAGGAUGGUAUUGCCGUCAACCCCGAGCGAGUUCAGGCUAUUCUUGAUUGGACUCCUCCCAAGAACGUUAAGCAAGUCAGAAGUUUUCUCGGUCUCGCCAGCUAUUGCCGUCGAUUCGUCGAGAACUUCUCUAAGAUCGCCAGGCCUCUGACUAACCUGUUGCAUAAGGGUGUCAAGUUCCAAUGGACAGACAAAUGUCAGGAAAGUUUCCAGGCACUCAAAGACAAGUUGACUUCUGCUCCAGUUCUAGCUCCACCUGAUACUAAGGACUUUGUCAUUUACUGCGACGCUUCCCGUCAAGGAUUAGGCUGUGUCCUAAUCAAAGACCGCAAAGUGAUUGCUUAUGCCUCUCGGCAAUUGCGCCCUCACGAAGAGAACUACCCAGUUCACGACCUCGAACUUGCUGCUGUCAUUCAUGCGCUGAAGCAGUGGCGACAUUACCUUCUCGGUAAUCGUUGCGAGAUCUUCACUGACCACCAAAGUCUGAAAUAUCUGUUUACUCAGCCAGAUCUGAACCUCCGUCAACAGAGAUGGAUGGAGCUUGUUGCAGACUUUGACUUGGGUAUUUCCUAUAUGCCAGGCAAGGCUAGUGUAAUGGCUGAUGCCUUGAGCCGCAAGUCUUACUGCAACCACCUCCAGGUUCAUAAAGUUCAGCCCUCGCUUGUUGAAGAAUUCAGGAAGCUGAACCUCCAUAUUGCUCCUCCGUGUGCACUCGCUCCCCCUCCUAAGGAGUUUGGCAAGGUGAACCUCCACGUUGUUACCUAGGGUUCCCUCAAUACCCUAGUUGCUAAACCAGAUCUCGAGGACAGCAUCAAAAGGCUACAGAAGUAUGACUCUGAAGCCCACAAGAUUAAGCGCUACCUCGCAGAAGGAAAGCCCUCAUUCUUCACUAUUGCUGAAGAUGGCACCUUAUACUUCAAGGGCCGCCUAGUGGUGCCAUGUGCAGAGAAAAACCUGGAUAUGACACAGGAAGUUAUGAAAGAAGCUCAUGAUACACCUCUGUGUAUCCAUCCUGGUAGUACAAAGAUGUACCAAGACAUCCGUCAGAGAUUCUGGUGGUCUAAUAUGAAGCAAGCCAUUGCUCGUUAUGUUGCUGAGUGUGACGUUUGCCGUCGUAUCAAAGCAGAACAUCAAAGGCCUGCUGGAACUCUGCAACCUAUCUCUAUUCCUGAAUGGAAAUGGGACCAUGUUGAGAUGGACUUCGUCACUGGAUUUCCCAAAUCACAGAAAGGUAAUGAUGCUAUUCUUGUCGUCAUUGACCGACUUUCCAAAGUUGCACAUUUUCUGGCAGUCAAAGAAACGAUCACUGCUAGCCAGUUGGCAACGCUCUAUAUGUCCAGGAUUGUUUCACUCCACGGUAUUCCAUUGGUUAUCAGCUCAGACCAUGGCAGCUUAUUCACUUCAAGAUUCUGGGCAAGUUUCCAAGAAGCUAUGGGAACUCAUCUGUCAUUCAGUACUGCGUUUCAUCCUCAAUCGCAAGGACAAGUUGAACGCGUCAACCAAGUCCUCGAAGAUAUGCUUCGAGCUUGUGUUAUUUCCUUCGGCAAGAAAUGGGAGGAAUCUCUCCCGUAUGCUGAGUUCUCUUAUAAUAAUAGCUAUCAAGCUAGUCUGAAGAUGGCCCCCUUCGAAGUGUUAUAUGGACGAAAGUGCCGAACCCCUCUGAACUGGUCAGAAACUGGGGAACGUCCACUCUUCGGUCGGGAUAUUAUCCAAGAUGCCGAAGAACAAGUCCGCAUUAUUCGUGAGAAUCUCAAGACUGCUCAGUCACGUCAGAAGAGUCAGUAUGACCGUCAUCAUAAAGACAUGGUCUAUCAACCUGGCGAAAAGGCUUAUCUUCGAGUCACACCUAUGAAGGGUGCUCACCGCUUCGGGAUCAAGGGCAAACUAGCUCCUCGCUAUAUUGGCCCAUUCACUAUUCUUGAAAGGCGUGGAAAAGUGGCAUACGAACUGGAGCUACCGCCGAACCUUUCUCAGGUUCACGAUGUGUUCCAUGUGUCACAGCUCCGCCGUUGCUUCCAAGACCCAAUCCGAGCUAUGGAUCAUGAAGUGCUCGAAUUGCAGCAAGACCUCUCCUAUAAGGAGCAUCCGGUCCGCAUUCUCGACCAAGCUGAACGCCGCACACGUCAGAAGGCGAUCAAGUUUCUCAAAGUCCAGUGGUCGCACCAUUCUGAAGAUGAGGCCACUUGGGAACGAGAGGAUCGUCUGCGCGAAGAAUACCCCGCACUGUUUCCUUCUACCUCCUAAAUCUCGGGACGAGAUUUCUUGUAGUGGAGGAGAUUUGUAACACCCCGAGAAUCAUGCUACAGUAACUCUCUGUGAUUAAGCUAAUCAUGUUGCUAAACAGGGCUUGAUCACAUUGGAAUCACAUUUCUUUUCAAACUCCUAAUUCAAACUUCAAUUAAAUUUAAAGUGGAAAAUAAAAGUUUUCAAAAAUUUAAACAAAAAUNNNNNNNNNNNNNNNNNNNNNNNNNNNNNNNNNNNNNNNNNNNNNNNNNNNNNNNNNNNNNNNNNNNNNNNNNNNNNNNNNNNNNNNNNNNNNNNNNNNNNNNNNNNNNNNNNNNNNNNNNNNNNNNNNNNNNNNNNNNNNNNNNNNNNNNNNNNNNNNNNNNNNNNNNNNNNNNNNNNNNNNNNNNNNNNNNNNNNNNNNNNNNNNNNNNNNNNNNNNNNNNNNNNNNNNNNNNNNNNNNNNNNNNNNNNNNNNNNNNNNNNNNNNNNNNNNNNNNNNNNNNNNNNNNNNNNNNNNNNNNNNNNNNNNNNNNNNNNNNNNNNNNNNNNNNNNNNNNNNNNNNNNNNNNNNNNNNNNNNNNNNNNNNNNNNNNNNNNNNNNNNNNNNNNNNNNNNNNNNNNNNNNNNNNNNNNNNNNNNNNNNNNNNNNNNNNNNNNNNNNNNNNNNNNNNNNNNNNNNNNNNNNNNNNNNNNNNNNNNNNNNNNNNNNNNNNNNNNNNNNNNNNNNNNNNNNNNNNNNNNNNNNNNNNNNNNNNNNNNNNNNNNNNNNNNNNNNNNNNNNNNNNNNNNNNNNNNNNNNNNNNNNNNNNNNNNNNNNNNNNNNNNNNNNNNNNNNNNNNNNNNNNNNNNNNNNNNNNNNNNNNNNNNNNNNNNNNNNNNNNNNNNNNNNNNNNNNNNNNNNNNNNNNNNNNNNNNNNNNNNNNNNNNNNNNNNNNNNNNNNNNNNNNNNNNNNNNNNNNNNNNNNNNNNNNNNNNNNNNNNNNNNNNNNNNNNNNNNNNNNNNNNNNNNNNNNNNNNNNNNNNNNNNNNNNNNNNNNNNNNNNNNNNNNNNNNNNNNNNNNNNNNNNNNNNNNNNNNNNNNNNNNNNNNNNNNNNNNNNNNNNNNNNNNNNNNNNNNNNNNNNNNNNNNNNNNNNNNNNNNNNNNNNNNNNNNNNNNNNNNNNNNNNNNNNNNNNNNNNNNNNNNNNNNNNNNNNNNNNNNNNNNNNNNNNNNNNNNNNNNNNNNNNNNNNNNNNNNNNNNNNNNNNNNNNNNNNNNNNNNNNNNNNNNNNNNNNNNNNNNNNNNNNNNNNNNNNNNNNNNNNNNNNNNNNNNNNNNNNNNNNNNNNNNNNNNNNNNNNNNNNNNNNNNNNNNNNNNNNNNNNNNNNNNNNNNNNNNNNNNNNNNNNNNNNNNNNNNNNNNNNNNNNNNNNNNNNNNNNNNNNNNNNNNNNNNNNNNNNNNNNNNNNNNNNNNNNNNNNNNNNNNNNNNNNNNNNNNNNNNNNNNNNNNNNNNNNNNNNNNNNNNNNNNNNNNNNNNNNNNNNNNNNNNNNNNNNNNNNNNNNNNNNNNNNNNNNNNNNNNNNNNNNNNNNNNNNNNNNNNNNNNNNNNNNNNNNNNNNNNNNNNNNNNNNNNNNNNNNNNNNNNNNNNNNNNNNNNNNNNNNNNNNNNNNNNNNNNNNNNNNNNNNNNNNNNNNNNNNNNNNNNNNNNNNNNNNNNNNNNNNNNNNNNNNNNNNNNNNNNNNNNNNNNNNNNNNNNNNNNNNNNNNNNNNNNNNNNNNNNNNNNNNNNNNNNNNNNNNNNNNNNNNNNNNNNNNNNNNNNNNNNNNNNNNNNNNNNNNNNNNNNNNNNNNNNNNNNNNNNNNNNNNNNNNNNNNNNNNNNNNNNNNNNNNNNNNNNNNNNNNNNNNNNNNNNNNNNNNNNNNNNNNNNNNNNNNNNNNNNNNNNNNNNNNNNNNNNNNNNNNNNNNNNNNNNNNNNNNNNNNNNNNNNNNNNNNNNNNNNNNNNNNNNNNNNNNNNNNNNNNNNNNNNNNNNNNNNNNNNNNNNNNNNNNNNNNNNNNNNNNNNNNNNNNNNNNNNNNNNNNNNNNNNNNNNNNNNNNNNNNNNNNNNNNNNNNNNNNNNNNNNNNNNNNNNNNNNNNNNNNNNNNNNNNNNNNNNNNNNNNNNNNNNNNNNNNNNNNNNNNNNNNNNNNNNNNNNNNNNNNNNNNNNNNNNNNNNNNNNNNNNNNNNNNNNNNNNNNNNNNNNNNNNNNNNNNNNNNNNNNNNNNNNNNNNNNNNNNNNNNNNNNNNNNNNNUAAAAAUAAAAAUAAUUUUGAUUAAUUAAUUAAUUAACUAAAUUAAUUAAGUUAAUUAAUCCUGUUUAAUUUAAUUAAAUAAUAAUUACUUAAUUAAACACUAAUUAACCUAAACAGUGAAUGACAGGUGGGUCCCACUGGACCCACAUGUCAGUUGACUUAGUCAACCCCUGUUGACUGCUGAUGUCAGCAUGACAUCAUGCUGAUGUCAUAAAUCCGAAUUUCGAAUUAAAUUAUAUAAUUAAUUAAAUUCCAGAAAUUAAUAAAAUCUUUAGAAAAUCAUAUCUUUUAAUCCGUAACUCGGAUUAAAAUAUUUUCAACAUGAAAGUUGCUCAGAACGACGAGACGAAUCCGAAUACGCAGUCCGUUCGUCCACCACACCUCCCUAACCUAUCGAACUAGCAACGUUCCCCCUCCGGUCCGUCUGUCCGAAAAGCGAAACAUCGGGAAUACCUCCCGGAUGUUCCCCCCCCCUUCGCCGGUACCACCUACUGUCGCGUUAGGACACGCCUAGCACCGCUCAUUUUCAUGUCACGCAUCGUCAUGCUUAUGUUUGCAUUGUAUUUACUGUUUCUUCCCCCCUCUUCUCUCCGGUAGACUACGAGACCGACACUGCUGCUGUCCAGUUCGACUACGGAGUUGACGACCCCUCCUACUUGCCAGAGCAACCAGGCAAGCCCCCCCCCCCUUGAUCAUCAGAUAUCGCCUACUCUUCUCUAUUCUGCUUGCAUUAGAGUAGUGUAGCAUGUUACUGAUUUCCGAUAUCCUAUCCUGAUGCAUAGCCUAUCCUUGCUACUACUGUUGUUACCUUUACCUGCAAUCCUACAUGCUUAGUAUAGGAUGCUAGAUUUCCAUCAGUGGCCCUACAUUCUUGUCCGUCUGCUGUGCUAUACUAUCGGGCCGUGAUCACCUAGGCGGUGAUCACGGGUAUAUACUUAUAUACUUUAUACAUGACACAUGUGAUGACUAAAGUCGGGUCGGCUCGUAGGAGUACCCGCAAGUGGAUCUUUGUGGCGGAGCGACAGGGCAGGUUGAGACCACCCAGGUGAGAGGUGGGCCUGGCCCUGGUCGGCGUUCGCGGUUACUUAACACGCUUAACGAGAUAUUGGUAUUUGAUCUGAGUCUGGCCAUUUGGUCUAUACGCAAUAGCCAUCUACGCGGGAGUAGUUAUGGGUAUCCCGGCGUCGUGGUAUCAGCCGAAGCCUUCUUGACGUCAGCGACUGAGUGGCGCGCGCCGGAUUGGACUGGAACACCACUAGGCUAGGUCUGCUUCCGGCCGCGUACGCAACGUGCAGGUGCGCAUAGGGCGAUGGGCCCAGACCCCUGCGCGCUUAGGAUUAGACCGGCGUGCUGACCGCUCUGUUGUGCUUAGGUGGGGCUGCGACGCGUUGAUCUUACGAGGCCGGGCAUGACCCAGGAAAGUGUGUCCGGCCAAAUGGGAUCGAGCGUGUUGGGUUAUGUGGUGCACCCCUGCAGGGAAGUUUAUCUAUUCGAAUAGCCGUGUCCCUCGGUAAAAGGACGACCCGGAGUUGUACCUUGACCUUAUGACAACUAGAACUGGAUACUGAAUAAAAUACACCCUUCCAAGUGCCAGAUACAACCCGGUGAUCGCUCUCUAACAGGGCGACGAGGAGGGGAUCGCCGGGUAGGAUUAUGCUAUGCGAUGCUACUUGGAGGACUUCAAUCUACUCUCUUCUACAUGCUGCAAGAUGGAGAUGACCAGAAGCGUAGUCUUCGACAGGACUAGCUAUCCCCCUUUUAUUCUGGCAUUCUGCAGUUCAGUCCACUGAUAUGCCCCUUUACACAUAUACCCAUGCAUAUGUAGUAUAGCUCCUUGCUUGCGAGUACUUUGGAUGAGUACUCACGGUUGCUUCUCUCCCUCUUUUCCCCCUUUUCUUUUCUAUCUGGUUGUCACAACCAGAUGCUGGAGUCCAGGAGCCAGACGCCACCGUCGACGACGACACCUACGACACUGGAGGUGCCUACUACUACGUGCAGGCCGCUGACGACGACCAGGAGUAGUUAGGAGGAUCCCAGGCAGGCGCGCCUCGUUCGAUCUGUAUCCCAAUUUGUGCUAGCCUUCUUAAGGCAAACUUGUUUAACUUAUGUCUGUACUCAGAUAUUGUUGCUUCCGCUGACUCGUCUGUGAUCGAGCAAUUGUAUUCGAGCCCUCGAGGCCCCUGGCUUGUAUUAUGAUGCUUGUAUGACUUAUUUAUGUUGUAGAGUUGUGUUGUGAUAUCUUCCCGUGAGUCCCUUAUCUUGGUCGUACACAUUUGCGUGCAUGAUUAGUGUACGGUCAAAUCGGGGGCGUCACAACCGUCGGGCCGCCGUGCAGACACGACGGAGGCGGGUGACGUCGAUCGAUGGGCGGGCCGGCGCGCGAGCGACGGCUAUGAUUGGCCGUCGCAUGGCGCGAUGCCGCCGGGUCGGGGCGAUGCAGGUGUCCCGGUCGGAGCAGGGUGGUGACGGAUGGCGCAGGGCGACGGGCGGACCGACGCGCGGACGGCGGCUGGCCCGGACGGGCCGCCUCAGCGCGCGUGGCCGCCAGGUCGGAGGAGAGGCCGGCUGGUCGCGUCGGGGUCGGAGUAGAGGCGCACGGGGGUCGACGGUCGCGGUGGGCGACGCAAACCGAUCAAGAUUAGAUCGGAAAACCAAAAAGAAAAAUGCCGAUCAAAACGACCGGCGAGAGAGCGAAAAAACCCGGAGUAAGGGCUCAGGGAAAAGACUCUGUAGGGCAGCUGGCCAACACGGCUGGCGGACGAACCCUAGGUACGGGCGGCGCGGCCCCGGGCCCCGGGCGGCGGUCAUGGAGGCCGAUCGCCCCGGGGGCGGCGCGCGGGUGCGGAAGCGGCGGCUGCUAGGGUUUGGAUCGUGAUUAGGCUGAUAUCAUGUUAGAAGGGAGAGAGAGAUUUGAUGGAAUAGUCGUUGUAUUGCUUGAGCCUCGUGGGCAUAUAUAUAGGAGUACAUGAUCUACUUGGGAGUACAAGGCAAGCCAGAAUAUUCCUAGUCUAACCUAUAUUUCCUAAUACAAUCACGUUACUCAACAGGUGGUGUUGCCGUCGAGGGCGGCGAUGAGGAUGACGCUCCGCCCGCGGCCAGGAUGUCGCCUUCUCCCUCGGCUUCUUCUGCCGCCUGAUUCAUUCUCGACCGCCUUGUCUCCAAGGUUUGCGGGUACGCCACCCCUCCCCUGCUACCACCUCCUCCCUCCCUCCCUCCCUCCCUUCCUCCCUCGGCGCGUGCUGUUCCGAAUGGACUGACUGGCUGGACGAAUCGAUUCCUCUCGAUGCUCUGCCUUUGGGAAGCGGAUCCUCUAACAUCCUCAAGGGAUGUCACGAAGCUACAGUGAAAUGUGUGUGUAAAGCAAAGAAGGGAUGUCAGGGUUACUGUAGCAACUAAUGUGCGGAUUUACUGUAGCACGUAUAAAAAUAAAUCAAAAAAUAAUUUUAUUGCACCAUAAUUUUGUUUAUAUGUUAUUUUUUUUAAAUAUAUAAAGUAGAUUUGUAAUUUGCAAAUUAAUUAUAAUUAUUUUAGGCUUAACCAUAUGGGUGUAAAAAAUGAAUGUCACGGUUACUCUAGCUUAUGUGACAUCCCUUAAGGAUGUUAGAGGAUCCGGUUCCCUGCCUUUGCCCCUCGCCUUUUCCUCCCAGGGAGACGAUGUUUUGUUCCUUGUUGCGGUAGGGCAAUCUGUAGAUUUCCUUUUUGUCUUGCGCGUGUAGCAGUUUUUCAGAAAAGUGGAGUUGACUCGGCUGUAGCUUGCCUGGGUACCUACCAGAGAGAUAGAACAAUACUUGGUUGUGUAGAGCUCAUGUCGAAUUCAGAUUUUGUGUAAUCGUUCAGUUACUCAGGGCCGACCCAGAAAUUGCUUACAGCAACUUAAUCUUUCAAAUUGAUACUGUAUGCUAUAAGCUGUGCCUGCUUGGUAAAAGUCACAUCUGUGUCGUCUUGUAUGGUAGACUCAGAGUUGGUGCUUGCUUGGCCUGCUGCUUUGUGAAAGUCACCUCUGCGUCUUGUAUGGUCGACUCGGAGUUGCUGCUUGCUUGGUAGUAACUAUUUGGUCUUGUGACACUCGAAGUUCUGCUCGAGAAACAUGUUUAAUCGAGUAUUUUAAGAAAAAAUUCCUGCAACAUAGGAUGUUACUAUUACCCUGUUACCAUUUUACAGUUCUAUUUUCUGCCCUGUCGAUUUUUACCAUAUCAUUUCUGCUGCACUCAGGUUAGUCGGCGUCGUGCCCGUCAAGCCCGCCGCUGGGUACGGGGACGAGGAGGAAGAGGAGGCGAGAGAUUUGUUCGGCUCCAACAACCAGGAGUACGUCAAGACCCGCGUAGCAACUACCUAAUUCCAGGUCCGCCUCUCGCUACUGAAUUAGCCGCUAGAUUCUCCGGGGCCAAGUUAUCUCCUCAAUAUUUGGUGAGCAAAAUUUCUUAGGAGAUUGCUACAUAAUCCUACCCAGUUUGUGCUGAAAUUUGAUAUGGGCUCUAGGCCCAUGUAGCAAUUUCUGAAAAAUCUCUAAGGGCCCAUGUGGGUUAUAUGGCACUAGGUGUAGUGGAAGUUUAGUCCCACCCCGGAAGUGGAAGAGGAGUUGGACCUCCUUAUAAGGGUUUCUCUUCUACAUGCUAUUGGAGCUUGAGAAGAGAAGAGGUCCUCGUGCACUCCUCCUCCGCCGCCCGCCUCGUCGCGGGUUGCGGGAUUGACGUACUCCUCGUUGUUAACAUAUACCCAGUUGUGGCCUGUUGUGGCUUUAUUCCUUCUGUGCGGAACACGGCAUUAUUCAUGAGAGGACGCCUCCCUAUGAGAAAUGGGCAAAGAGGAGGACAACACUCUCGUACUUGCGCACUUGGGGCUGUCUGGCGAAAGUCAAUGUGCCGAUCCCCAAAAAGGACUGCGUUAAUUUGGGCUACGCUAAGAACAACGUUGGCUAUAGAUUUCUAGUAGUGAAAUCUGAGGUACCUGACCAGAAGGUCGGUACAAUUAUGGAGUCUAAGGAUGCUACAUUCUUCGAGGAUACUUUUCCUAUGAGAGAUAUGCAAAGCACUCCUAGACAGGAAUCUGAGGAGACUCCUGAACCUGCCAUCCCUACCCUUGGUAGGGACAAGAGACAAAGGACUGUAAAGACCUUUGGUGAUGAUUUCUUCGUGUACCUCGUGGAUGAUACUCCCACUUCUAUUUCAGAAUCGUAUGCCUCUUCAGAAGCUGACAACUGGAAGGAUGUGGUCCGUAAUGAGAUGGAUUCCAUCAUGGCUAACGGGACAUGGGAGAUCACUGAACGUCCCUAUGGUUGCAAACCAUUAGGAUGUAAGUGGGUGUUCAAGAAGAAGCUUAGGCCCGAUGGUACGAUUGAAAAGUACAAGGCUAGGCUUGUGGCCAAGGGCUAUGACCAGAAAGAAGAGGAAGAUUUCUUCGACACUUAUUCACCUAUAGCUAGACUGACCACCAUUCGAGUAUUACUCUCGUUGGCAGCCUCGCAUGGUCUUCUCGUCCACCAGAUGGAUGUUAAGACGGCUUUUCUGAUUGGAGAGCUAAACGAGGAAAUCUACAUGCAACAGCCAGAUGGCUUUGUGAUAGAUGGUCAGGAAAGAAAGGUGUGUAGGUUGCUGAAAUCUUUAUAUGGCUUGAAGCAAGCACCUAAGCAAUGGCAUGAUAAGUUUAAUACAACUCUGACAUCUGUUGGUUUUGUUGUUAAUGAGGCUGACAAAUGUGUAUACUAUCGCCAUGGUGGGGGCGAAGGAGUUAUACUGUGCUUGUAUGUUGAUGACAUACUUGUUGGAAAUAUGCCCUAGAGGCAAUAAUAAAUAGGUUAUUAUUAUAUUUCCUUGUUCAUGAUAAUCGUUUAUUAUCCAUGCUAGAAUUGUAUUGAUAGGAAACUCAGAUACAUGUGUGGAUACAUAGACAACACCAUGUCCCUAGUAAGCCUCUAGUUGACUAGCUCAUUGAUCAAUAGAUGGUUACGGUUUCCUGACCAUGGACAUUGGAUGUCGUUGAUAACGGGAUCACAUCAUUAGGAGAAUGAUGUGAUGGACAAGACCCAAUCCUAAGCCUAGCACAAGAUCGUGUAGUUCGUUUGCUCAGAGCUUUUCUAAUGUCAAGUAUCACUUCCUUAGACCAUGAGAUUGUGCAACUCCCGGAUACCGUAGGAAUGCUUUGGGUGUGCCAAACGUCACAACGUAACUGGGUGGCUAUAAAGGUGCACUACGGGUAUCUCCGAAAGUGUCUGUUGGGUUGGCACGAAUCGAGACUGGGAUUUGUCACUCCGUGUAAACGGAGAGGUAUCUCUGGGCCCACUCGGUAGGACAUCAUCAUAAUGUGCACAGUGUGACCAAGGAGUUGAUCACGGGAUGAUGUGAGUUACGGAACGAGUAAAGAGACUUGCCGGUAACGAGAUUGAACAAGGUAUAGGGAUACCGACGAUCGAAUCUCGGGCAAGUAACAUAUCGAUGGACAAAGGGAAUUGCAUACGGGAUUGAUUGAAUCCCCGACAUCGUGGUUCAUCCGAUGAGAUCAUCGUGAAACAUGUGGGAGCCAACAUGGGUAUCCAGAUCCCGCUGUUGGUUAUUGACCGGAGAACGUCUCGGUCAUGUCUGCAUGGUUCCCGAACCCGUAGGGUCUACACGCUUAAGGUUCGAUGACGCUAGGGUUAUAGGGAAAGUAUGUACGUGGUUACCGAAUGUUGUUCAGAGUCCCGGAUGAGAUCUCGGACGUCACGAGGAGUUCCGGAAUGGUCCGGAGGUAAAGAUUUGUAUAUGGAAAGUUGUUGUUCGGGUUCCGGGAAAAGUUCGGGUUUUUUCGGUAUUGUACCGGGAAGCUUCCAGAAGAUUCCGGAGGAUUCCGGAGGGGUCCGGAGGUCCGGAAAAUGUUCCACCACGUCCAAUACAGUAGCAUGGGCUGUAAGGGGGCGCCCUAGCCUUAAUGGGCCAGGGGCACCAGCCCCCCCAAGGCCCAUGCGCAUGGGAGAGGGGAAACCCUAAGGGGGAGGGCCUCCACUUGACUUGGGAGGCACUCCUCCCCCCUUUGGCCGCCCCCAAGCCCCAUCUAGGGCUGGCCGCACCCCUUGAGGGGGGAAACCCUAGAUGGGGGCGCAGCCCUCCCCCUCCCCUAUAUAUAUUGAGGUUUUGGGGCUGCCAUAGACAUGAGAACGUCUCCUUUUUGGCGCAGCCCUACCCCUCUUCCUCCUCCUCCUCUCCCGCGGUGCUUGGCGAAGCCCUGCGGGAUUGCCACGCUCCUCCACCACCACCAUGCCGUCGUGUUGCUGCUGGAUGGAGUCUUCCCAACCUCUCCCUCUCUCCUUGCUAGAUCAAGGCGUGGGAGACGUCACCGGGCUGCACGUGUGUUGAACGCGGAGGCACCGUUCUUUCGGUGCUUAGAUCGGAAUCAACCGCGAUCUGAAUCGCUACGAGUACGACUCCCUCAUCCGCGUUCUUGCAACGCUUCCGCAUCGCGAUCUACAAGGGUAUGUAGAUUCACUCCCCUUCCCCUCGUUGCUAGAUUACUCCAUAGAUUGAUCUUGGUGAUGCGUAGAAAAUUUUGAAUUUCUGCUACGUUCCCCAACAGUGGCAUCAUGAGCUAGGUCUAUGCGUAGUUUCUAUGCACGAGUAGAACACAAAGUAGUUGUGGGCGUCGAUGUUGUCAAUUCUUCUUGCCGCUACUAGUCUUAUCUUGUUUCGGCGGCAUUGUGGGAUGAAGCGGCCCGGACCGACCUUACACGUACACUUACGUGAGACAGGUUCCACCGACUGACAUGCACUAGUUGCAUAAGGUGGCUAGCGGGUGUCUGUCUCUCGCACUUUAGUCGGAACGGAUUCGAUGAAAAGGGUCCUUAUGAAGGGUAAAUAUAAAUUGGCAUAUCACGUUGUGGUUUUACGUAGGUAAGAAACGUUCUUGCUAGAAACCUAUACAAGCCACGUAAAAACUUGCAACAACAAUUAGAGGACGUCUAACUUGUUUUUGCAGCAUGUGCUAUGUGAUGUGAUAUGGCCAGAAGAUAUGAUGAAUGAUAUAUGUGAUGUAUGAGAUUGAUCAUAUUCUUGUAAUAGGGAUCACGACUUGCAUGUCGAUGAGUAUGACAACCGGCAGGAGCCAUAGGAGUUGUCUUUAUUUUUUGUAUGACCUGCGUGUCAUUGAAUAACGCCAUGUAAAUUACUUUACUUUAUUGCUAAGCGCGUUAGCCAUAGAAGUAGAAGUAACCGUUGGCGUGACAACUUCAAGAAGACACAAUGAUGGAGAUCAUGAUGAUGGAGAUCAUGGUGUCAUGCCGGUGACAAAGAUGAUCAUGGUGCCCCGAAGAUGGAGAUCAAAGGAGCAAAAUGAUAUUGGCCAUAUCAUGUCACUAUUUGAUUGCAUGUGAUGUUUAUCAUGUUAUGCAUCUUAUUUGCUUAGAACGACGGUAGUAAGUAAGAUGAUCCCUCACUAAAAAUUUCAAGAGACGUGUUCCCCCUAACUGUGCACCGUUGCGAAGGUUCGUUGUUUCGAAGCACCACGUGAUGAUCGGGUGUGAUAGAUUCUAACGUUCGAAUACAACGGGUGUUGACGAGCCUAGCAUGUACAGACAUGGCCUCGGAACACAUGCAAAACACUUAGGUUGACUUGACGAGCCUAGCAUGUACAGACAUGGCCUCGGAACACAAGAGACCGAAAGGUCGAACAUGAGUCGUAUAGGAGAUACGAUCAACAUGGAGAUGUUCACCGAUGAUGACUAGUCCGUCUCACGUGAUGAUCGAACACGGCCUAGUUUGACUCGGAUCAUGAAUCACUUAGAUGACUAGAGGGAUGUCUAUCUGAGUGGGAGUUCAUUAAUCAGAUGAACUCAAUUAUCAUGAUCAUAGUCAAAAGGUCUUUACAAAUUAUGUCAUUGCGCUUUAGUUCUACUGGUUAAGAUAUGUUCCUAGAGAAAAUUUAGUUGAAAGUUGCUAGUAGCAAUUAUGCGGACUGGGUCCGUAAACUGAGGAUUGUCCUCAUUACUGCACAGAAGGCUUAUGUCCUUAAUGCACCGCUCGGUGUGCUGAACCUCAGCGUCGUGUGUAGAUGUUACAAAACAUCUGACAUACACGUUUUGAUAACUACGUGAUAGUUCGGUGCGGUUUAGAAUUGUGGCACCAAAGACGUUCUUGAAACGUCGCAGAACAUGUGAGAUGUUCCGAAGACUGGAAUUGGGAUUUCAGACUAGUGCCCACGUCAAGAGGUAUGAGACCUCUGACAAGUUUCUUAAGCCUGCAAACUAAGGGAGAAAAGCUCAAUCGUUGAGCAUGUGCUCAGAUUGUCUGAGUGCCACAAUCGCUUGAAUCGAGUGGGAGUUAAUCUCCCAGAUGAGAUAGUGAUAGUUCCCCAUAGUCAUUGCCACCAAGCUAGUAGAGCUUCGUGAUGAACUAUAACAUAUCAAGGAUAGUUAUGAUGAUCCUUGAGCUAUUCGCGAUGUUUGACACCGCGAGAGUAGAAAUCAAGAAGGAGCAUCAAUUAUUGAUGGUUAGUAAAACCACUAGUUUAAGAAGGGCAAGGGCAAAAGGGAUACUUCAUGAAACAGCAAGUCGUUUGCUGCUCUAGUGAACAAUCCCAAGGUUGAACCCAAACCCGAGACUAAGUGCUUCUGUAACGAGAGGAACGGUCACUGAAGCAGUACUACCCUAGAUACUUGGUAGAUGAGAAGGCAGGCAAGGUCGACAGAAGUAUAUUGGAUAUACGUUAUAUGAAUGUGUACCUCACUAGUACUCCUAGUAGCACCAGGGUAUUAGAUACCGGUUCGGUUGCUCGAAAUAAAAGCUGCGGAAUAAAUGGAGACUAGCUAAAGGUGAGAUGACGAUAUGUAUUGGAAGUGUUUCCAAGGUUGAUGUGAUCAAGCAUCGCAUGCUCCCUCUACCAUCGAGAUUUGGUGUUUGCAUUGAGCAUGAUUGGAUUAUGUUUAUCGCAAUACGGUUAUUCAUUUAAGGAGAAUAAUGGUUACUCUGCUUAUUUGAAUAAUACUUUCAAUGGUCUUGCACCUAAAAUGAAUCUCGAUUGUAGUGAUACACAUGUUCGUGCCAAAAGAUGUAAAAUAGUAAUGAUAGUUCCAGAUACUUGUGGCACUGCAAUUUGAGUCAUAUUGGUAUAGAACGCAUGAAGAAGCUCCAUGUAGAUGGAUCUUUGGACUCAAUCGUUUUUGAAAAGAUUGAGACAUGCGAACCAUGUCUAUUGGUAUAUAUGCAUGAAGAAACUCCAUGCAGAUAGAUCGUUUGGACUCACUUGAUUUCGAAUCACUUGAGACAUGCAAAUCAUACCACAUAGGCGAGAUGACUGAAAGUCCUCGUUUUUCAGUAAGAUGGAACAAGAGAGCAACUUAUUGGAAGUAAUACAUUUUGAUGUAUGCAGUCCAAUGAGUGCUGAGGCAUGCAGUGGAUAUCAUUAUGUUCUUACUUCACAGAUGAUUUGAGUAGAUGCUGAGAAUAUUUACUUGAUGAAACACAAGUCUGAAUUAUUGAAAGGUUCAAGUAAUUUCAGAGUGAAGUUGAAGAUUGUCGUGACAAGAGGAUAAAAUGUCUAUGAUAUGAUCAUAGAGAUAUCUGAGUUACGAGUUUGGCACACAAUUAAGACAUUGUGGAAAGUGUUUCACAAUUAAUACCGCCUGGAACACCAUAGUGUGAUGGUGUGUCCGAACAUCAUAACUGCACCCUAUUGGAUAUGGUGCAUACCAUGAUGUUUCUUAUCAAAUUACCACUAUCGUUUAUGGGUUAGGCAUUAGAGACAACCGCAUUCACUUUAAAAGGGGCACCACGCAAUUCCGUUGAGACGACACCGUUUAGAGAAACCUAAGUUGUCGUUUUCUUAAAAGUUUGGGGCUGCGAUGCUUAUGUGAAAAAGUUUCAAGCUGAUAAGCUCGAACCCAAAGCGGAUAAAUGCAUCUUCAUAGAAUACCUGAAACAGUUGGGUAUACCUCCUAUUUCAGAUCUGGAAGCAAAAGUAAUUGCUUCUAGAAACUGGUCCUUUCUCGAGGAAAAGUUUCUCUCGAAAGAAUUGAGUGGGAGGAUGGUGGAGACUUGAUGAGGUUAUUGAACCGUCACUUCAACUAGUGUGUAGCAGGGCACAGGAAGUUGUUCCUGUGGCACCUACACCAGUUGAAGUGGAAGCUUAUGAUAGUGAUCAUGAAACUUCGGAUCAAGUCACUACCAAACCUCGUAGGACGACGAGGAUGCGUGCUACUUCAGAGUGGUACGUGAUCCUGUCUUGAAAGUCAUGUUGUUAGACAACAAUGAACCUACGAGCUAUGGAGAAGCGAUGGUGGGCCCAUAUUCCGACAAAUGGUUAGAAGCCAUGAAAUCCGAGAUAAAUGGAGAAGAAGACGGACGUGGACGGUAAUGUUACCGUCUAUGAAGCUCGACUUGUGGCAAAGAGUAUUUUCACAAGUUCAAGGAGUUGACUACGAUGAGAUUUUCUCAUCCGUAGCGAUGCUUAAGUCCGUCGGAAUCAUGUUAGCAUUAGCUGCAUUUAUAAAAUCUGGCAGAUGGAUGUCAAAACAAGUUUCCUUACCAGUUUUCGUAAGGAAAGGUUGUAUGUGAUACAAUCAGAAAGGUUUUGUCGAUCCUAAGGAUGCUAAAAGGUAUGCUAGCUCCAGCGAUCCUUCCAUGGACUAGAGCAAGCAUCUCGGAGUCAGAAUAUACGCUUUGAUGGAGUGAUCAAAGUUUUUGGGUUUAUACAAAGUUUGUUAGAAACUUGUAUUUACAAUAAAGUGUGUGGGAGCGCUACAACAUUUCUGAUAAGUAUAUGUGAAUGACAUAUUGUUGAUCCGAAAUGAUGUAAAAUUUCUGGAAAGCAUAAAGGGUUGUUUGAAAGGAGUUUUUCAAAGGAAGACCUGGAUAAAAGCUGCUUACAUAUUGGGCAUGAAGAUCUAUAGAGAUAGACGCCCGAUGAUACUUUCAAAAGAACGCACACCUUGACAUGAUUUUGAAAGAGUUCAAAAUAGAUCAGCAAAGAAGGAGUUCUUGGCUGUGUUACAAGGUGUGAGUAUUGAGUGAGACUCAAGACCGGACCACAGCAGAAGAUAGAGAAAGGACGAAGGUCGUCCCCUAUGCUUUAGACGUAGGCUCUAUAGUAUGCUAUGCUGUGUACCGCACAUGUAGUGUGCCUUGCCAUGAGUUGGUCAAGAGGGUACAAUGGUGAUCCGGGAAAGGAUCUCAUGACAGCGGUCGAACUUAUCCUUAGUACCUAGUGGAUUAAGGAAUUUUCUCGAUUAUGGAGGUGGAAAGGAGUUCGUCGUAAAGGGUUACGUCGAUGCGAACUUUGACACUAAUCUGGAUGACUCUGAGUAGUAAAUCGGAUUCGUAUAGUAGAGCAAUUAUUUGAAAUGGCUCCAAAUAGCGCGUGGUAGCAUCCACAAAGAUGACAUAGAUAUUCGUAAAGCACACACGAAUCUGAAAGGUUCAGACCCGUUGACUAAUAACCUCUCUCACAAGCAUAACAUGAUCAAACCAGAACUCAUUGAGUGUUAAUCACAUAGAGAUGUGAACUAGAUUGUUGACUCUAGUAAACUCUUGGGUGUUGGUCACAUGGUGAUGUGACCUGUCAGUGUUAAUCACAUGGUGAUGUGAACUAGAUUAUUGACUCUAGUGCAAGUGGGAGACUGUUGGAAAUAUGCCCUAGAGGCAAUAAUAAAUAGAUUAUUAUUAUAUUUCCUUGUUCAUGAUAAUCGUUUAUUAUCCAUGCUAGAAUUGUAUUGAUAGGAAACUCAGAUACAUGUGUGGAUACAUAGACAACACCAUGUCCCUAGUAAGCCUCUAGUUGACUAGCUCGUUGAUCAAAAGAUGGUUACGGUUUCCUGACCAUGGACAUUGGAUGUCGUUGAUAACGGGAUCACAUCAUUAGGAGAAUGAUGUGAUGGACAAGACCCAAUCCUAAGCCUAGCACAAGAUCGUGUAGUUCGUUUGCUCAGAGCUUUUCUAAUGUCAAGUAUCACUUCCUUAGACCAUGAGAUUGUGCAACUCCCGGAUACCGUAGGAAUGCUUUGGGUGUGCCAAACGUCACAACGUAACUGGGUGGCUAUAAAGGUGCACUACGGGUAUCUCCGAAAGUGUCUGUUGGGUUGGCACGAAUCGAGACUGGGAUUUGUCACUCCGUGUAAACGGAGAGGUAUCUCUGGGCCCACUCGGUAGGACAUCAUCAUAAUGUGCACAGUGUGACCAAGGAGUUGAUCACGGGAUGAUGUGAGUUACGGAACGAGUAAAGAGACUUGCCGGUAACGAGAUUGAACAAGGUAUAGGGAUACCGACGAUCGAAUCUCGGGCAAGUAACAUAUCGAUGGACAAAGGGAAUUGCAUACGGGAUUGAUUGAAUCCCCGACAUCGUGGUUCAUCCGAUGAGAUCAUCGUGGAACAUGUGGGAGCCAACAUGGGUAUCCAGAUCCCGCUGUUGGUUAUUGACCGGAGAACGUCUCGGUCAUGUCUGCAUGGUUCCCGAACCCGUAGGGUCUACACGCUUAAGGUUCGAUGACGCUAGGGUUAUAGGGAAAGUAUGUACGUGGUUACCGAAUGUUGUUCAGAGUCCCGGAUGAGAUCUCGGACGUCACGAGGAGUUCCGGAAUGGUCCGGAGGUAAAGAUUUGUAUAUGGAAAGUUGUUGUUCGGGUUCCGGGAAAAGUUCGGGUUUUUUCGGUAUUGUACCGGGAAGCUUCCAGAAGAUUCCGGAGGAUUCCGGAGGGGUCCGGAGGUCCGGAAAAUGUUCCACCACGUCCAAUACAGUAGCAUGGGCUGUAAGGGGGCGCCCUAGCCUUAAUGGGCCAGGGGCACCAGCCCCCCCAAGGCCCAUGCGCAUGGGAGAGGGGAAACCCUAAGGGGGAGGGCCUCCACUUGACUUGGGAGGCACUCCUCCCCCCUUUGGCCGCCCCCAAGCCCCAUCUAGGGCUGGCCGCACCCCUUGAGGGGGGAAACCCUAGAUGGGGGCGCAGCCCUCCCCCUCCCCUAUAUAUAUUGAGGUUUUGGGGCUGCCAUAGACAUGAGAACGUCUCCUUUUUGGCGUAGCCCUACCCCUCUUCCUCCUCCUCCUCUCCCGCGGUGCUUGGCGAAGCCCUGCGGGAUUGCCACGCUCCUCCACCACCACCAUGCCGUCGUGUUGCUGCUGGAUGGAGUCUUCCCAACCUCUCCCUCUCUCCUUGCUGGAUCAAGGCGUGGGAGACGUCACCGGGCUGCACGUGUGUUGAACGCGGAGGCACCGUUCUUUCGGUGCUUAGAUCGGAAUCAACCGCGAUCUGAAUCGCUACGAGUACGACUCCCUCAUCCGCGUUCUUGCAACGCUUCCGCAUCGCGAUCUACAAGGGUAUGUAGAUUCACUCCCCUUCCCCUCGUUGCUAGAUUACUCCAUAGAUUGAUCUUGGUGAUGCGUAGAAAAUUUUGAAUUUCUGCUACGUUCCCCAACAAUACUGAUAUUCGGAACCAACCUCAAAGUCAUUGACGAGGUCAAGUCGUUUUUGUCUCAGAACUUUGAGAUGAAAGACCUUGGUGUGGCUGAUGUUAUCUUGAACAUCAAGCUACUGAGAGAUAAUGAGGGUGGGAUUACACUUCUGCAAUCCCACUAUGUUGAGAAGGUGUUGAGUCGUUUUGGAUAUUCGGAUUGCACACCAUCUCAAACACCAUAUGAUCCUAGCGUGUUGAUUCGAAAGUCCAAAGGCACGGCUAUAGAUCAGUUGAGAUACUCUCAAAUCAUUGGUUCACUGAUGUACCUAGCAAGCGCAACGAGGCCCGACAUCGCGUUUGCUGUGAGCAAACUGAGCCGGUUUGUUUCCAAACCGGGUGAUGUACAUUGGCAUGCUGUUGAACGAGUUAUGCGCUAUCUGAAAGGUACUAUGAACUAUGGACUUCACUAUAUCGGAGACCCGUCGGUACUUGAAGGGUAUAGUGAUGCAAAUUGGAUCUCUGAUGCUGAUGAGAUGAAGGCCACAACUGGGUAUAUGUUUACUCUUGGAGGUGGCGCUGUUUCCUGGAAGUCUUGCAAGCAAACGAUCUUAACGAGAUCGACAAUGGAAGCAGAAUUAACGGCAUUAGACACAUCUGGUGUUGAAGCGAGAUGGCUUCGAGAUCUUUUGAUGGACUUGCCAUUGGUUGAUAAACCGGUUCCGGCUAUCCUUAUGAACUGUGACAAUCAGACUGUCAUCACCAAGGUGAAGAGUUCAAAGGACAACAUGAAGUCCACCAAACACAUAAGAAUGAGAUUAAAAGCUGUCAGAAAAUUAAGAAACUCCGGAGUGAUAGCGUUGGACUAUGUUCAUACGGCUAAGAAUCUGGCAGAUCCCUUUACGAAAGGGCUAUCACGUGUUGUGAUAGAUAAUGCAUCGAGGGAGAUGGGUAUGAGACCCACAUGAGUUGCCAUGGUAGUAACCCAACCUAUGUGAUCGGAGAUCCCGUGAAUUAGGACCUGGGAAAACAAGCCAGUGGUGAACUGAGGAGAGUAACUAUACUAACCCACUCCGUUGGAGAUGCAAUACUCUCGAUACUGUAUGGUAGGAUGACUACUGUCUUAAUGUGUUCCGAAGCUUAUAUAAGCAAGAUGCUAUCGUACAGAGUGAUCUUUGGAGGAACACACCUAUAUGAGUCCGACUGCUGGUCACAGUCUAUGAGAUUGGUGUUGGGGAACGUAGUAAUUUCAAAAAAAUUCCUACGCACACGCAAGAUCAUGGUGAUGCAUAGCAACGAGAGGGGAGAGUGUUGUCCACGUACCCUCGUAGACCGACAGCGGAAGCGUUAUCACAACGCGGUUGAUGUAGUCGUACGUCUUCACGAUCCGACCGAUCAAGUACCGAACGUACGGCACCUCCGAGUUCUACACACGUUCAGCUCGAUGACGUCCCUCGAACUCCGAUCCAGCCGAGUGUUGAGGGAGAGUUUCAUCAGCACGACGGCGUGGUGAUGAUGAUGAUGUUCCACCGACGCAGGGCUUCGCCUAAGCUCCGCAACGGUAUUAUCGAGGUGUAAUAUGGUGAAGGGGGGCACCGCACACGGCUAAGAGAUCUCAAGGAUCAAUUGCUGUGUCUCUGGCUUGCCCCCCUGCCCCCGUAUAUAAAGGAGCAAGGGGGAGGCAGCCGGCCAAGGGGAGAGGCGCGCCAUAGGGGGGGAGUCCUACUCCCACCGGGAGUAGGACUCCUCCUUUCCUUGUGGGAGUAGGAGAAGGGAAGGGGGAAGGAGAAAGAAGGAAGGGUGCGCCCCACUUCCCUAGUCCAAUUCGGACCAGACCAUGAGGAGGGGUGCGGCCACCUUUUGAGGCCUUUCUCUCCUUUCCCGUAUGGCCCAUCAAGGUCCAAUACGAAUUCCCGUAACUCUCCGGUACUCCAAAAAAUACCCGAAUCACUCGGAACCUUUCCGAAGUCCGAAUAUAGUCGUUCAAUAUAUCGAUUUUUACAUCUCGACCAUUUCAAGACUCCUCGUCAUAUCCCCGAUCUCAUCCGGGACUCCGAACUCCUUCGGUACAUCAAAACUCAAUAAAACUGUCAUCGUAACGUUAAGCGUGCGGACCCUACGGGUUCGAGAACUACGUAGACAUGACCGAGACACGUCUCCAGUCAAUAACCAAUAGCGGGACCUGGAUGCCCAUAUUGGCUCCCACAUAUUCUACGAAGAUCUUUAUCGGUCAGACCGCAUAACAGCAUACGUUGUUCCCUUUGUCACCGGUAUGUUACUUGCCCGAGAUUUGAUCGUCGGUAUCUCGAUACCUAGUUCAAUCUCGUUACCGGCAAGUCUCUUUACUCGUUCCGUAACACAUCAUCCCGCAACUAACUCAUUAGUCACAAUGCUUGCAAGGCUUAUAGUGAUGUGCAUUACCGAGUGGCCCAGAGAUACCUCUCCGACAAUUGGAGUGACAAAUCCUAAUCUCGAAAUACGCCAACCCAACAAGUACCUUUGGAGACACCUAUAGAGCACCUUUGUAAUCACCCAUUUACGUUGUGACGUUUGGUAGCACACAAAGUGUUCCUCCGGUAAACGGGAGUUGCAUAAUCUCAUAGUCAUAGGAACAUGUAUAAGUCAUGAAGAAAGCAAUAGCAACAUACUAAACGAUCGAGUGCUAAGCUAACGGAAUGGGUCAAGUCAAUCACGUCAUUCUCCUAAUUAGGUGAUCUCGUUAAUCAAAUGACAACUUAUGUCUAUGGCUAGGAAACAUAACCAUCUUUGAUCAACGAGCUAGUCAAGUAGAGGCAUACUAGUGACACUCUGUUUGUCUAUGUAUUCACACAUGUAUCAAGUUUCCGGUUAAUACAAUUCUAGCAUGAAUAAUAAACAUUUAUCAUGAUAUAAGGAAAUAAAUAAUAACUUUAUUAUUGCCUCUAGGGCAUAUUUCCUUCAAUUGGGGUGAUCUCUAGUAAGCUCAUGAAUAGGCCAGGAGUGUGACUUAUAUGCUCCACCCGAGGGGUCAGCUUUCGGCAGCCCAGUACUAGUGAGACAUGUGGUGAAACUUCUUUACGCCAAACUGACAAUUCAAGGCAUAGUCCAUUGUUCAGUUGUGAAGGAGUGUAGCUACUUGCUCUAGGUGAAGCUCAACCUUAACAGGUCUUCACUGAAACACUGGUAUAUCGAAACAGUAAUUGGAACAGAGGACACAAUGGGCCCUCGAGAUCUGGUGGGGGAUUGCUGAAAUUUGAGAUGGGCUCUAGGCCCAUGUAGCAAUUUCUGAAAAAUCUCUAAGGGCCCAUGUGGGUUAUAUGGCACUAGGUGUAGUGGAAGUUUAGUCCCACCCCGGAAGUGGAAGAGGAGUUGGACCUCCUUAUAAGGAUUUCUCUUCUACAUGCUAUUGGAGCUUGAGAAGAGAAGAGGCCCUCGCGCACUCCUCCUCCGCCGCCCGCCUCGCCUCGUCACGACGCGACGCGACGCGGGAUUGAGCCGAGCCCAGCUCACACCUACGCGCUUAUUUUUGCCAGUCACUAACGGGCUGUCACGGACUCGGACGUCGGAUCGUGGGCUGUCACGGACUCGGACGUGGGUCGAGCCCACGUCUCUCCACGCGGCUGCGCCUAUAUAAGUGUGCGGUGUCUCCUAACCCUAGCCGCCACAAACAGAUCACAUCUGCUCCACGCGCACGCCCACCGUCGUUCCCUUGCUGUUGCUGCCGCCGGUGACUCCAUCCCGUUCGCCGCGUACACGGUCGACGGGAGAGCAGGUCUCCAAAACCACGCCCUUCUUGUUCCUGUAUGGGGUGAGGGGCGAAUAGGUUUUUGGGCAGCGAUUACGCGACUGCUCACUUCCGAUCGUCUACUUCCUCUACGUCUGCGUCGCCUUCAUCAUCACCAUGUCCACCGACGCCGAACGUGCCGCCGCCGAGAAAGCUGAAGCUGACAAGAAGGCCGCCGAGGACGCUGCUGCUGCCACCAAAGCCGCGGCCUCUGCAUGGCCUACUGGAGGGUAUAACUCGUUUAUCCCGCUCCUACUGUUUUCUGUUUUAGCCAUGCUAGCGUUAUACGUAGAUCUUUCUGCAAUUAGCGUAGUAUGUGCUAGUUUGACUGAAUAUCAGUAUGCGAUUAUAUGUGUCAAUGCCAUGCUAGUGAUUUACUCGUGGAUUAAUUUAAUCGAGAAAUUGCCUAUUUACUCAACAGUUUGUGUGUGAUUGGCUGGUUUUGUUGCUCGUGGGACUCUGGGAGCUGCAGUGAACGUUUUGUCUGUGGCAGAAUUAACCUUCUCGCUUGAGUACACGAUGAACUCUUUAUGCUGCAGACUUGUGUUUGAAUCAUUGUUCCAAAUUUCAGCAGUGUAUGUCAGGCUAAGUAGAGCAUAAUGUUGGAUUAAAUUCUCUGCUAGCAUCUUCUGGUUCUUGCUUGAUUUUCUAGAGUCAGAGAGACUUUGUUACAAAAGCAUUAAGCAGAACUACUGAAGAGAGUAGAAGAACGAACCAUGAAACCAUAUAUAUAAUUGGGUCGUAUUUGCCUCAAUGGGUCU